RNAcentral lists this long non-coding RNA (159451 nucleotides) under Cicer arietinum (chickpea). Its description in RNAcentral is "long non-coding RNA (CARI_LNC000853)". The record is from RNAcentral. Lineage: Eukaryota; Viridiplantae; Streptophyta; Magnoliopsida; Fabales; Fabaceae.
UAAAAAUUUCUACUUACGCUUGAGAGAGUAGUAAGUUAAUUAGGAAGAUAUUAGAUUGAUAUUUGAUAAUGAUGCAUACCUUUGAUUGGCUUAUGACUAUUAACCCAUUCAUUCCAGCCCUGGCUACAAUCCUGGCACAUCACUUUUCCACUCACGUGAAUGACUUCUGCUGGUUCAUCCCAAGCUGAGGCUACCGUGUUAUUGGUGCAACACAUUAGUGUUGCAAUCAUCAUCAAUACUAUUGUAAAUGCCAUCUUCCCUCUCAAUUCACAAGGAUUUAUGGUUAGAUUGACUUUAAAGGAGCAAAUAUAUAUAACAAAGCAGGGGUUAUUGUGUAAUUAAUUGGGAAUAAACGUGGAGGAGCACUACUAUCGGUUCUUGACGUGCAAUCCAUUAUUUAAUUUUUUAUAAUAUUAAUUAAUUACUAAUACUACCCAAUUAUCAUACUAGUGUAUUUUGGGAAAGUUCAAGUAUAUGUUUUGUUUGCGGUGCAUAGAUAAAAUCACGAUGAACCAAAUAUGUGUAGAGUGUAGUUACUACAAAAUUACAUUGGUUUAAAGUAAUGUUGUUAAUUUCACUACAAAAUCAAACAUAUAUUAAAUCUUUAAUUUCAUAAAAUAAGUGGAAACAAGUGAUUUUUUAUACAUGUAAAACAAACACGUUAUUAAUUUAUCUGUCUCUAAGACUUUGUCUCAAAAUUUUAGAUAAAUAAAAACCUCAAAAAAAUUCAAUUUCAUUAUAAAUAUAUUAAUAUAAUAUAUUAGUUAUAAAUAUUCACCUAAUUUAAUUGGUCAAAAUAAUAGCUCUAUAUUUUUUUAAACGCAUGUUCUAACUUGUACGUAGCAAAACUUGAUUUUUUUUUUUAAAGUCUCACUUUUUUUAUCAACCAAAAAAUAAUCCUAUUAUAACAUUUACUUUAAACAUAUAUUUGAUAAUAGAGUAAAGUUGUUAGAAUUAAAGUAAAUCAAUGUCAUUUGUUAAAAACUAUAAUUUGCAACUUUUGAAAAUUAGGACGAUUUACCGGACAAACUAAAUAUGUUAUUAUUGUAUACGCUUGUAUAAAAAGGAGUCUUGGCCCAAACAUCCACAUUUUUCUAAGAUGUACUGUUUAACACAAAUUAGAAAUUGUUUCUUUUUACAUACAAAUGAGAAUUUGUUACGACAAGUUUAUUUGGAUAUUUUACAUAAACUCAUUUGAGAUUUUGUGAGUCUAGUCAGUCACGAAUGUGAUAUGCACGCUAGUAAUAAAUAAAGGAGGUUAUAUAUAGUUGAAUUACAUAGGAAAAAAGCACAUGUUACUCAAAAAUAAGUGAACCAUAUAAUAUGGAGACGAAUCAAAGAAAUGCAUUCUCUACCUUGUACCCAAAAUAAGGAAUUGUUUUCAGGUUAAAACAACAGCAUCCUAAUCCAAGUUAAACCAUGACUCCAAAACUCCCAAUAGGAACGCAACACGCAAUAUAAACAUUAAUUAGAGCGCACACAAGCUGCCACAUAAAAAUCUUCCAAUCCUUAAUCUAUGCCGUAAAUUGUGUAACACCUAAAUCUUCGUAACAUCUCAUUCUCACAACAUCCCUUGGAAAAUUAAGUAGUAAUAAUUAAUUAAUUAAUUAAUUAUUAAAUUGACAUGAAACUCUUGGAAAAAGAUUUUGCUCCUAACCAAAGAGGAACUGUUAAAAUAAUUGCAGAAGAACCUGAUGAUGUAUGGCUUCUUUACAAUCUCAUUACCAUCGGCGACGUCGUUACCGCCGAAACCACACGCAAAGUCCACCUCGAAUCAACCAAAAACACCUCGUCACGUGUCAAACUCGCCCUUCAUCUCAAAGUCACGUGCCGCGACUUUCAAAAAGACUCUUCCACCCUCCGCGUACAUGGCCGCAAUCUCGAACCAAAUCAACAUGUUGCUGCCGGUUCUUUCCACACUUUAACCCUUGAAAGAAAUAAACCUUUUCACCUUGAAAAGAAAAAGUGGAGUCCACAAGCUGUUGAAACCUUAGCCGAGGUUACCGAUGAUUCAUCAUUUUCUUCUUCUGAUGCCAAUCUUCUUGUUGUUGUUCUUCAACAACACCAAGCAGAAAUUCACUUGCUUGGAAAACAAGUCACUACUCGUUGUUCCAAAAUCGAAGCCUCUUCCUCUUCACAUUCUCAUAAAAAAUCAUCUUCUUCCUCUUCAAACAUGUUUUUUCGUGAGGUUUUUGUUGCUUUCAUGAAGCACGUGGAUUUCAACAUUGUGAAAUGUGUGGUGAUAGCAGGGGAUAGCGACAGUAAUACAUCGAUAUCCCCUACUAUCUUUCGUAGAUUUCUUUUGUCAGAAGCGAAGAGGUUAAAGAUAAAAUGUAUCGAAGAGAAUAAAUCACGUAUUGUUGUGGUAGGGUCAAGAUGCAACAACGACAAAGGUAAUUGUGACUUUGACUUGAAGGAAGUUUUAAGUGAUGUGACCGUGAUGAAAUUGAUAAAGAACAACGAGUUAGGGUUAGAAAUUAGGACAUUUAAGGAGUUGUGGGAUAUGAUAUGCAACAAUUCGGAUCGUGUGUGUUAUGGAGCAAGGCAUGUGGAGAGUGCACAUGAGAUGAAUGCGAUUGAAACACUUUUGAUAAGUGAUGAUCUUUAUAGGAAUGAAGACACUGAAAUGAGGAAAAAAUAUGUGAGUUUGGUGAAAUCGGUGAAAGAGAGUGGAGGAAAGGCUUUGGUGUAUUCUUCUAUGCAUGUUUCGGCACCACAAUUAGCUCAGCUAACUGGUGUUGCUGCCAUUCUUAGGUUUCCAUUGCCUAGUCUUCAAGAUAUGGAUGAGGAUGAUGAUCAUGCAUGGAUAUAAUUACAAUUAUAAUACCUUAAUUAAAUUAAAUAUAUUAUAUGUCUAGCUUUUAUUUUUAUUUAAUCCCUUCCCUUGUUAAUAUCAUCAAAAAUAAAUUCUCAUUUGUACAUAUAUAUAUAUAUACAAUAAUGGUUGUAUUGUUGUGGUGAUGUAUAUAUCAUUUGUUUGACUCUUGACAAACCAUUUUCUCUCCAUUCCUAAAAGGAAAACAUUUUUUCUGAAAAUUUUAAAAGAAAUGACAUGUGAAAUCUAAUAUUUUAAUAAUAUAUUAUAUUAAUAUUAUAUAUAUAAUAUUAGUAUUUUAUUUAUUCCUUCAAGGAACUUACCAUAUUCUGUAUAAAUAUUUUUCAAAAUACUCUUUUAUGUAUAAAUAUGUACAAUUCAAUUCAGAUUUUUUAUUGCUUAAAAUACUUAAUUAUUAUUUUAUUAAUAAUAUUAAUUCAGAAUAUUUUUAAAAAUAAUAAUAAUAAUUAAGUGUUUUAGUAAUUUGAAAUAUAUAUAAUAUAUAUUUAAAGACAAUAUAUAAAAAAAGAGAGCAAUAUAAUUUAUUUAACUAAGGUUAUUAAAUAUUAGUAGUAGUAUAUUUAUCGUUGCCAUAAAUAUAAAAUAGAGUUACUAAUAUAUGUGAUGUAUAUAAUAUAAAUUAGAAUACAAUAAAAAAAAAUAAUGUCAUAUUGAAAAAUAAAAAUAACAAUUUUUAAAUACUUUUUUCUUUAUAAAUACUAUACUCGUUGUGGAUACUAAACAAACAUUAAUAAUUGCAUACUAAUGGGUAGUUUUGUAAUUUUGGAAAAGAUGAUUUAAUGGGUUAUCCAAACAUUGAUCUCUCUCAUGAAAAAAGAACUAUUGGCCGUGGAAGAGGGGUUUUCCGACAUGUCCCAUUCGUAGACGAAAAAUAAAUAUAAAAAAGAAGACUGAAAAACAAAACUAAAAUUCCAUUCUCCAUUGACUUGACCCAUUCACUCUCUUUUAAUUUCUCGCUAUUCAUGCUUUCUUUCAUUCGAUGCUGAGAAAAAAGCAGCACCAGCUACCAGCGCGUGACCGUUGCUAUUGAAAAUUAAAAUUAAAAUUAAAAAAUAAAAGAAAAAUGCGUGUUCCCGUGUUGGUGGCUUUCGCCGCAAUGGCGGUUACGGUUACGGUUGCAUACGGUGGUUUUCCGGGAAAUUAUCUUCCUCUUGAACGGACCAUCCCUCUUAACCACGAAGUUGAAUUAACGGCUCUCAGAGCUCGCGAUAGAGCUCGUCACGGUCGAAUCUUGCAAGGUGUUGGUGGCAUUGUCGACUUCUCAGUCCAAGGAACCUCCGAUCCUUACUUAGUUGGGUAACUAAUUCUUUUUCAUUCUUUCCAAAUCUUCCAUUUCUUGUAUCCGUUUUCUCAACAUUGAGUAGAGUAGUUUUUGAGAAUAUAAUGUAGUUUUUUGUUAUGAUAAUUAUUAUAUAGUCUUUAAAUUGGAUUAAUCUUUGUUUUCUUGUUUAGGUUGUAUUUUACUAAAGUGAAGAUGGGAUCUCCUGCUAAAGAAUUUUAUGUUCAAGUAGAUACUGGAAGUGACAUUUUGUGGCUUAAUUGCAAUACUUGCAGUAAUUGCCCCCAAUCUAGUGGCCUAGGGGUGAGAAUUAAUUUGUUGCUUUUGUUUCUUAUUCUGUUUACUACUAGUAAUUCAUUUGUUUAUUUUAAUUUAAUUGUCUAUUUUUAGAAUAAUUUUGUUAGUAUUGAUUUUUCAUUUUCUAAGUUUAAGGUUGCAUUAACUAUUUUUAUGGCAAUUGCACUCCUAUUAUUUAUUGCAAAGCGGGAAAUUGAUGCAAUUGAGAAGAUGAACUUUUAAGGGUAUAACUGAAGAAGGCUAAUAAUUUCGUCAAAAAUAACAAUUUAUUGAUUUUCUUUAUGAGUGUAGAUAUAUUUGGAUAUGGUUGGAUUGGUGUUUUCCCAUUUCAUUCCAUUGCACCCUAUGCCAUCAACCAAACAUCCAAACAUACCCUAAAAUUGUUGGUUAUGUUGUGCAUUUUGUAGAUUGAGCUCAAUUUCUUUGACACGGCUAGCUCGUCCACUGCUGCACUGGUUUCCUGCUCGGACCCAGUGUGUUCUUAUGCAGUUCAAACUGCUACAAGUCAGUGCUCUUCUGAAGUUAAUCAGUGCAGCUACACCUUUCAGUAUGGGGAUGGAAGUGGGACAUCCGGUUAUUAUGUUUAUGAUGCCAUGUAUUUUGACGUGAGCAUGGGACAGACUGUGUUUUCUAACUCUUCAUCUACCGUCGUUUUUGGGUGAGUCCUCAAUCCACAUGAUGAAAAGAACCCAUGUAAUAGUAUUGCGGAUCAAACUGACUGUUAAUGCAUACGUAUUAUAUAGCAAAUCUUGUCAAUAGGUCAAAUUUUGAUAUAUAAAAGAGAAUAAGGUAAAUAAAUGGGAUUUGUUUACUAUUUCAUCGAUUGCUUCUGUGGUGAAAGUUUGCCCAUUACUCCUAUGUUUAUUUUGGGAUUGGUAAUUGGUUUUAAUUGAUCUUAUUGGGAUGAUUGUUUGGGAAAUAGGUGUAGCACCUACCAAUCCGGGGAUUUGGCUCGGACAGAAAAGGCGGUUGAUGGAAUUUUUGGGUUUGGCCCUGGUGCUUUAUCUGUUAUAUCACAAUUAUCAUCACAAGGCAUGGCACCCAAAGUGUUCUCUCAUUGCUUAAAGGGAGAGGGCAAUGGAGGAGGUGUACUGGUUCUUGGUGAAAUUAUGGAGCCAAAUAUUGUUUAUACCCCACUUGUUCCAUUACAGUAUGUUCUCUCUUCACUUUCUUCCUUGUUUUCUUCUCCCAUCUCAGUUUGAAAAUUUUUUUCCCUAAUAUUGCAUGACAUUGAUAUGAAGGCAAAGUAUAUGUUCUAUUCAUUUCUGCAUAAAAAUUCUGAAUCUUGGUAUUUGCAUCACUUUCAAAGAUUAAUUGCUUGUUUGUAACUAUGAGAUAAUCACUUUGAAAUUUAUUAAAUUGGUAUAAUGUUUGGAUGACAUAAUGAAACAUAAAAUAAGCACUGCUAGUUAUCAUCUUAAAACUUAAAGUUAACUAAUGAAUCACCAUUUUGUACCCCUUAGCUUACAUAAAAUCUCUAGUUUUAUUUGGUGCAACAUUUUAAUGUUUGGAAUGUUAUUAAUAUGUCAUCUUUUAAUCUCGAUUACAAUUUUCUGAAAGGCAACCUUCCAUUUCAUUGUACUUAGCCAAAUGUUUAGAACAGCAUUCUUAUAACAAAAGUAAUAGGCCUGCAUAUAUUGUAUGUCUGGCUUGGUGCCUCUUGCGGAGAACAAGGUUUUCUUGGUUUCUUGAUACAGUAUUCUUAUGAUGGGUUCAACAUUCUCCCAGCACAGAUCUUGGUUUCUUUUCAUGCGCUUCUAUGGUAAAAGUUUACAUGCCAUACCCUUGGUAAAUGAAUGUGAAUCCUGGAAGUAGUAAACCAUUUUUUUCAAACCCUGGCCUUAACAGUUCAUUGUUUUCUGAGCAAAAUGAACAUGCAUCGGUUUGUUGUAAUAAAUAUCUCAAAAUAUAAAUGAUAAUAUACUACGCAUUUGCUCUAAUUUAAUGAAAUAACUUUUGAAUUGAAUGUAGAAAGUGGUAUGGCUCACAAUCGCUAAGAAAGUUGAGUUCUUAAAAUGCUUGUCGUGCCAGUUACCAUUAUCAAAUAACUUGCAGUUUAUAUCAGUGUGUUGAUCUGUGCUUAUAUCAGACAUUGUGCUGGGUGUUGAUCGAAUUUCAGGCCUCAUUACAACUUAAAUCUUCAAAGUAUUGCUGUCAAUGGACAAAUUCUCCCAAUUGAUGAAGAUGUAUUUGCAACAUCUAACAAUCGAGGAACUAUAGUUGAUUCUGGUACUACAUUAGCAUACCUUAUUCAAGAAGCUUAUGAUCCUUUUCUCAAUGCUGUAAGUUCCGUUUUACCUCUCUUGAACUUUUGAAACACUACACUUUGUUGUAGCUAAGUCCCAUGAUUUUAUUUCCAUUCUCCCAAUUAAUUUAUUUGGGCACAUAAAAUCUGGUAUAUGACCCUAGGUAUUCAUACUUAAUAAAAUUAAACAGUAGUGAUUAAUAACGAAAAGGUUUUUCUAUGUCAAUCAGAAAGUCGGAUUGUUUAUUUAAGGUUGUCCUCAAUUUUAAACAUCUUCUAGUUAAUCAAAUGUCCAAUACUCAAUGAUAGUUAAGGUCUAUAUGUCCUCAACAUCACAUUAAUCUAUUACACACCCACUAAUCUAUUUGCACAAUCUCUUCCUUUAAAAACCAAAUCACAUUGACCAAGGUACUCACGAUAAUCAAUUGCUUACCUCAUAAAUCUGAGAGCUUUUUUUCACACCCAUAAAACCCUUUGUUUUGUGAAAACAGGGUAGAUUAAAUAUGAUGUUGGUAACAAUGGCCAUCUAUCUAGACAGUUAGGUACUUCAACUUUGCUGUAUUUUUAAAAAGAACCUGACUAUACUAUGAUGAAGUUACAAACAGGUUUGUAUUAAAACUUUGUGCCAUUGCGGGAAGAGAGGCUGUAUGUCCAUGAGUUAACUUUAUUGCAGAAUUUUGAAACAAAGUGUUUACCUGAAAAAUAGUGGACCCCUUUCUAAUGUUUCUGUUACCAGGAUCCAGUAUUCACCCAAGAGUCCAAAUAUAGCAUUGUAUCUUGAUUCCAGACGCCUGGAUAUAUGUGAUUAGCCGCAAAGAUUUCGUUGACUGUAAUUUUGUGUUUACAAAAAGUGGAACUGCGAUAUCAAUAAAUAUAUGGACGUUACAGUAUGUGUUGGACAUUGAAGAAUGAGAAUUUAAUUUGUAUUCAAAAUUUUAUUUUCUUCAAUAGGGUGUGUUUGGCUUAUUUAUCUUGUGUUUUGAAUCAUUAAGAAAUGAUCUUGACCUUUCCCAUAUUUUAGAUAUGAUAUUACAUGCACUGAUGUUAAAUAUCUCAUUGAAUGUGUAGAUAACUACCGCUGUGUCACAGUUUUCCAAACCCAUUAUUUCCAAAGGAAACCAGUGUUAUCUGGUCCCAACCAGGUAAUUUCAAUUCUUCUAACUCAAUUUUUUAAUAAAAGAUAUUUAAUUCUCUAUUUCUAUUUGAUCAUAAAAAAUAUAUUUUGUGCUGUUAUGAUUUCUAAGAUGUCAUUUCAAUUUUUGCUCAUUCAGCCUAGGUGAUAUAUUUCCUCCAGUCAGUUUAAAUUUCAUGGGUGGAGCAUCCAUGGUUUUAAAACCAGAACAGUAUCUUAUACAUUAUGGUUUCCUGGUAACUAUGUCUUUCUCUUUGUUUGAUCACUUUCUUCUUCUUGUCUAAGUUCUUCUGAAUUGAAUGCCACUGAUAAUAGUCCAAUCCGCUACUUUGUCUUUUAUAGGAUGGUGCUGCAAUGUGGUGCAUUGGUUUCCAAAAAGUGCAGAAGGGAUUCACAAUUUUAGGAGGUUAGAAGCUGGAAAAAAUAUUUUAACAGAAUAAAAUCUACAAGGAGUUAAUUGUGUAUUUUCAAAUUAAUUUCUGUUUAGAGGUUUCAUCUUGUAUUUUCAUGUUUAUUUUGUGUUAAUUAUGCAUAAAAUCUAUCAGGUCAUUAUUUUAGUUGUCCAGUAUUUUUAGUAUUGGGUUUUAUCAACUAAGUUGUUAGUUCUUUUGCAGAUCUUGUUCUAAAAGAUAAGAUUUUUGUAUACGACUUAGCUAAUCAACGAAUCGGGUGGACUGACUAUGAUUGUGAGCUAACCACAUGAUUAUUUCCUUUGUUGCAUAUAUGCUCCUUUACCUUGUCAUAAUCCUAAAUCGGUGCUUGCUGCUCAGGUUCCUUGGCUGUAAAUGUCUCGAUGGCUACGAGCAAGAGUAAGGAUGCAUACAUCAAUGCAGGACAGAUGCGUGUCAGCUCCUCCCACAUUGGCAUUCGCUUCGAGUUGGUACUUGUAAGCAUUGUGGCUUUUCUUCUGCAUAUAAUAGUUUUCAUGGAGCCCCAGUUUUUGUAGAUAAUGUUCAAGAGUCAAAGCUCAACCUUAGAAAAAUUUACCGGGGUUGGCCGAUGUUUUAUUUGUUGUCGGCAUACCCUUGAUACCUUUCCAAUUAGUACAAGGAAAAUGCGGAUCUCACUGUAAAGGGGCUCUGUUGUUGAGAAAUGGAGAAUUAGUAUAUUAGUAGAGUUCUGAAGUAGAUUGAAAUUGUACUAUUUAUAAACUGCUCUGACUGCAUAAAAAAAGUUCACCUUCGGGGUUGUGAUUUUAAGCCAGUGUUUAGUGUAUACAAAUGUCAUUCUUUUUUUAUUGUGAAAUGUUGGUUGUUAGUAUGUUAUUUAGUUGACAAAGUUUGAACUUUAGACUUUCUUCUCAAUCUCUUUUGGAUGUCCCAACUCAACCAAUGUAUUGGCAUUACGAAUGUUAUAUAAUCAUGAUUUUCUGUUCCUGGAGUUAUAUUGUAACAAUGUAUUGGCAUGAGAACAAACAAAAAUGAUUUAAGUUCUUUAUUUUAUUUUUUAUAAUAAGCAACAAAUUUGUUAAUCGAAUGUAAAGAAAACCUGACAAUAACUUUUAGAAUAGAAAGAUUAUUAUUAUUUUUAUUUAUUUAUUACUUAUCUUUGACGGGGGAAUCUCCACAUGUACAAUUGUGAACUAAAAUUAACACUCAACCAUGGUGGUUAGGUAAAAUUGUCCUAGAAUGGGGUAUUAUUUUAUCUUGGAUGUAAAGCUUAGGAGAGUCCACGUCCACUCAAACAAUCACUGUUGUGUUGUAACUGUAAUUCAAUGGUAGUUAGUGGCAGUUAAAGUAGUUAGCUAUGAAUGUUAUUCGUAUACUGCGUUCACAGGCCAUCUUAUGUGGGUACCCCUUUCUUUUGCAAUCGUGAGAUUAAUUUAAGUUAUUCGUAUGUAAACUCACGUUUGAUUAACCAAAAGUCUGAUAAUAUAUUCAUUAUUAUCAUAAAUAAAUAUAUCAAAUUUAUUUUAACUAAAUUAGUAACAUCGUAAUGCAUUGAACAACAAUGAUUAUAGCAGUUGCCAUUAUUAGACAUUUACAUAUAUGUAUAUACAAAUAAAAAAACAUCAAAUGUUCAAAAUGCUUAUUGUUAGAUAUAUCGAAUGAGAAGUAUGUAUAAUGAAAACAUAUUAAAAAUAUUACAAAGUAAUAUUUAGUUAACUUUCUCAACAUAGUUUACAUUUUAAACAAUUAACCUGAAAAAAAAUGGGUACAUAGUUAUUUAUUAUGAGUAAAAACUUAUAGACUAAUUCCCAAAAAAAACUUACAGAUUAAUUAAUAAUAUUAUAAAAAUAAUAACUCUUUACAAUUUAUAAUAAAACUUAGGCUAAACUACAUUCGUGGUCCCUUAACUUAAUUUCAGGUAACGUUUUAGUCUUUUAUCUUUUUUUUUUUUUUUCUUGGGUUGGUCCUUUAUUUUAAUUUUAAGUGACAAUUUGAUAUUUUAUGUUUUAAAAUGUCAACAAUGUUGUCCUUUUUUUUUUUACAAAAAUUUAAAAAAAUCAUCAAAAUUUUCAACCAAAACCCAUAAAAUUAAUAAUCAUCUUCAAUAUAAUGCAAAUUUUAUCAAAUCCAUAACUCAAAUAUUCAAAUACACUCAUAUUUUCAUCUCCAACAACAUCAAAUAAAAAAUGAAAUAUGAGUUUAUUUCAAGAUUUAAGUUAUGAAUUUGAUUAAAUUUGUAUUUUAUUGAAGGUGAUAAUGAAUUUUAUGGGUUUAGUUUGAAAAAUUUGAUGAUUUUUUUAAAUUUUUGUAAAAAAAAAAAGGACAACAUUGUUGACAUUUUAAAACAUAAAAUAUCAAAUUGUCACUUAAAAUUAAAAUAAAUGACCAACUCGGGAAAAAAAAAUAUAAAGGACUAAAACGUUACCUGAAAUUAAGUUAAGAGACCGCGGAUGUAAUUUAGCCUAAAACUUAUCAUAUAUUAUUUUGUUUAUUUUAUUUUAAAAUUAAUUUGUAAGUAUUAUUAUAAAUAAACUUAUGCAACACGUACACAUAUCACCUUUAGUAUAAUAAAAAAAAUGAAAAUGGAAAUAUGAUCCUCUCCUCUAUUAGUAGUAGGGUUGUACAAAAAAUCCGAUUAUGAGACACAAAUCUAAAACUGGAUUCAAAUCAAUUUUAAAUAUCCAGUUAAAAUUAUAUGGUUAUAAUCCGGUUUAUUUAUAAACCGGUUGGAUAACUACUUAUGUUUUAUAUUUGAAUUUGGUUUUUAUCUGAUUUUUAUCCACUACCAAUAUUUUGCUAAUUUUGAGAUUUUAUUUCUUGAAAAAAAUUUAAAAUUUAUUUUUUUUCGAAAAAAUAUCAGAAAAAAAUAAAAAAAUCUUUUUUUUUUCUCAAAAAAAUUGGUGAGAAUCUUUUUAAAAAAAUUUAUUGAAAAAAUCGAUUUUUUUAAAUAAUCGAUUUUUAAACUAUGAAUAAAUUAUUUUUAAAAAAAUAAUCAAAUUUUAACCGAUUUUGAAAAAAAAAAUCAAUUUUAAAAUUAAAUUUUUUAAAAUCGACUGCUUAAUUAUAAACUGGUUAUUUAACCAUAACCAAUUUUACAAUUGAUUUUAUAACCGAUUUUAAACUAAAUAAUGAAUUUGAUUAUAAAUUUAAUCUAUAUAUUAAUUUUAAAAUGAAUAUAGUUUGAUUUGUUAAAAAAAUCAACCAUGAACAACCCUACCUAUUAGGGUUUUAAAUUUAUAUUACAUUCAAUUUUUUAUUCCAAACCUUUUCACUAUAUUAAUGUGAAUUUGUUUCCUAAGAAUUAAUUAUAUUUUGUAUGCAACUGUGAGCUUAUCCGCAAUUGAUUCAGAGUCUUCCAUUGUCAACUUUAGAAUUUUAAAACAAAAAAAAAAACACUAAAAACUUAAAUUGUUUUAAAGUCAACAAUAAUUAGUGUUUAUAAUUCCAUAAAGUUAACAUUAUCAUUAUCACUACUAUGUUUAACUAACAUUGGUUAUCAAUGAACCAGAAGUUACGGUUAGGGAGGCAAAAGCGCCAUAAUUGCUUAUUUCCUUAUGACCUUAGAAUGAAUUCAGGAUGAUUGAAGAUUUCUUUUGUUUUCUGAAAAUUUGUGUGGCUGGAAUAGUGUCUUAAACAAUAUUAUAGGAUUGUUACCAAACUCUAACAAAUAAAAUAAAAUCUCAAAAAAAUUUAAAUAAAAAGAUUAGAAUCUAGAAAGUGAUUUUUCUUGUCCAAGAUUAGAGGGUGAAAUUGAACGCAAUGUUUUGCAUUUUGUUUUGUUUGAAACAUUCUCCUUUUCAUUCUUCAACGCUCUUAUAUCCGUUUCUUUCUCCCUCGAUCCUUUUUUUUUCCUUUCAUUUUUUGCGAACAAAUUUGUCAGUUGCUCUAAAUAUUUUUUAGUUUGUCCUUUUACUUAUAUACACGCGCCACUCUCUCUCUCUCUCUCAUCAUCUUAACCAUUCACCAACUUUCUGUCUAAAUUCGGACAACAUUCGGAUUAUAGUGCUUUAAAUGGAUAAUAUAAUUGGCAAAUUGUGACAUUAUUUCCACCAUAGUAGUAACUUUUUUUUUUCGAAAAAUCCACCAUAGUAACUAUAGUGCCUUAAAUGUAAAUUAAAAAAACAAACCAUAGUGCCUUAAAUUGGUAAGAUUAAUUGACAUCGCCAAAAGUGAGUAGGACUACAAUAGCAGGCUAGGCUAGAAUAUACAUUGACAUAAAAAAAAGUUUCCCAUUUUAAUAUCUUCUACCACAUGCUUCAAUCUCAAUGCACUAUUUGGCAGUGUGUUUUCAUUGUUGUUAAUAAGGUAAGAAAAAACUAUCAUUUGAUUGUUUGCGUAUCAAUAUUAAUUACAUACAAAUUAAAUAAGAUAAACUUCGAGAAAACACUUGUUUUCUAGUGCCACUUAGAAAAUAUCUUUUUGACUAAUAUGCAUUCAUUUCUAAAUAUAUUUAUUUAUUAAUUGCAAAAUUAAAUUAUUCAGCCUAAAAUAUAAUGCCGAAUACUAAAUGCAUGUUACAAACUUAAACAACUUUUUUAGUUAAUAUUUUUGUAGUUUAACUCAUAUUCAUUUGAAUAAUUUAUUUUUAAUUAUAGUUUAUUAAUUAUUUAAACUCAACCGAUUAUCUAAUAAAUCAUUACUUUCCCAUAAAUAUAUAUUAUAAAACAUACUAGUAUUCAAGAGUUAUUAUAUACAAUAAAUAAUAAAAAGUUUAUUUAAAUCCAAAAAAUGAUCAAAGCAGUAUUUGUAGAAGGUGUAGCAACUAAGUAGCAGGCACAGCAUUGACAUUUAGUUGAUGAGGAGCAAAUUUCCAUGAAUAUAAUAAUUAAUUAGUAGUAAUUAAUAAACAAUGAAGAAAAAACAAAGGUCAAAGGGUAAAGAAUUGAAGAAGGAGCGAGUGAGAAAUACAAUAUGUAAUGGCGCGUGAGAAAUAUUGUUAUGUUUUGAUAUAGUACCUGAACGGCCAUGCAUGCCGAGUCCCUCCUACACUCACUCACUCUCACACACACCACCCUCUCUCUCUCUCUCUCUCUAUUUCUCUCUCGCUCAUAUCAUAUUCAUUCUCUCUCACACAUCACCCACACACAUUCACAUACAUAUACACACAUUCUUUCUUUCUCUCCAAUUUCUCUUUCAUUUUCCAUUUCCAUUUUCAUUUUCAUUUUCUCUUAUUUCCUCAUUAAAACCGAUUGUUCAAUGGCGGUUCCUCCCUCGGUCGCCGCCACUCCGGCUUCUCUUUACGUCGGCGACCUCCAUCCCGAUGUCUCCGACGGACAGCUUCACGAAGCCUUCUCUGAUUUCAAGACUCUCGCUUCUGUUCGCAUUUGCAGAGACUCUUCCACCGCCAAAUCACUCUGUUAUGGCUACGUCAACUUCCUUUCUCCUCAAGACGGUAAAAUAUCAUUAACCUUCAUCGUUUCUUUUCCAGUUCUUUCUUUCUUUCUUUAGGUUUUCUAAUCUAGCGAAUUAGUGUAUUAUUUCUUGAUAAUAAUAAUAAUAAUGAGGAGGAGGAUUCUUGCUGUUCUUUUUUUUCUUUGAAUUAUGAGAUCUUGAUUUUGAAUUGCAUUGUUUAGUUAGUGUUUUCUUUUAUUACCGAUAAAAUAAACGGAAAGAUUUAAAAUCGGUUUCAUCAUUUUUCUGUUAUGAUGAUGAAUGUUAAAGAGAGAGAAAUGUAAGUGAUCAAGAUCUGAGUGUGGUUACUCUGUUAAUGCUAAUGUUCUAUUUGGUUUGGUCAUGUAGCAAUUAAUGCGAUUGAGCUGAAGAAUCAUUCUACAUUGAAUGGAAAAGCGAUAAGGGUCAUGUGGUCGCGUCGUGAUCCUGAUGCAAGGAAAAGUAGCAUAGGGAACGUGUUUGUUAAGGUAUCUACGGUUCUUUGAUUUGAUAUGGUUUUUGACCGGUGUUUGCUGUUCGUUAUUGUUUCUGAAAGGGGAUUUCUGGUUUUGUGGCAGAACUUAGCUGAAUCGAUAGAUAAUGCUGGAUUAGAAGAUAUGUUUAAAAAGUUUGGCAAUAUUUUGUCAAGCAAAGUUGUCAUGUCUGAGGAUGGGAAGAGCAAAGGAUAUGGCUUUGUUCAAUUUGAAACAGAGGAAUCUGCAAAUACUGCUAUCGAAAAGCUGAAUGGCUCUACUAUUGAUGAUAAGCAGAUGUAAGUGAAAUUCUGCAUUGUUUUGUGGUAACUUUUUCAUGUCUGUAUAUAUGUUCAUGCUUUGAAGUUUAUGAUUCUUGGUCCACAGUUAAUUGACGUAUUCAAUUUCUGUACUCCUGUUAUUUCCUGAGAUUGAUUUUAAUCUGAUUAUAAUUCUUGUCACAGAUUUGUUGGGAAGUUUGUCAAGAAAAGUGACCGCGUUAUGUCUGGCCCUGAUGCUAGAUAUACAAAUUUGUACAUGAAGAAUUUGGACUUAGAUAUUACAGAAACACUUCUGCGGGAAAAGUUUUCCUCUUUUGGGAAAAUUGUUAGCUUGGCUGUUGCAAAGGACAACAAUGGGAUGUCAAAGGGUUUUGGCUUUGUGAACUUUGAUAACCCAGAUGAUGCUAAAAGGGCAAUGGAAGCAAUGAAUGGAUCACAACUUGGUAGAUAGUUAAUCUUUUACUGUGUUGGUUUUCGGCUGGUAAAGUUGAAAUUUCUUGAUGUUGAUCCUAUGUAUUAUCUGGUUUUGAUUUGUUUCAACAGGUUCAAAGAUUCUGUAUGUAGCCAGGGCACAAAAGAAGGCUGAGCGUGAGCAGAUCUUGCACCAGCAAUUUGAGGAGAAACGGAAGGAGCAAGUCAUGAAAUAUAAGGUAAUUUCUUUACCACUCUCUUAUAUUUAUGUACCCAUUUUCUCUUCAGUUGUCUUAGAAUGUCAUCAUUUAACUUCCAGGGGUCAAACAUUUAUGUGAAGAACAUCGAUGAUAAUGUUAGUGAUGAAGGACUGCGAGAUCAUUUUAGUGCAUGUGGCACUAUAACUUCUGCAAAAGUUAUGCGAGAUGACAAAGGGAUUAGUAAAGGAUUUGGUUUUGUGUGCUUCUCCACUCCUGAGGAGGCCAAUAAAGCUGUGAAUACUUAUCAUGGUAAGUGGGUUAAGUUGUUGAAGGGAUGUGUUACUGCACAAUACAUGCUUCACAGUAGUUCAGUUUUCUGGUGAUGAUAUGAAUAGGAAAAUAAAUGCAUGGUGUAAGCUCCAAUAAAAGAAUGUAAGAAAUACAUGAUAUAUUUAUAGGAUUUCAAUUUGAGAGAUUAGAUUUAUUCAUCAUGUACCUUUCUAUUAAAUGAAUAUUGACAAGCAUCAACGUUUAUAGUUCUUUCCUUCUGUUCAUUUUAUUUCGAAGGAUCUGAUAAUUACUAUGAAAGAUCAGUAGAACUCUCAGUGUUGUGUCCUGUAUCGUUACCAGGAUUCCUUUUCAAGGGUUUUAUUUGUAAUUUUUCUGUUUCAUUUUUCUGUAUGUUUUUUGGUGGGGGUGGUUGGUGAAGGUUCCUUUGUGUACACUUAACUGUGUUUUUGGAUUGAUUUUAGAAAUUUAAUUCUUCUUUAAAAGAAUUGAAAAGAGUUUCUCGGCUAUCCAUUGGGUUUAUCACUUUAUGGGAUAAAGCUCCUAAAAAGAGUUUGUAAGUUUCAUAAGUAUAUAUCAACACUUUAUUAAAUUUAAAUCACGUUGUCAUCUUAAUCCACUUAAAUUGAAGGUUGAAUAUAUCCUUAGCUGCAUCUUUUAACAAGAUCAUUUUAGAGGAGCUUUUUCCAGGUUUAUGAUAUGAGACACAAUCAACCCUACAUGUUAAUGCAAAUAAAGGAUACUUGAUAAAUCUGAAUAUAUUUUGUAUACUGGUUUGGAACUGAAGAUCUUGCAAAUUUUCAUCUCUGCCUCUUUAAAGCUUUUUUAUUUGAAGAUUUUCUAAUACUUUUAUGUAAAUUACAUUUAAAUUUAACACUAUUUUAUCUGCAAUGACUUUACUGUCUAAUUAAAUGAUAUUAUUUAUAUGAUGCAGGAUUCAUGUUUCAUGGUAAACCACUAUAUGUUGCUCUUGCUCAGAGGAAAGAGGACAGACAAGCACAGUUGCAGCUCCAGUACGCACAGCAAAUUGCAGGACUAGCUGGGCCUUCAACUGCCAUUGUCCCUGGUGGAUAUCCUCCUUACUACUACACAGCUACUGGUGUUGUUUCACACGCGCCUCCUCAAGCCGGGCUCAUGUAUCAACCUCUGCCAUUGAGGCCUGGAUGGAGGGCUAAUGGCUCUGCACCUCCUGUUAGAUCAUUUCAACAGUCACCCAUACCUGUUGUAAGUAACAUCUUUGUUAUGAACCCAAUAAGUAUUGCAUUCACUUUUUCAUGAUUUUUUAAUUAGGAUUCUGGGAAAAUGAAAAAAGGAACUUUCAGGAAAAAAAAAAUUAGCAUGGAGGAACUAAAUUGCAACAGUAAUUUUAUUUGGAGAAAUUGCUCCUAUUUCAAUGGUGGCAGUUUAAUGAGUCAUUUAUAUUAAUGCCUUUCAUUCGCAGGCUUCUAAUAAUACUAGACAGCAUAGGCAAAAUAGGGGCAGGAUGAAUGGGCAUGCAGUAUCACAGGGAAAUACUCACUCUGGUACAUAUAUGCCACAAGCCCAGCAGGCUUCUCAGUCAGUGAUUUCUCCAAGAGAGUCAAGUACUCAGCAGGUUUUUUCUUUCUUACUUUCUCUUGCCCCCCUUUUCACUUAUAGAACAUGAUUCUAACAUGUUAAAAAUCUGUUGUAUCUGUAAAUGUUUGAUGCAUUUCACAUUUAUUUCUCUACACAACUGUCAGGUCUCACGGAGGUGCCAAUGCUACUUGUUUUUCUGAAAAACACUUUAAAAUGCCCUAAAAAUAAUUCCAAACUGAGCAUGAACUCAGGACUUGAAAAAUUUGUUUGUUUAGAUUUGAUAUAAAAUAGUGGAGAUGUCUGGAUUUUAUUUCAAAACAUGUGCUUUGAUCCCUUUCUAUGCAUGUUUUUCAUAGUUGUGUUCUCAAGUUUGUCUCCUUUGCAGAGAACCGGACAGGCUAAGUACGUACCUAGUGGACGCCACCGUGAUAUGGAAAAAGGAUCUGGAUUCUCAUCUGGUGGUUCAAACUCUGGCGGAAGCUCCCAGGGAACAGGAGUGCUCCAUAGCAUGCUUGCUAAUGCUACUCCAGAGCAGCAGAAGGACAUACUUGGCGAGCAUCUAUACAUGCUUGUCCAAAAACUCAAGGUACUAUUCUCUUUUGUUGGGUAUUUGAGAUUGGGCUUUUUAAUUCUUCAAGUAUACUCACUAAGCUAUCUUGAGCAGCCUAACCUAGCAGCGAAGAUUACUGGGAUGCUUCUGGAGAUGGACAAUGCAGAAUUGCUGGUUCUCAUGGAAUCGCCAGAGUCUCUUUCUGCCAAGGUGGAAGAAGCUUUCCAAGUGCUGAAGAACUCUAAAACUAAAGUUUCUGGCCAGGAAGUACUUCAUUCGAAUUUCUUCUCAGCUGAGGUUGCAGUGAACUGAAGAUGUUUGAAGCAUAGAUUGAAUCUAUACAGUGUAUUUCCUCAUGAAAAUAACUUUUUAUUUUUCCUGCCUCGGAACUGACUAGAAUUGGUAGUAAUAGUAAAAUUUAGGGAAAAUUUGUUUUGAAUUUUGAUUACACGGAUUAACUUCGAUGAAUUUUGAUUCAAUAUUUUCAUUUUCGUCAAUAUGCUGCUGCUGUCCAUACAGGGUACUUUUCUGUUAUAUGCAUGAACACAGAUCUGAAUCCAGUAAUAUGCAAACACGUCACACUUUUCUACAGUCAAUAUAAUUUAAUCACCAUAGACAAUCAGUAACCAAGACCAGAAGUCAUAUUGGGUCCCGACUAAUCCAAGUCAAAGUCGCGUGGAUCCAUGUAGAGGGAUAAAACUCUAUUAGCAUAGUUUCUUAUUCACAAAACUCAAUUAGUUCUUAUUUAUGGACAUUUAAGUUCUUUGCCAUUUAAGACCAAAUAGUAGUUUGUUAUAAGGAAAAAGAGUGGUAGCAUUCAAACACCCCAUUGACAUUUAGAGUAAAAAGAAAAAGAGAGUAAUCCGAUUGAUGGACUAUGUUAGUGAAGUGAUAGGAACCUGAUAAAUAGAAACAAAAUUAGGACCUGAAUGAGUGAAUGAAAAUUAUGGAAGUACAAAUAUUAGUGUCUUAGUGUCUGUGUUUUAAAAAGCAAAGGCAUAAAUAUAAUGGAUCGAUUAUGUAUUUGCUAUUUUAUUUUAGACAUAUUCCAAAUAUAUGGAUUUGUGUUAAAAAUUCAAGAGAAAUCGUCUUCUCAUCCAUUCACCAUAUGUGAAAUUUCUGGUCUGUAAUUUUUUAGGUGAAUGUGAAACUUUCGAAAGUCAAUUUUUUUAAAAGUUGAAAAAAAAUGAAUGCAUUUUUUUUCAGAAAUUCUUUUUAAAAUUUUCAAAAAAAUUAAAUUAAUGUGAACUUUCUUAAAUGCAAUUUUUCCAUAAUUUAAAAAGAAAAAAUUGGAUGAACACAAAACUUUCAAUGUGCACAUUUUUAAAAGGAGACACCCCCUAAACCAUGUAAAAAGACAAUUUUAUUCUUUUAAUCACAUAAAAGUUUGAAAUUUUUUCACCUCCCACUUUUUCAUCCCACAUAUACGAAAAUUUAACAACUAAUUUUUCAAAAAUUUUGAAACUUUGAUUGAUUGUUAAACUAUCAAACUAAUAGGUGAGUUAAUUUUCGAAACUUUUGUGUAAUUUGAAGUUAUCGAAAUGUAAAAACUGUUUUUGAAACUUUCACAUUUAAAAUAAGUUUCGAAAUUGAUCAUUUUGAAAGUUUGAAACUGUUAGUUUCUUAAGUUUUAAAUUUUUGAAAUGGGUGAUUUUUUAAGUUUUUAAAAAUCAAACUUUUAAAAUAGAGAUUACAUUUCGAAAUUUUCAGUUUUCAUUAAAGUUUCGAAAUGUAAAAUAAUUUUAUUUAAAAAUAGUUAAAUUUUGUAUUUAAAAUAUAAGUAUUAAUUAAAUUUAGUAUAUUGUUUUAAAUCAGGCAUAAGUAGAGUUGAGGGUGAAGUUCAUGCUACAUCGUCGACCAUAGAUUCUGCAGAUAAAUUCACGACCGAUCACAAGAAAAAAUCAACUGUAACUUGUUAUCACAAGAAAAAAUGUUCAUUCAAACUCAAAUGUAUACCAUUAAUUAUCGUGAAUGACGGAAAAUUAGUGUUUGUUGUGGAACACACAAUCACGAUUUAGCGUAUACUUUAACCAAUCAUUCAUAUUUUGAGCGUUUAAUGAAGAGAAGAGAAAAUUUGUUAAUGACAUGACAAAUUAUAAGCUUGCACCAAUAUGUAUUUUGAAUGCUUUGAAAGAGAAAAAUAAAAAGAAUCUCACAAUUUUCACUCAAAUAUAUCAUCUAUUAAAAUUAAUACAUAAUGAAAAUUAUGUGCAUUGGACAAGAAGGUGGGAGGAUUCAUUUUUGAUAGACAUAUUUUGGACGCAUCUUGAUCGUAUAAAGUUGUUGAACAUGUUUCAUUUUGUUUUGAUAUGUGAUAACACAUACAAAACAAAUAGAUAUCGGCUACCAUUGCUUGAAAUUGUCGAUGUAACAUAUAAUGGGUUAACAUUUUCUGUUGCAUUUGCUUACUUGGAACAAAAGCUACAAGAUAAUUUCAUUUGGGCAUUUAAAAAGGUAAGACGAUUGUUCGUCUAUGAGAAUUUAAUUUUUAAAUUUAUUGUGACCGAUAGAGAUCUUGCUAUGAUAAGUGUUAUUGGUGUUGUAUUUCCUACUUCAAUUAAUUUGCUAUGUCGUUUUCAUAUUAAAAAAAAUGUUGGGGGAAAAAUGAAAAUAAUAUGUGAAAAAGAAUAGACAAGAUGAGGUAAUUGAUUUAUGAAGAAAAAAAAUUGUAUUUUCAACUAAUGUAAAGAAGUAUGAUCAUCACAUACAACACUUUGAGUUAGUGUGUGCCGAUAUUAUCUUUUUUGUUGAUUAUAUUAAACAUUAAUGGUUCACACCUUACAAAGAAAUAUUUGUCUGGGCUUGUACCAAUAGAGUGAUGCAUCUAGGGAAUACAACGAUCAACAUGUACUUUUAAAUUAUGAUUUGUUUUAGAAAUAUGAUUUAGUAAUUUAUGGGAUUUGUUUUGAUUUGUGUUAUUUAAAUUAUUUGUAGAGUUGAGUUUGCUCAUUUGAGAUUGAAAAAUAUGCUGUAAACUAGUAAUGGAGACUUGUGUAAAAGUUGUGUUGACGUGAAUAUGAUGUUGAAAAACCAAACGCAUAGUAUCAAAUCAUCUUUUCAUAAAAUGGUUAUCGAUGUUGAGUAUGGGUAUAAGUCACAAUUUUAUCAAAGAUUGCAUCCACCUCCUGAACUUGUAUUUUCACAUACAACAAUAAUGCAUCCACCACCUGAUGAAAGUGAAACCAAAUGAGCUACUAAAAAGAGAAAAUAAUUUGAUGCUCCUCGUGAUCCUUCGUAUUGGGAGUAUGUUGAUGCCUCUUAGGGAUCUCCAAAGCAACCAUCUCAACAUUUUGCAAAACAACCAUUUCAAGAAUCUGCAAAGCAACCAUCUCAGUGUUAUGUAAAUCAACCAUCUUAGCAUUAUGCAAAGCAACAAUCUCAAGAAUAUGCAAACCAACCAUCUAAGAUACAUUUUUCUACUUUUAUUCAUCAAUAUAUCGAGGACAUAAUAGAUGUUGUGCUUGAUGAAAAUUGUGGUUAUCGCGCAGUUGCAACAUUAUUAGGUUGGAUGAAGGAAUUUUGGCCUUUAGUACAAACACAUUUGGAUAAAGAGAUCAAUCUACAUCAAGAUCUUUAUUCAAAUAUUUUCGAUGACAACGUUGAAACAAUGUAUAACUCAUUAAAAAUUUCUAGUUUGGAUGCUCAAAAAAAAGAUAAGUGGAUGACUAUACCAGAGUUUGGUUACGUGAUAGCGACAAGAUAUAGUGUCGUUUUAGUGUCAUUGUCUCAUUAUUUGAAUAUGAAAUUAUUUCUGCUAAAUAAAUCACCAUUGAAUGAUUUUUCUCUUAAUUAUUUAAUAGCAACUGGAUUUGUCAAUGAAAGUCAUUGGAUACAGAUAACAUCUAUGAUUCAUAGUAUUGUUUAAUAGUAAGUUAAUGUUCAAUAUUAUCUCAUUCGUAUAAACUAAUGUUUAAUAUUUUCUUGGUAAAAUAAAAUUGAAGUCUGAUUGUCAUUUGUCACCCACCUCACAGAAAUUGAGAGACUUUUGUAGUGAUUGUGUGAAAAUAUGAAAAAUAGCUUAUGCAGAACAUCUUAAGCAUUGAGAACAUAUAGAUCCAACAUUUAUUAGACCAUCUUGUAUUUCAUUAAAUGAAGAUUAGUAUAUAUGUGUGAAGUUUUCAAACAAUUGUAUUUCUUUUUUGGUAUCGAGUUAGAGUUGAAAUUUUAAUCAUUUACUUAUAUCAUAGAAUUUAAGUAUUGAUGUUUGAAAAUUCAUAUUAAAAUAAAAAUUCAUGAUACAAAAUAUUGAUAAUACAAAAUAUAUUUAUCAUACACAACACAACCCACUAAUAGUCUCUUGAGAAAAUGCGAAAUAACUCACUUAAUAUUUCAUGAACUUCACCAAUUAGAUUUACUAUGUGUAUGCCCCUACAUAAAAGCUUAGAUGUUAUACGGUCUCGUGUUGAAGAUGAACCAACACGAGUGCAAAGGAUGAUGGAACAUGUGGAUCAACAUGUGCAACAAUAGGUGGACUGGCAGGUGGAGCAUCAGGGAUGAUUAGAUGAUGUGAAACAUUUACGUACCAGACAUAAUAGUCUGCAAUGACCUCGCCAAGAAACAUCGUUGGAGGACAUAGACUCUGAAAGUUCGUUAUACAUGCUCUCAUGGUAUUUUGCCACUUUAUCGCCUAUAACACCUCUAGCGAUAGUAUGAAUAACUUCUCGGUUCGCACCUGGUUCUAGACACAGUAAAAUUAAGUUAAAAUAUUAAUUAUUAUAUCAAUAAUUUUAUAUAAAAAAUUGAAAAAUUACAAAAAUUUCAAAACCUGUAAAGUUUUAAAAUUGAGUUUCGAACAUUUUGAAAGUUUUUCAUAUUUGAAAUGUUUGAAAGUUUUUCAUAUUUUAAAAUUUUCAUAUUGUUCAAGUUUCGAAAUUUCUUGAUUUUUUCUAUUUCAAGCAUUUCAGAUUGUUCGAAAGUUUCGAACAUUUUAAAUUGUUUAAAAGUUUCGAAAUUCAUAUAAAUUUUUCAUUUCGAAAAAUUUAGAUUAUUUAAAAGAUUCAAAAAUCCUUAAAAUCUCAUAUUUUAAAAGUCUGUGAUCCUUCCAAAAUUUAAAAAUAUUUAAAUUUAAUUUUUUAAAAGUUGUGUCAGAAGUUUAAAAAGUUCGAAUAAAAUUUACUUGUUGAUUUGAGAAGAUUCUAGAGUGUUAAGAUUUAUCUAAAAUUUCAUAAGUGAGUGAAAAAGUGAGUUAAAUUUUUAUCAAAUUUUUAUAUAUAAUUAAAAAAGUAAAAUUAUAUUUUUAUAUGUGUUUGGGUGACAUGUAGAUGUAGAAGUGGGGUGGUAAAUUAGAAUCCUUGAAGAGUUUUGUAUAUUUCAUAUAAUCCACAAAGCCAGUCAAUCACCUCCACCACUUCCGCCGCGAGAUUCCUCCUCCUUUUCUCCUUCGUCAUUUAAAUUUUAGGGUUUCUCUUUCCUUCAUGACGACCGCAAAAGGUCGAAGACGAACGAGAUCCGAUGACUCCGCAUCAGAGUCGGACUCCAACCACCGCCGGAGAACUAGUCGCGGGUCACGGCGGGAUUCAGAUAAUUCCAGUGACGAAGAUGAUAGGAGUGGAAGAAAGAAAAAGUGUUCGAGGAAAAUCACUGAAGAGGAAAUUACACAGUACAUGGCUAAGAAGGCUCAGAGAAAGGUUUCAAUUUGUUUUUAAUUUUGAAUUUUAUCUAUGAUUUGAUUUCAUAUGUUGAAUUUUAUGCUCAUUCUUCUUUGUUUUUUUUUUGUCAGGCUAUGAAAGUAGCAAAAAAAUUAAAGACUAAUACGGUAUCGGGUUAUUCCAAUGACUCUAAUCCAUUUGGUGAUUCUAAUCUCAAUGAAAAGUACGUUUCUCCUUUAAUUUUUUCCCUUUGCCAUUGUUACUUUUAUUGUUUGGGUGAUUGAAUUAAACUUAUGUUAGAUUCCUUAUUAUAUAAUUGUACUUAAAUAUUGCAGUACUGGUCGCCCAUUAGAGAACAUAUACGAAUUAUAAACCUAAAAAAAUGUUAUUGGUAGGUUUGUUUGGCGCAAGAAGAUUGAGCGUGAUGUUACUCAAGGUGUAUCUAUUGAUUCCUUUUCAGUUAAGGCUGAGAAGAAAAGGCAAAAAGAUAGGAUGGUAUGCAUUUCAUUCUCAGAAAUUUACUUUUGUGUGUGUACAUUUCUUGGUAUUGGUAUCUGGUUAGGUUACGUUUGGAUGAAGGAUUUUAGAGGGGGAAGGGAGGACUUAUAUUUAUUUUCUAUAUUUAUACCAAAAUAUAGACUUAGUUCUCUAAAACUCUCACUUCAAACAUACUCUUAGCUUUCUGAAUGUAAAUGUUUCAAAUUGAAUAUUUUUGUUGCUUACUACUCAGCUUCCUAUUAUUGUUGCUUUGACCAGUGUACACAAUAGGCUAUUUUCAUCCCUCAUUGAACCUUUUCACUUUCUGAAAAUGCUGAUUCUAUUUUAGCGUGAACUGCCAUUUUCUUCAAUAUCCAUCUUUAUUCUGGAUGAAAUCUGGUUUGUUGAGUUUCGUUAAAACUUAACUAAGGAAUUUAUGAUAGUUCAGCAAUUCACUAGCCUUAUUUAGUAAACUCGUGCUUGAGGUAAGGCUUUGCACGUUUCUUCUUUGUUUUCACAAUUUGAUUGGUUCUGUGUUUUUUUACUAAUGGUCAAACAACUAAAUGUUCUUGUUGCUUACUAUUACUAUAUUCACAAUUACAAUACAGGCAGAAAUUGAAAAGGUGAAGAAGAGGAGAGAGGAAAGGGCACUUGAGAAAGCACGGCAUGAAGAAGAAAUGGCAAGUUUUUUUCUCAUUGUUUGUUUUUUAAUACUUAAUAGGUAUUAUGAGGAUAUUAUUUAUGUGGCGUUAACUAUGAUUAGCCUAAGCUUGUAUUGUUCUACUAGUGGUAGUGUGUUACUAUGUUCUAUACCUGACAUAUUAGUUAAACCAGAGUCUCAGACUGGUGUCUAGUAUUGCAGUUAUUCAGUCUUGUAUUGAUGAAACAAAAUUCAGUCUUAUUAGUUAAAUAUAUUCUGUUAUUUCCUUUACGAAAUCCCUAAACUUCAACUGUUAUCAAUUUAUCAUUUUAAUAUGUUGGUAGAAAAUCUUUUAUUUAGCCACCGUAAAAGUUUGUGGUUCUAUUCUAAUGUGGCAUACCAAUUAUAUCAAGGUUACACAUCAGCUCUUGUAUUUGGGGAAAAAUUUAAGGCUGCAUAUCAGUUAUUUUCUUUAACCAGUGAUGCUAUAAACUCAACUUCACUCUGGAUUUUGAGGCUCAAAUGUGGUGGCAAUAUUUAUAAGAGUCAAGUCAAGGCUUGGCAUAAGUGUUAGAUUAGUGAUGUCACAAACUAUGUUAUCUUAUUGGCAUUUGACAAACUCUUUCUUCCAGGCAUUAUUAGCUAGAGAACGAGCUCGAGCUGAGUUCCAGGACUGGGAAAAGAAGGAAGAGGAGGUACUGUGCUUUGAGUUCCCUUACAUUUGUUCUUGUUUAGUAGUAGUAUUGCCUUUUUGUUGACAUAGACUAUUUAAUCUGCAGUUCCAUUUUGAUCAAAGCAAAGUUAGGUCAGAGAUUAGACUGCGUGAAGGGCGUGCCAGGCCAAUUGAUGUCUUAACCAAGCACCUCAAUGGCUCUGAUGAUUUGGAUAUAGAAAUAAAUGAACCAUACAUGGUCUUCAAGGUUAAUAUCCAGCUUUCUAUUCCUUUUCAUUCUGUUGUCUUAUUCCUUUAACUGUUUUAACGUCACGUAGUAUGAUUACAAAUAUACAACUGAAUGUUAAUAUUAUUGAACAAGUUAAAUAAUGAUUUGAUGCAGGGUUUGACUGUUAAAGAAAUGAGUGAACUUCGCGAUGAUAUAAAAAUGCAUCUGGAUCUUGACAGGGCAACGCCAACCCAUGUGGAAUAUUGGGAGGUAUCACUCGGUUUGCAUUGUUAGUUUUAUGGUUUUUAGUCCUGCACAGGUUAUGUAACUUAUAAGUUUUACUGUAUCUGACACAACACAUCGAAGAUAAUUUCAACAUAAAAAUUUGAGUUAGAUUGGAGACCAAAAGAACAAUGACUUUCACGAUCUCUUCCCUUUCCUUUUUAUGUAACUCAUGUGGCCAUUAUGGUUGUCCCCUUCUUCAAAGCUGAAGACUUAUUGUUGUACAACUUCACGUAGGCUCUCCUUGUGGUGUGCGAUUGGGAGCUUGCUGAAGCUCGGAAAAAGGAUGCAAUUGAUCGAGCUAGGGUGCGUGGAGAAGAACCUCCUGCUGAGCUGCUUGCUGAACAAAGGGGUCUGCAUUCCAGUGUUGAGCCAGAUGUGAAGGAUCUUUUACAUGGAAAGACACGCAUAGAGUUGGAAGCCUUACAGGCUCACAUUGAAUCAGAGAUGCGUACUGGUACAGCAAAGGUGGUUGAGUACUGGGAGGCGAUUUUAAAACACCUCCACAUAUACAAGGCCAAGGUAUUCUACGUCACAGUAUUUUCCGAUCAUUCUUUUAGGUGCCUUUAAACAUUUGUUCUAAUACAUUACUAACAUGCUUCAAAUAUAGGCUUGCUUAAAGGAAAUCCAUGCUAAAAUGUUACGUAAGCACUUGCAACGUCUUGAGCAACCAUUGGAGGAUGAAGACAAACUGGAGAGUGCUCAUGUCACGAUACCUGAGGAAUCAUAUACUGAGGAUGAUGCUAAAGGUAUGUGCUUUUUGUUGUGGUUUAGUUGUUCAUGAUUUUUUGUAUUGGCUCUAUCUAUCUCUUCAUCCAUGUUGAAAUUUGCUUGGUAUUUCUCUAUUGUGGUAGUCCGCUCUGCAGAUGAAUCAUUUUCACCCGAGCCCAUUAGAGAGAAUCAAGAAGCUGAAGAUGAGGCUGGAUCAUUUUCACCACAACUGUUGCAUGAUGAUGAAAAUGAGGAAGCUAUUGAUCCUGAAGAGGACAGAGCUAUACUGGUAAUCUUUUUAAGCAUGGUUAUUAAUGGUGAUCCCAUACCUAUAUUAUGAAUAUAUAGAUUUUAAUUUCACUAUGUCGGUACAUAUAGGAGCGGAAGCGUAUGGCUGUAUUAGAAGAGCAGCAAAGACGAAUUCAGGAAGCAAUGGCAUCAAAGCCAGCUCCAUCUGAAGAUCAUUUUGAGAUGAAAGCCAUAAAAGCUAUGGGAGCUAUGGAAGAUGGAGAUGCAAUGUUUGGAUCUGGUGCCGAAGUGAGCCUAGAUUCUCAGGUAUUGUUUGUGGACCAUAUAUGUAAUUUAUCACUCUUUGCGGAAUAGAAUCAUCAAAUCAUCCAGAUUCUUAGAACUGGAUCAGUAUAAUAGAGGAACUUUGUGUGCCAACAGUUCAAAUAUCCUUUUGUCAUAUCCUUCAGCUACUUCUUUCCACCAUAAAAGUUGGCACUAGAGACAGAGAAUACACUAUCAAUUAUGUAUUUUGAUAUUUUAAGGAGAAAUAAAAUAUCUAAAUUCUCCUGAUUGUUUUCAAUUUUAAGUUGUUGACCCUACUGUUAAAUGUUGGAGCAGGUUUAUUGGUGGCAUGACAAGUACAGACCAAGGAAGCCAAAGUACUUCAACCGUGUUCACACUGGAUAUGAGUGGAACAAAUAUAACCAGACUCACUAUGAUCAUGACAACCCACCUCCAAAGAUUGUUCAAGGAUACAAGUUUAAUAUUUUCUAUCCAGAUCUUGUAGACAAGAUAAAAGCUCCAAACUACACUAUUGAGAAAGAUGGCAGCAAUGGGGAGACUUGUAUCAUAAGAUUCCAUGCAGGGCCACCAUAUGAAGAUAUAGUAAGUCUAUUAUUCUUGAUCACUUGACAAUGUGUAACUUUUAAUCGGUUUACUUAUUUCCUUAUAUAAGGGUUGGAGUGUUAAGGAAAUCGGGAGUUCAAUUCCUUCUACUAAUGCGCUAUCUAUUAACAGUUUCCGUAAAAAUACUUAUUUCCUUGUGUCUUCCAUGACAGGCUUUCCGCAUUGUAAAUAAAGAAUGGGAAUAUUCUCACAAGAAAGGUUUUAAGUGCACAUUCGAACGUGGAAUUCUGCAUGUAUACUUCAAUUUCAAACGCCACCGCUACCGUAGAUAGUUUCAUAUCAGGCAAUGGCUCACUUUCUGUUGAGCUUCUCCUUCUGGUUUGAGGGAGGUUGUAAGUUGCUGCCAUAUUUUAUUGUAAAGAGGUGCUAGCACCAGAGAUAGAGAUGUUCUGGAAAUCAACUGCUUGGAAAUGAGACCUGGGAUAAAUUCUUUAGUAUGGAGCAGUAGUGUUGUACUCCCCAUGAUUAAGAUUUGAUCUGACUUUUGCUAAAAAUAUUUUAAUGUAAUCACAUAGUUUUAUGUAUUCGGUACGGUCCUCCAAGAACAUACAUAAGAAUCUCGAGAUAGAGAUAGGGAUGGGUGAGAGAUAUCAAUGAGUGCUGCAGUAUCAGUUUUGUCAACUGCUCAUACCUUGAUUUUUAAGUUUUCACUUAAGUCGGUUAAAAAAAACCAACAUGCCUGUUAUGGUGAUGAUGUGCCUGUUACGAAGUAAAAAAAAGAAAAAAGAUGAUGUGACUGUUAGUCUGUUAUCAUUUUAUGUGGAAAGUUCAACUAAACUUUUAACCAAAAGAAAUUAAUUUUUUAUUGGUUUAAAAUACUUUUUAUUGGAUUUUUGGUCUCAUAUUUCACAUUUUACAGAAUUUUUUUUGUCCUUUAAUUUUGAUGAAUUGAUGAUCUCAUUUAUGACGUGGUGCUUAGAUGUUAGCAGUGACUUGGAAAAAUAGAAAUUGACCUUAAAUCUCCAAAUUUCAUCUUCUCUCUUGUCUUUCUCCAAUUUUUAGAUUAGAAUCUCAUCUAAAAUCUGAUUUAUAUUUCGACAUCGACGGAGCUUGUAAUUGCAAAAUCAAUGUAGGAAAUGGCACUCACAAUCCCAAAUGGCCGUGAAAAUUUCAUGAUUGUGAUCUUUCUAGGUUUGACACAUUUCUUAAUCGAUUCACGCUUUGGUUGAUUAUUUAUAACUAAAAAAUUUCAUCAUCUAUCCAAUCAUAAAUGUUAUAUUGCUAAACAGGACUGAAAUAAUUUGGUUUGAUUUAUGGCUACAACAUUACUAUAUCUUAAACGGUGAUAUUGCAUAUAUGAUUUAGUAGGUGAUGAUUAGUGAAUGUUUCACGUGAUUGGGGUUUAUACGAGGAACAACUUGAGAAUUAAACAAAUUUUGAAAAUCAAAAGGUUAUGGAUAAGAUUUAAUGCAUCUGAGAAUCUUGUUAGCUUAGAUUGACAUUGAGAGAUGUAUGAAUUUUUGGUUGAGACUCAGACAUGGAGAAAAAUGAGGGAGAAGAUGAAAUUUGGAGAUGUAGGUUGAUUUUUUUGUUUGUACAUAUUUAGUAUUCUUAAUAUAAUAAAUAAUAUUUUAUUAUUAAAAAAGAUUUUUACAAAUUAUUAAUAAUGAAUGUGUUGAUGUGGACUGUGUUUUUUUUUCAAAAUACUAAGACAUCUUAUCACCACUUCAUAAAUUAGAUACCAUCUAUCAAAAUUAGAACGAAAUUAAAAUAUUCUAUAAAAUAUGAAAUAUGAGAACAAAAGUCUAAAUUUUAAAAUGGAUAAAAUAUGAGAAUAAAAGUAAUUUAAACAUCUUUUAUUUGAAACAAAAAUAUCAAAUUAAUCUAAAAUAUGAGUUUUGUAAUUAGAACGAUAUCUUUCUUUAUAAAUUAUAUUUAAGAUUUUUAUCUCUCUACUCAAUGUUGAUUUGGGUUUUUUUCAAUAUUAAAUGAAUUUGAAACUUUGCUCAAAUUUAGCAUCCAUGACUAAACACAAUCAUUAUCAUUGGAGGAACUCAAACCCACAAGCACAAGCUAUUGUGAUUUUAUUUGUUUUUUGCAUUGUCAAGAACACCUUUCUAUUCCUGUUGAACCCAAAAUUAGUGCUUCUAUUUCUUGUUUGAGGAUGAGAAUAAAAAUGGAGGAGCAAAUAAAAAACCCUCAGAAAAAUGUUCCCCUCUUCUUCAUAUGUCUCAACAGAAGAAACAAAUAAUCUAUUAGGGCUAAGCUAAGCAAAAUCAGUUGACUUGGUCGAACUCAAAUCAUUUGAAUAAAUCAAUUUGAUAAGUAGGCGGGUUUUAUAACGGAUCACAUGUCAUACAAGUUCACAAAUGUAGAUAUAUAUAAUGUCAGAGUAGUCAGGUGCGGAUUAACUGAAUUAACUGAAUCUGAUCGCUUCACUUAAAACUCGAAAUAUAAAAGUUCAAAUUUUUUAGGAUGAGUUUCUUAGUCUCAUUUAGUAAUCACACCACCAAUAUGAUAUAAAUAGACUAUUUGAUAAAAAAGACUUAUUUAAAUAUUGACAAAAAUAUUAAAAUCCCAAUAAGUUUUUUCUUAAAAAAUAAAAUUUAAAAAUAAAAUGUACAAAAAACUAAAAAAAGUAAACAUUCCAAUAUAAACUCAUCACCCGUAGAACAAACUCAUGCAUGAUCUGCACCAGUCGAAACCCAUUUAAACCAAUGCAAAAAUUGAUUGAAAUUGAACCCGUAAAUUGCAUACUCAAUUUUCGUUGAUUUGACAAACUUGGACUCAAAUCCGCCCAUAUUCGAGCGAUGUUCAUCCCUAAAAUCUUCAAGAAAUACGAUAAAGUGAUCCAAUCGGAGAAUAUCAUGCCUAUUUAUGUAUGAAAUAGACUCCACAAUGAUUGUGAAUACCAUGAAUUCAUCCACUGAAGAUUUUUAAAUAUACGAUUGUUUGAUCUAAUUCUAUUUUAGUUGCAUAAAGUUUGGUUGUUGUUGUGGAUUCGAAGAAAUUCCCAAUUUCGGAUUUGAAGAACCCUACUCAAAAAGCUUUCAUCAAUAUUAUUCAUGCAUAAAGUCACGCACUGCAAUUCUUUUCACGUACAGUGACUUGAUGCAUAAAUUUAGAUACAUGAAUUCAAUUUGUUUAAUUAGUGAAUUAUUGGCUUCAACAAUGGAGCGUUAAUUUAAUAAUUUUAGUUCAGCAGUAACCUAAUCAAUAAUCUUUAGACACUUCAAAGAAAAAAAAAAUUAAAGAAUUUUGUUAACUGUUCUUAAAAUACCUGUCAAAAAAUAAAUUUUAAAACUUUUUAGAAGUUGAAUAAACUACCCGGAAAGUUUAAAGGAAUUAUGCAAAGCAUUAUAAGGAGUUAAUGACAUAGCUUUUGACUCAUCCCACUCUUUUAAAGUUAGAUAUAUAUCUUUGCCUUAAAAAGUUUUCCACCGGUAAUCAAGUUUUCCACCAUAAAACCAAUUCAGUAUACAUGGUGAAAACUUUGUCAAAAAAUAAAUAUAAGUGGUGAAAAAAACAUGCUGAAAAAAUGGAAAACUGAACAAAUCAUUGAAAAUUAUUUUAUUACUUCUUUCUAUGAUAAAUAUAAGAUAAAUUUAUAUCAGUAAAAAUUGGUAUAUUUCAGUUAAAUUUUAAAUACAAUAUAUCGAUAUUAUAUUUAAAAUUUGAUAAAAUAUUAUAUUAUUAGAUUUCUUAAAAACCGAUACAAUCCAACUCAAACCGAUGAUAUAUUUGUGUAAUUUAAAAACUGAUUUCAUUUGUGAAAUUUCAUUUAUAAAACUAUCAUAUUACUAAAUUCAAACCGAAUAUAUAUUCAUUUGUGCAAUUUUAUUUAUAAAACUAUCAUAUCACUUAUUCAUUGUCGCACUAUUCAAAUUUUAAUUUCAUUAAUUAUUUUGAGCUAAGUUGCAAAAAGUUUUAAUCCAAUAGUUUCCACAUAAGGGUUUUCUUGUCUUCUGUACUAGAAAGUCAAAAGCAAUUAGCAAGUAGUAGUAUACUCGGGAUUUAUUUGUUUUGAAAAUAUAUGUAGAGGAUAUAAGUAAUGGAUUAUUGAUGAGUAUCAUCAACUUUGCAGGCCCUAUUAGGAAAAGAAAAAUUGCUUAUAAUCCUUCAUGGAUUAGACUAAUCAUGACCAUUAGGUGAUGCUUUCCUAGUAGAACAAAAUGAAAUUUUUAUUUUAAAAAGUUUGAGUGAAAACACUUGCAUAAGUUGCUAAAGGAAGACCACUUUGGAGGACAAGACAAACCAUUCCAAAUAUCUCAAUACUUGCAUAUACUUUGGAAUAAUAGUUCAUACUUUCUAAAGAUGGCAUAUGAUUCUAAUGUUUUUUUUUUUAAUCUAAUCUAAUUUUGGAAUCACUUUAGUUCCUUUUCUUAGUGGACUACUCAGUAUCUUUCAAAAUACUCGAUUGCACAUUGUUUACAAUUACAUAUAUAUCAAUACAACUUUAAGUUUUUCAUAGUACAUAAUUACGAAAAAAAACAUUUUGAAACAUAAACUUGACAACAAAAAUAUACAAUAAUUUGAAUGUUAACGACAUUUAAAUAUAUGAAUUACAUUCAAUGAAUAUAACAAUGUGUCACAAUUCAUUAACCAUAAACAAAACAUAAUUAACCACAGUUAGUAAACGCCAAUAACUGUGAUUUUCAGAGUCCUAAUAUACAUGAUAUUCAUUAUAACCAUCUAAGUUCUAUUCAAAUUUACAUGAUUUUUUAGAUUUUCAAAUAUAUGAUGUAACCUUGUUAUAUCAAUUAACCAUCUACAUCUACUAAGUGUAAUGACCAUAUAUUUGAAAUGCAUUAAUAUUCAAAUUGUUUAAUUUUAUUUUCUCAUUUUAGUUUAUGGCAAAAUAACACAACUCAUUAAUUAAAUACUAGGCUCACUAUUACACAAUACACUUGCUAUCAAACAGAAACCACAUUCUGCAUACUUCACUCUUGAUCUUCAAUCCUAAUUAUGCUUAGGAGGCGUUCGACAAUAUCCCUCAUACAAGGCCUGUCAACUUUCUUCUCCCUAAGACAAUCAUGUGCAAGCUCCCAAAAAAGUCUUAUGCUUGUGAUCAAUUUACCACUUGAUGGUUCCAAAGAUAGAAGAAGAAGCCUUUGAUCAACCACUUGCAUGAUUGCACCAUUGCUUGCAUAUUGACUCACAUGAAUUACCAAGUUGACAUCAUCUUGAUCACGAGAGAAGUCUAUCGCUUUCUGUGAAGUCAAAAGCUCUAGCAGCACAACUCCAUAGCUAUAAACAUCACUUUUAUCAGUUAACUGAUAGUUACGAUAAUAUUCUGGAUCUAAGUACCCUAGUGUCCCCUGAGCACACGUAGACACGUGACUAAGUCCCGGGUUAGCCAAUCUCGAGAGUCCAAAAUCUGAAACUUUCACGUCAAAUUCACCGUCUAAUAGUAUAUUUGUUGAUUUAACAUCUCUAUGGUAAAUUGGGGUGUGUGCAGAAAAAUGUAAAUAAGCCAAUGCUUCAGCUGUUUGAUAAGCAAUUUUGAGCCUUUUUUUCCAAUCCAAAAAAUUGGGAUACCUACCAUGAAUAUGGUCAUAGAGGGUGCCAUUUGAGAUAUACUCAUAAAUCAUCAAAGGCUGAUCAGAUUCCACACAGCAGCCCAAGAGUCUGACUAGGUUCUUGUGAUUGACUUGAGAAAGUAUUGAAACCUCAUUAAGCACUUGUUGUGUGCUUUUAAGGUUACCAACUCUAGCUUUCUUGACAGCUACCAACGUUCCAUCUUGUAGUUCACCUUUGUAAACUUCACCAAAGCCACCACUUCCUAGGAUCCUGUCUUGUGAGAAACUGUUUGUUGCUUUCUUCAACUCUUUCAGCUGAAACAUCCUGUAAGGUUUCUCACCAGUGUUUGAUUUGAGAACAAUUUCUCUUUCCUUGGCCUGAUUCUCCCUAUUGUUAUAGUGUUUGAAUUUGAAGGACUUUGUGAUGAUGACAAGAACCACAGCCAAUGAGAAAAAAGCAAUAACCCCUAUUGAGACAACCAAGCUGGUUUUCCAUUUGGAUUUUCUCUUGUACCUUACACAGGUUGCUGCAAAAGGAUCCCAAUGAAAUCCUUUAUUACAAAAACAGCGAAAGACUGCAUAUCUACCAGAAGGGGAACACUUAGAGUCUCUAGAGCAAUCCCUUUGUGUCCUACAGACAGGUUCAGGUGGAAGAGACCAUUGAAUCUCUAAGCCUUCCUCCCACUGAUUAGGAGGUUUGUCUUGGUCCAAAUGAAGGAUGCUUCUGAAUGCUCUGCAACCGGAAUCGUGAAGACGAAUCUUGUAAGCCGAAGGCAUACCACCAGCAACAAAGGUGCAACAAGGGUGAAGACCGCUGGCACACUCAAGUGCUCGCUUUGUGUCAACGUGACCUGAAUUUUCCAAGUAACGAUGACAAGUACUAGAAGAAGUGCAGUUAAGAGGAGAAACCAAGAGGCGAGGGGAACAGUUGAAGAGGAACACUGUGUUAGAUGAAGUUAUUUUGAAAGGAAGGGACUGAUUUAACCAAAUACCGUUGCUUACCGGCAUGUCUUGUGUGACACAUGAACCAGGUAACCAAGGUGGUGGCUGCACCACGAUACGCUGGAUUGAAGACAUGAUUCUGAGUACAACAUAGGAACUGCCAUUGAGAGUGUCAAAGUAAAGCUUUUGAGAAUGGGGAUCGCAACGAAGCCUAUAGUAGGAAUCGCCACAGUUGGGGUCUGUGCUCAAAGGAUAUGGAACAUUCAUAAAGCCACAGUUUGGACAAGUCUUUUGUGAACAAGUAUAAUGACCAAGGAAAAGGCAAAUAAGAAAGACAUAUCUAAAAUGGAAAUUAUGUCUCUUGUUUGACUCAACAGUCAUUUUGCAUGGACAAUUAGGAGAAGAAAACUCUUAUGCAUUAUAUGAAGGCAAUCAAAGGAAUAAAAAGGCUACGCAUAGCUAUUGCAAUGGAAUAAAGUAUGUAAAAUACAAGUUAAAGUGGCUCCUAGAAUCUAGAAAAUGGAGUACCAUAAAAAUAUAAAGAUCUAUGGGACCAAUCGAUACCAGAUGGAUGGUCAUAGAUACAGAUUUUGUAAAUAUACUCUCUUUUAUAAGGUGCAAAGAGAAAACGCUUUGGAACUUGCUCAGCUUUGCAGAGUUUUUCUUCCUUUGAUUUUAGUCAAGCAAGACGUACAUAAAUAUCAUAUCAUAGUGGACAAAUUAGUGAUUAAAAUAUACAAAAUGCGAGAAGGCUAGACCAUAUUUGCAAAGGGAUCUAAUAAAGACAUUUGAUUUGAAAUCUAAGAUUAUGAUAAACAAAACUUGCACUUGCUUAAGAAUCUGAUAUCACACACUUCCUGUCAAUAUCAUUUUUCUGAUACUCCAUUUGAUAGUUGACAUAUAUAAAAGUAGUAUUUAAAUACUCAAACAAGCACGUGUUUAGUAUUGAAUGGAGUGUCUAUGGUAUAUUAGAUAUUUUCCUAAUCAAGCAUGAUCAUAAAUAUGAUUUGACAUGAUUCAAAGGUUGGAAAAAAAGACUACAUACGCAUCUAGCUAUAUUGAUAGUCAAGAUUUUGAAUGGCAUAUUUGUAACAUAAGACAAGCGAAACCUGGUCACAGAAUCUGUUCUCAAUUUCAAACAUAGAAUCUAGUCUUUUAAGGAUUGUUCCAGCUCAGGUUGACUAGCUUGUGUAAAAUCCAUGAUGCUGCAAUUAUUUCAAAACUCUUAAUGUGUGUUUGGAAAAAUGCAAAAUCACGUUUCAGAAUAUGUCCACUAAUACUCUCCAAAGAGUAGCUUCUCUAAAUCACGGCCAAAAUGCUUGGGAACAAGAUAAAUUGACUACAAAUCUCAUUCCAAACAUAUGCUUAGUGUGUGUUUGGUUAUACGGUAACAACAUUGAUUGUGAAUGAAUUGAUUAUGUGGCUUAAAGUGAAUUGAAGCUGAAGCGAUUGUGUUUGAAUAUAUUUAUGUAAAAGUCAAUUGAGUGAUUGUGUUUGAAUAUAUUCAUGUAAAAGUCAAUUGAUAGAUGCUAAAAAUCAAUUAUAGAGCCAAAAGCUCCAAAUUCAAACUUCAUAAUAGAAUAAUUUCUGGAGGGCAAAAUUAAUUCUACUUAGAACAAUUAAACCUCAACUCAAAGUCAAGUAUUUACAUCUAGAAUCAAUUUUCAAUUUUGCCUCCUCCAAACUCAAUUCUACACUUAGUAGUUAAUCACCUAUUCAAUUGAAAAUGAAAAAGAAGAUCAGUAGUUUAGGGUUCAAAAAAAAAAUUUAAAAAGACAUAUUAAUCGUAAAAUAAAACAUUCUAAAUAAGUAAAAUAAAAUGAUGAAACAAACAACGAAAACCUAAGUGAAAAUAAAAUGCAUCCAUUAAUGAUAAAAAAUUGUAGGAAUAAGGAAAAAUCAAAAUGCAGAAAGAAAAACACAGAAAUUCAAUUCGAAGGACGAAGAAAUCGAUAGGAAAAAAAACCUCAAAAAAUUUGGACCAUUUCUCGAUUUGUGCGUGUCAUCCUUGCGCAGGGGCCAUGCUAAUCUUCUCUGUAUCGUUCCAAUUUUAUCGGAUGUCCCCGAAGGGACAGUAGUAGAUGUUCUGCGAUAGUAUAUAAACAGUGAAAUUUAUGAUAUGUAAACAAUGUGGGACUUAAACAGUGAUAAACUAGAGGGUCUACUGGACUUGUAUGGUAACCAUCUUUUGUAUUUAUACUCUCGGUCCAUAUAAAUUAAAUUCAAAAAAUAAAUGCAUGGAAGGUUUUAAGUAUUAACAUUAAGAAUUAAGAGUUAUAAAAUUUUAUAUGAUUAUUUUGAAAAAAAAAACUCAAUUAUUUGAUCGAUAAUAAAUGAUAAAUUGUAUAUAAAAUAAGUUAAAUUAAAUAUAAAAUUAAAAUGCUAUAAAAACACAUGGUAUUCUUUCGUGUGUGUGUAUAUAUUCGAAACACAUAAACUUGUAAAUAAAGUAAUUUAAAUGAAAUGUAAAAUUGAAAUAAAAAGUCACACUAAAAUGGUGUAUUCUCUUUUAUAGACAUGGAUAGAUAAUAUGUGUAGUGUAAUAUGAUGGAUUUCUCCCUUCAAAAAAUUGAAGAGAUUUCCACCAAAGGAAAUCAAUUCCUAGAUAAAAGUUAAUAUAUCUUAUUAUCAUCUAACUUCGGUUAUAAAAUUUAUCGGUUGAAAUUUCUACUAUUUAUUUCUAGUAAGUCUUUGAGAGAUAGUUGAAUGCUAAGGAUUUUCACUCAACUUUCAAUUAAAAAUGUUAUAGAAAGAAUUUGAUUUCUCAUCUAAUUUGUAUGUAGUAUAACAUCACUAAUUUUAAGUGGUGAAGUCCAAUAAAUUUCUAUUGUGAAUUCAAUAUGUUUUUUAAAAAAAUUGACAACAUGGAUAAAAACCAAAAAAGUUUUUUUGAAAACCAAAAACUUAAAUAUUAUAAAGAAUAAUAACAAUUAGUUUAAACACAUGAUUACAUCUCAAGUUGUAAUGAGAUUUUUUUUCAAAAUGGUCAUCACUUACCUCUACCACAGGUCCACAACCAAGUAAUUGACAACUUGUGCACAAGAAGAGCAGUGACAAUAAGUUAACUCAAUACUGUUUUUCUAACACUAAGCCACUUUGGAAAAUUAAUGUAGAUUCCACGAUUAUUUUGAGAAUAAAUCUUCGUAAAGUUAUGAGACCAGACAAAUUAAUUUUACUUAGUGCUUAUAGAUUUACAAUAAAGUUGACAAAAUUAUAAUAAACCAUUUUAAUUUUGUAAAACUAUAGAGUAAUUUUACCAAUUAUAAUAUAAAAUAUCUAGUAAAAAAGAGUAUUAGAAUAAGUGUCAGUUGUCCAUAUAUCUCAAAUGUCAAAAAAAUAAAAUAAAUUGAUCAAUUCUCAAAAGUUAAAUAGAAAUAAAAGAUUACAUGCAACUCUUUUCGUCACCAAGUAUGACAUGUGUCUAAAUUGAAUAAUCCUUAUUCGUCUGAAUAUUAACUAAUGCUUAAUAAUAUUAGGCUUCCAGGAAGACUUGUCAUGUAUAUUAACCAGGAGUAAUUCCAAUCCAUAAUCAACUACUCGAUACAAUAAACAAAACGAGAACAAUAAAUAAAUGUCGUGGAAAUGAAAAUCACUCACAAUAAUAACCUCUCAAACAUACUAUAGGGUGGUUGGUCCCUUAUUUGCAGUGUUGGGACACCAAACAUGUAGCAUUGCUUGUAAUUGGCUAGCUCUGGUAUACUAAUAAAUUAAUCAUUACACGAUCACAACUCAAUUACCACGUAAUUAUGCCUUUAUUAUCACAAAUUAAUUAAUAUCAAAAUAAUAAGAUUAUUAUUUAUUUAAGGCAUAAUAAUAACAAUAAUAAAUAUUGUAAGUAGGCGUCAUCGUCAUCAUUUUGAAUUGGAGACUCUCUUCUUGUUGAUAAAAUCCUUGACUUGCGAAAUCAACUGAGAAGACUCGGGCAAAUCAGGGAAAACAUAAAAAGCAUGAAUCAUGUUUGGAUAUUCGAUUAUCUGAACUUCUUUCCCAUUUUUUCUCAACCAAUCGUAAUACCUCUUUUGCCAAUCAUUUAACGGGUCAAACCCGCCCACAAAAAUAAGAGUAUCUGGAAAAUCCAAACCCGACAAAUCCUCUGAAUUCGGCCCGCUAACAUUAGCAGCUCCAUGAUCCCGAUCUGAUCCCUCCGGCAAAAACACCUUCCACAUCCAAUCAGUCCUCGCCAUCGACACUAGAGGCGAUCCUUCAAGUCGAACCUCCGACUCUGUCCGCUCCUCCCCUCCAAAAAACGGUUGGAUCGAAAUCAGCCCGACUACCUGGAUGUUUUGGAGCCCCGCUUUACAUACCCGAACCGCAACGUGGUGUGCUAAAUUUGCACCGGCGCUGUCUCCGGCGAGGAAACAUUUUGACACGUCAGCAUUUUCCGGUAAAACGGUUUUGUUCUCGUCAAGGAAUUUUAAUACCUCUUCACCAUCGUCGUAUUGCGACGGGUAACGAUGCUCCGGUGUGAGACGAUAGUUGACGGAGACAACGACAACGGACAUUUUCCGGCAGAAUCUCCGACAAACGGCGUCAUAUGAGGCUGAAGCUGGAGAAAGAUACGUAAAACCGCCGCCGUGGAAGAAAAUGACGACGGGAAGGGAUGCAGUUUUAUCGUCAGCGUCGCCUCCGUCGACAGUUACGGCGUCGGUGGGAGUGAAGAGACGGAACCAGAUGUUACGUUCGGGAUCAACGGUUACGUCUUUUGUGAAAACGCCGUUAACGGGAGUAAUGUUUGCUGAGCAUUUGCGAUCGAGGAAUUUGAGGAAACCGCGAUUAACGGUGCCGUUAGAACGACGUGAAGCGUCCGAUAGAGCGGAAAGGAACGAAAUCGCAACGCGGGUUUUCCAAGGAAGAGGGAUUUUGGGUUUGUUAGUUGGUGGUGAUGACGACAUUGUCGUUUUGAGGUUCCGUGAUUCAACGAAGUAUGUGAUGAAAUGUGAAGAAAGCUUAGAAGGAUAAAUAAUCAAUCAUGAGAUGGGUGCUUUUAUCGUUUAUUCGUCCUUUUUUGGUAGUAGAUGAGAAAAUAUGUAAAAGUAGUUAGAAAUUGGGAGGACAUAAAUGAACGCACGACGUGCCGUGCAAUGGAGUUUCAAUUUUUAGUCAAAAGUUUCUGGUUCUCUGCCAAAGGAAAAUGGGUCAUUAAAAAAGACGUAAUGUACUCCUAAUUACUAUACUUUCUAUGUUAUUCGGUAUGUCCUGAAUAAAUUUGAGUUUUUAUUUACGACAUUUUACUACAAUUCACUCGCCCUAUUUGAAUUGUUUGAUUAACAUUGUAUGGUUUAAAUUUUAUGUUUGAAUUUCAAUUAUUUUUAAUUUAAAAUUUAGGACAUCUUAUUUUAGUUAAACAAUUUAAAUGUAUAUGAUGUAUUGCAGUUUAUAGUCAAUCUAGGUUUGACUUAAUUUUGAAAAGAAAAAUUAUUGAACAAUUUAGGAUAUUUUAAAAAAAUUAGAAAGUUAUUCAUACUUAUAAAUCAAUCUUCAAUGCUAUGGGAUGGUCUCAACGUUGUCUAGAAAGAUCAAAAUUCUUUAAUUUUUUUUUAAUAUAUUAUUUUAAAAACUGACGUUUGAUAUUAAAUUAUUAAUCAAGUAGAGUUUAUUUGUAUCUCAAUCUACUAAAAACAUUUGAGUAACAUUAAUUAUCAAUUUUACCAUCGGAUGUGGUCUAAAUCAUCAUUGGAUGAGUUUAAGACGAAUUUGUUGCACCUGACUCUACUCGUAAUAGAAUAUAUGUUUGUGGAUGUUUAUGACUCUACUCGUAAUAGAAUAUAUGUUUGUAGAUGUUUAUUUAUUUUAGAAAGUUAUUUAUGUGUCAUCAUCUUUGGAUUUAAAAUCGGUAUUUCAAAAAUAGUAUACUUUUUAUUUUUAAGAUACUACUACCAUUGUUUUAAAGUUUUUUAAACAUACAAGGAAAUUAAUAAACAUUGUUAUUUUUUAGAGGUUUUUUUUAGUACUUUUGAUUACUUAUAUUCUCAUUUCACAUAUUUUUUAUCUGUAGAAAAUAGUUAGAGUAGUAUUUUUGUUAAAACAAUAAUUAACGUUUUUGAUAAAAUAAUUAAUAUUAUUUUAAACUUUAAAAUAUUAUAUUUUAUGUCAAAAAGUUAUUUUAUUUCUUUCGUUUCAUAAUUUCUUAAUUUGUAUGAAUGAUUUAAUAUGACAAUAAUUAUAGAACCAAUGGAUUUAUUAUUAAAAAAUCAUAUUGCGAAGUAAUUAAAAUUCAAUUAAAUGACUAUGUUUUUUUACUAAUAUAUUUCUCAAUAAGUAUGGAUAGAGGAUUGAACCAGUAAUUGAGUAUUACGAAAUAUUAAAUUAGUUUUUUUUUUUUAAAUUAAAAAAAUAUCACUCAUUUUGUUUCUUUUAUUAAAAUAAUUUUAGUAAAUAUCUAUAAAUAUUAAUAAAUUAAUUUUAUACACUGAUAGUAUAAUUUUUUUUAUACAUGUAACCAAUCAAAUAAGUAUUUAUUUAAAUAUUUUAAUAAUUGAUUUUAACAAGUGACAUAAUUGAGUGGUUUGAUUAUGCAUGUGUAGAAAAAAAUUAUAUAAUCGAUGCAUCUAAAUUAUAUUUAAAUAUUAAUAGGAGACUUACAUAUUGACACUUUUAAUAUUUCACUACAUUAUAUCAAAUGUAUAACUUUUUAAAUUAAAAUAUUAAAUUUUAAAAAAUUAUUAAAUUGAUUGACUUUAUUCGACGUAAAAAACUAAAUUAUUAUUAUAUUCUAUAAAUUUAAGAGAUUAAAUUAAUCUAUCGUUAUCAUAUUAUGUCUCGUUUGGUGGACAUAUAAAAAGACGAGAUAGAUUAUAUGUAAUUCGAUCUAGUGUAAUAUUUUUUUGAUAAAACAUAAAUUUAAUAGUAAAGAUUAAUAAGAUACUAGAUGGAUAUAAUCAAAGUAGACAUAGGACUAUAGGAGUUUGUUGAUAAAAAAAUUACUGAUUUAAAAAAUAUAUUUUUAUAAAUAAAAAAAUUGAAGAAUUAAUCUUUUUAAAUUUAAAUUUGAAAUAAAAAACUUAUAUUAAAACAAAUUACUUUAAAAUAAUAUCAUAAAUGAAUAAAAAUAAAUAAAUAAUAAGGUUGGUCGAUAUAAUCAUAAUAGUUGUUGAGAUACUUUUUAAUAAGAAAUUCAUUUUAUCAUUUGUAAUUUAACUAAAUUCAAUAAUACUUUAAAUUUCAAGUUAUUAAACAAGUUAUUUUAAAAUGAAACUGAUAAUAAAUAUUAUCAAUCUAUUUAGUAGAUAGAAUCAAAGUUGAUAUAAAAGUUAAUUGAAUUUUUUUUACUGAAUUAGAGAAAAUUGUUUUCUACAGAUAAAUAAAUGAAAUUGACCUAGAAGCCACGCAUGUCACUAAAAGGCGGUACUAAUAUUGGUAAUAAAUUACUCAAAUAUUGGAUUUAGCAAUGCUCUCUGGAUUAAGUCGUGGUUCUUUGAUUUCGCAGUCUCCGUAUAUAUAUUUUUCAAUUUUGCAUAGAGGUCGCCAAUUUUAAUGAUAUGGUAUAUAUCCAAGUGUGUUCCAACAUGAAUAUAACCAUUUUUUAAAAAAUAGAAAAAAUAAUUUUUAAAAAUAAAACAAAUAAUUUCUAAAUUUUUUCACCUUUUUUUCUUCCUCGUCCCAUUUCAUAGAACACCAGAAAUAUUCUUAUCCUAUUUAUUAUUUUGAUUUUUUAUUCUAAAUUUCAAUUGAACUUUUUAUCAUAAUCUCAAAUACAUAGGUUUUAUUUUUUUUCACAACCCUCCUCCUAUCCAUUCUCUCCACACUCCCUAACACCCACGACUCCUAUCACCACUUUGCCUUCCAAAAAAUGGGUACACUUAACUUUAAAGUAAUAAAAUAUAUUACCGAAUUUAUUAUCUUCCACAUGCUAGAUGAAACUAUUUAUGACGACUUCUACUUCAGUGAGUUAUAGAUCGGUUCUAAGUUUUGAUACAACUGAACUUGAUCCAGACAACUUACUCGUUGAGAUGCAAUUUCAAACAUGUUAUACUAUUUAAUGUGAAAGUUGAUUUGAAACAUGAUGUAGUGUGGUCAACAAACAUUAUUAGUGUGGAGGAGGAGCAUAUAUAGAAGGAGAAAAAACAGGAAGGAAAAUAUGAAACACAUUAUUUUUCUUAACAAUUUUCUGAUUUCUAAGAAAUAGGAUGAAUAAGAAGGAAGGUGGAUGAGAUAAAGACUUUUUUUUUUCUAACAAUUUGUUGUUUUUAUUUUUUAGUAUUUUUCUAACAUUUUUUCUAUGUUUUUGGCUUAAUUACAUUUUUGAUAUCUUCAUUUUCAUUGAUUCACGAAAUUAUAUUUCAAGAAUCGACAAUUUUGGUCUAUUUCUCAUAUUUUUAAACUAAAAACGAUAAUUUGACAUAUUUUAAAUGAUUGACAUACGAUUUCAUCUGUGUUAAUCAUUCUAUAUCAUCGUAUCAUAUGUCACAUUAUUUAAAAUAUGUCACAUUGUCACUUUUUAGUUAAAAAGUUAUAGGCUUAAUUGCAGUUUUGAUCCCCCUAUUUUAGCUGAAUCGUGAAAGUAGUCCCUCCAUUUUGUUUCUCCCCAGUUUUGGUCCCCCAAACAGAAUUUUAGUCCAAAACUUGAUGAAAUUUUAGUUUUUAAAGUCGUACUAAACCAUUUAUGAUCGUAUAUUUCAAGUACAAUUGUUGCAAAUGAGAUCUUGAGGCAUUGUGUGACUUAAAUAAAUGCAAACAAAAUGAAAUUUCAUCAAGUUUUGGACCAAAAUUCUGCUUGGGGGACCAAAACUGGGGAGAAACAAAAUGGGGGGACUACUUUGGCGAUUCAGUUAAAAUAGGGGGAUCAAAACUGCAAUUAAGCCAAAGUUAUAAUGAGGAACCAAAACUUUUAGAUUUUAAAAUAUAAGGAUUAAUUUUGUGAAUUAGUAAAAAUAGGAGGACUAAAAUUGCAGUUAAAUUAUUUUUAUAAUAAAAAUGUUUAUAUUUAUAUAAGAAUGACAAUAUAAUAUGCACCCGUGGAUACCCACCAAAAUCUGUUUGAUUUGGACGAGGAAAACCCGCUUUGAUUGGGUGCAAGUGUGAAUUUCCCCAAAAUUAAAAUUCGGGAACGAAGACGAGUUUGGAGUGAUGAUAUUCUCCCCGCACCAAAACCCGCUCUACAAGUAAUAUUAUAGUAAUUUUUAAAUUUUCUAGAUAUAUACAUGUUGGAUAUACUUAAUAUUUUUUAAAUAUUAAAAAUUAUAAUUUUAUCUAUAUAAAAAAUAUUUUUUAAUGUUAUUAUUGUCUAAUAAUUAUUAUUUUAUUAUAUUAAUUAUAAUAAUAUGAUUUUUAAAUUUAUAAUUUUACAUAUAUUAAUGGGUGCGGAUUUGAGCCAAGAAACUCGAACCCGAACAUGAUGAAACUAAAUUUUACACCCACUAUAAAACGAAGACAUAUAUAAGUUUUCCCCAAUUGAUCGAAUGGAAGAUGAAAGAGAUAAAAUCUACUCCUACCCUAUUGUCAUAUCUAUAUCCACAAAUAAAGUUGUACAUCACAUCCUUAUUGUCAUAUCUAUAUCCACAAAUAAAGUUGUACAUGCCACAUCAUUAAAAUUGAGCAUUUGAGCUUAAAAUUUGGGGAAAAAAUACAGAGGUCUUCAAAAAAGAAAAAAGAGGCGAAAGGUGAAAUGUAAAAAUAAUUUGGUUUUGAAUAAAGGGAAUCAAAAUCGCACAAUUAAGUGCAAUUAAACAUAAAACUAAAUACCAUAUAAAUAGGGUUUCUCGUCUGUGUUUUUAAGCUCACUUCUUUCGUAUCUUACUAUUCCGUCUACCCUUUCACCCAAAACUCCGAAAUCAUUCUCACUUUGCCAUCACCCAAUACCAUCGACCUUCCACUUUCCGACAGCGUUUUCCGUCGAUCCGACACUUUCCUUCUUUUUUUCUCAAUCGUUUAGUUCUGGUUCGUUUAUAUUCAUCCUAACCAAGUUUUUUCUCUUAUUUAUUCUUCUUUUAUGUUGUUUCGGUUUUUAUUUUUAACAUUUUAGUUUAGUUUUCAUUUGUUGUUGUUGUUUUGUUUCGUUGAAUUAUCGUUCUUCUAUUAUGUUGAUUUUUUUUUUAUCAAACACCGUGCCUAUUUUGUGAAGGAGAAGAAGGGAUUUUUUUUUCAAAAAUUGUGACUUGAUUUUUUUCUCUUUUUUGAGAUUGAUUUUCAUGUGGUUUAUGCACUGUAGCCUUGAAAUCGUAAUGAAAAUUUGUAGAUAUUAUUAAUUCUAGGUUUUCUUUGCUAUGAAAUGCAUCUGAAGGAAAUGUUUUUGUUUAGCUUACUGAAUUGUGCUACAAAAUUGUGAUUUGUAAAUAAAGUGUGUGAGAGAAAUGUUCAGGUUGGUAACUGAGAAGAGUUUGAAAUAUCCUACUCAUGAAUUUAUUGAGGUCUUGAAAAGUCAUAUUUUUUAAUUGUCCCAGUUUUCCAAGUUUUGAUAUUUUUGUGAGUUCUUUUGCGCAUGUUACGCAUCACGAUGACCUAGCGUUCAGUUUGUCUAUUUUUUUUAUUAGGCUAACGCGUUUAUAAGUUUUUUUGUUUUGUUUUAUGCUGUUAAUGAGUUUUUCUUUUGAAAAUGCAGUUAAUGAUUUAGCAUUAGUACCAACUUGUAGGAGAAAAGAGAUUAAGCAAUAAGUUUUUGGCAUUAGAUUAACUGUCACUAAAAGGUAAACUAGGAAGAAGAAAAAGUCACACCAAAAAAAGCUAUUGCCGUUAUAUAUUGUUAUAGAUAUCAUGAACUGUUGCUUUGGAUUAACACAUUCAGUUGAUGUCAGAACUGAACCCAAAUAAUCCAUUCAACUGAGGAGGAUAAAAUUGCAGCAGCAUAUGUUCAUUCAAGUAGCCUUCUCAUGUUUAAAACACUGCUUAUGCAUUUAGUUUAAAACAUUUCCUCCUACUUAUUUUGAAUAUUAUUAUUUUAGUUAUCUGCCCCAAUUUGCAUAAGACUGUUGCCAGUAAUCUGGACCUGAUCGAAAUUUUUAUGUUAGCUACCUCUCUUGUUUAUGUUAAAUGCCUCACAAAUCUAGUUAAUAUUUUAAAAUUCAAUUAUGUUAUGGCAACUGUGCUAGACGUUAUUUGUGAAAUGAGGGGUUUUAAGUCACUGUGCUUACUGGUUAGAAUGGUUUUUAUCAUUUUAAAUAAAUAUAUCUGAGAAUUAUUUUUCCACAUUAAGAUCUUAAGAUAUGUGUAUGCUUUUAUACAAUUUUGAAUUGGUAAAAACUGAAUCAACUGAUCCAAUCCAAACCAUAUUUUAUCAGAUCGGACAAAAAAAUUUUAGGUACUAAUCCAAACCUAACCACAUGUUUUAAUAUUUGGAUAAAAAAUUAUUUUUGCUUCAAAGUCGGGUUGCGUUUUUUAUGGCUCACCAGAAAGUGAAUCCCCCUAGUAGGCUCACUUUUACCCCCAUCAUGUUGUGAGCCAACUAGGGUGGGACGAGUUGGCCCAUUUGGACAACUUUAUUUCACUUGUUUUCUGCCUAUUGGUUCGAUGCACACGUUCUUUGUUGAAGUGAAGCUUUUGUUUUCCAGUGAAACCACUACUUUCCUAUUUCAUUUUGAACAAACUUACAUUUAUGUAAUGCUGAUGAGCUAUGAUUCAUAUUUGAUUGUAUAAUUUGAAUGAUGAUUGUUAAUUAGCAACAUUUUUUAAAUUUGUUGAUUAAUUUGGUAAAUGAUGAUGCAGAUAGGUAGGAGGAAGAAAUAAAAAAAAUGCCUCCUUAUGAUUGCAUGCUUUUAUUCAAGCCCAACGUGAAAAAAGAAGCCCUCAUCAGUUUAGUUGCAAGAAUUGGAAAACAUGUGUGUAGAAGAAAUGGGGUUGUCACCGAGGUUAAGAGUUUUGGAACAGUUCAGUUGGGCUAUGGUGUGAAAAAGCUUGAUGGCAGAUUUUUUCAGGUGAGUGUCACAGUAAUUGUUCCUUGUGUAGUAAUGCGCAGAUUAUUCAUUUCUUUCAUAUUUAAUCUAGUGAGUUUUUCCUCUUUUUUCUGUUCUAAUUAAAACCUUAGUGCUUCACAGUUUUUGUUAUUUGGGUUAUAUUGGUAAUGAACAAAUGCUACAAAAACAACUAACAAAUAAAUGUGAUGCAUAAGCCAAUGUCAAGAUGCCUUUGGUGUGGUAUGUUAAAGGAUUUGGAGAGAGACUAUAAAAAAAUUGUUUCAUAUAGCUCUAGGUUUGAGGUAAAGUUGAUUUGUUGGAUGUCGAAAUAGUAGACCAUGGAGGUGUUUGGGAAACAGCUUAAAUAAUUGAAACAUUUAAUUCAAUGAACUAUUUGCAUUUGGAUAUAUAUGUUGAAAAACUAUUUGCUUUUUCAAUAUGUUUCCCUCUGUAAAAAUUGAAUUUUGGUUGGAUAGAAUCAAAAUACGAACAAGAAAUAAGGUUUUCAUAAGCUGUACUUAAAACUGUUUUUGUAAACUAUUUUAAGGAUGAAAUCAAUUUAUACAUACUAUGAAACUCUUCCACUGAAACAAGUACUUAUGUAUUGUUAUAAUAAAUCUAAAUAAAAUCUAAACAAGCUCUUCUGAAUCCCCCCUAUGAAUAAUACUGUUCCACUCAAUGUGGCUCAAAAGCAUGAAUUCAAAGAACAUCUUAUUAAAAUUCUAAAAGUGAAGUGUUUAUCAAACGUGCUGUUUUCCAUAUGCUGCUGAAGUUUCCGCAAACUUAUUUUUUUGUUUGAGAGUGUACCUUUGGUGAUACAGAAGGAGUUGCAUGUUCUACUUUAAGUUUGAAUUGAAAUUAUGCAAUUGUUAAGUAAUGUGUUUCUGGUUUCUAUUUUUAAUGAAUGUAGGGCCAACUGAUGCAAGUGAGCAUGAUGGCUACACCAGAAAUCAACAAAGAGCUGCAUUACCUAAACAAGGAAGACAAACUAUUGCGUUGGCUUCUGGUUAAGCAGCGCGACACAAAGUUUGGGCUUGAGUUCAUGGGAGAUGAAAAUAGAUUGGAGCUAAGCAAAUUCUCUCAAAUAAAUAAACCUGAUGAUGAGGAUGAUGAUAAUGAUGAGGAUGAUGAUGAAUAUGAAGUGAUCGAAGAAGAAAACAAAGUGAACUAAAAAGAUGGUUGUAUUUUGUUUGUUUCCAUUAGGAUAGGAUAAAACAAUUGUGCUACAUAAGACAUGAAGGUAGUUUGGCCUUGAAGAUGUUUAGUAAACUGCUUGCUGUCUCUUGAUUUUAGACAAUUAUUUCUUUGUAACUUGGUGAAAUAAUUGAUUUACAAACGCCAGUCUUUGAACAUUUGAGCACUUGAUUACAUCCAAUUCAGGUGUUACUAAGGAUUUUAUUGCCUUUAUGUAUGUUGGUGUGAUUAGUGCUUAUCUGCUAGACCAGGGAAAGGAAGACUUGAACUGAUUUUUUAUUCUGCCGUGGAAGAGGACUUGUAUGGCAUAAAGACACAUUUUCAGAUAUUUGUAAUACGAAUAUGUUAGGUAUUUGACUUUUGUGUAAACUCUUGUUUAAAGUAUGAUAACUUUAUCAUCUUAUUGGAUGGCCGAAUGAUUAAAUUUUAAAGUGUUUUUUUUUUUAGUUUUCAGUUGGGCACUAAAUAUGCAUUUUCUAACAAAGUUUUAUAAUUUUAUUUAUUACACUGAAAAAAUAGCUCCUUCAAAUAGACUUAAAAAAUAUAUUCUGAAAACAUGAAGGACUUUUUUAGCAACAAAUAUGCAGUAAAAAGUUGUAAGUCCGUGAUAGUAACGGAUAAGAGGAUCGUCUGGUAAAGAAAAUAAAAUUUCCAAAAACUAAAUUUUAGACACAAUUGCACUUUUCAAAAAUUUAAAUUCAAAAUUAAACAUGUUUCUAAAAGUACAUUUACAAUCUAAAAUAUUAUUAAUUUUUUAAAAUGUGGUAUAUCACAAUCAACAUUGUGUAAAUUAAUUUUUUUAAAAGGACAUUUUAAUAAAUAAAAAUGUGUUACAGAAUGUGUACGAGAGACUGUUGUUAGUAUUACUGUUUAUUGACUACUAGAAGAUGUUGGUCUUUUUUUUUUUCUUCUUUUUUGACAUGCGAGGAUGUAUGUGUUCCAUGCCAAAAAGUUGUAUUUUUAUGUUUGUUGAGUAGGGGGUUGGAUUUGAAUGUAUGUAAACUUUUCACAAAGUAUAAUGGACAACGAUAACCAGAUUAAACACUCAUUUGACCCCGACGUACAUAUGCCAUUCUAGUUCUAGUUUUAUAAAUUAAUAAACCAUUUACUUUUUAGGCGUAACGAUCAUUAUUUUUCAUUUACACACCUGCUUAAAAUAAAUAGGAGUACCACAUUGUUUCCAGUAUGAACAAAUACAACAGAAUCUCCAUGCACUGGGAUAAUGGGGACUUUUGGAGUAACAACCAUCGCACCAACCGUCUGUUUGCAUGCAGUCGUACUCCGUUUGGCUCUGGAAGCAACCAAUAAUCCAAUAUCCUUCUAAAUUAAACCAAUAGCAUGUCUGGGAGUUUGAGAAAACAGCCCCUGGCCUAAAAGUAGAGGGACCAAAUACACUAUUCUCAAAUUCCUUGAAUUAGAACUGAACUGCAAAAGAUUACAACUUGUGAUUAGUUAGACCAAUAACAGCGUUGAAAUAUCGGAAAAUCAUGUCAGACACACACGUAUAAAGAACAUAUCUAGUAAGAGUACAACAAAUGUGUGAAUGAACUAAUCUUGACCGUGCAAUCGUAUAUGGAUGAUUAAAAAUAGCCCUUCACAUGCUGGUAUUUGAUUUUGUUAAGUGUAUGUGUGUGUUAUAUAGUCCAAAUAAGCAUUUCAUUUUAGAGGCCAACUUGGAAACAAGCCAAAUAAGACACUGAGUCAUUCCAGAAUAAGGUCGUUUGGAUUUCGGAUUUCCAGUCAGAGUUCAUUAGAUAUCCCAAUGGCCUUUUAUUUCAUUAUUCUGAAAACACUCCUGCCUCUUAUUUUGUUUUUUCUAUAUUGUCCUCUAAAUGAAAUAUUAGUCCCUUCAGAAUUGCCAAUAUUACCUCCUUGCUUUCAAUGGCUUUUUUAUUGAUUCAAAUUAAGACAUAACCAAAAUACAACCAAACAAAGGACAGAUAAGCAGAAGCAUACAAACAAGCCCUAAUCUUGUCAAGCAUGAAAAAUCAAAGUAGAUGCAACAGAAAUUGGAGCAACUUUAUUGUAUCAUACAACCAAAAUACUAACCACCUGUAGCAAAUCAGGAAAGUUCAAAUCCGGCAUUUGAACUUAUAGCAUAUAGAAGCUUUGCUCGCAAAGUGCUUGGACGUUUGUAUGUUGGAAGCUGUAACCAUUGAGAGGAAAAUAAAAAUGUAAGCAACUAUUGUCUGAAAAACCAACACUUCUGUCUCCAUGAUUUACAUCACCAAGUGAUGUGUUUGGUAAGUGGAUAUUAAGAGUUCAUACUUAUUGACAAACCUAUCUAUAUCAUAUUUUCAGUUAUGAGUUCAUAAAUUUCAAGAUCCCCAUGUUCAGUACAUCAUAACUCAUAACUGGUAUGAGAAUCUUGCUUUGAAGUAUAUGGUUAAGGAUGUCUUCUUCUAUUACUCUACUAAUACUUUAGUAGUACCUUAAGAGUAUUGUAGCAGGUUGAAGCUGAUGGAAGCCGCUCAACAUCUUGUCCUCCAAUUGUCGCCCAAAGAGGGACAUCACAUGCAACCUAGGUGAACAAAUAGACGCAAGUGAUGCUUACUAUUCAUUGAAAUCAAGACAUUUUAGGAUUCACUAAAAAAUGGAUUAUAUUUUGGGAUUCCUUUAGUUCAAUUAAGAGAUCAAUGAUAUUUCAAAGGGAAAAAAAUGUGAGAAAGAGGAAAACAGAAAUUCUAGAAAACAAUAGCUGGCUAAAAGAGCCACACACAAACGUCUAAUAUUUUUCUAAUUUUCUUCCAUUUAAUGGAUUACUGUAUUCUUAUAAAGAAUGCUGAAAUGACCAUUGAAAAAAAAACAUCCAAGAAGCAAAAUACAGUACUUUAGGAAGCCCUAUUUGGUGUGGGCGAUGCUGAAAAUCUAAGCCAGUGGACUGGCAUAUUUCACAAAGAACCCCUUCUCUAAAAGAGAAAAAUAAAACUUUUGACUAAAGUGAAGGUGAUUGUUUCAUGUAAAACAGAAUUCAAAAUUUUAUCUUAUUAGGUAUUGACAUAUUGGAACAAGGUGUUCCUUUACUAUACUUCCUGUCACAUAAUUAUUAGUGUAUCAGAAAAAAAAAACAUCUGUGUACUUCUUAAACUUCUCUUUCCAGCACCAUAAAGUAAAAAUGAACAAAAUUUGUGGGAGUUGUAAUACUGAAAUUUGGCAUGGGUAGGUUGGCAACUCUUACAAUUCAUAGCAAGCAGUUAAAGCACUCAGCAUUUAACUAAAAACUGCAUAGUACAUAAAUGCCCAUAUAGGGAAACCCAUCCUUCCAAGUAGCUUAUUAGAAGAGUUUGAAUGCUCUGCUUAUUAUUAUUAACACUAUUGAUAUGCUAAACGGGCCACUCCAGUAAAAACUUGAAAAUCAUGCAUUAUUUCAUUACUAUAAACAAAGCAAAUAGGACGACAUAGGUGCUAGUACAAAAGAUCUUGAAUGCUAUCAAACAUAGAAAAUCAAGAGCAUACCUUGUGGAUGGUAAAAGGUGGCUGUAAGUAUUUGAACCCAAGUAAUGGAGCACGAGAACAACUUGUGACAAAUUUAAGAACCAUACAACGCUCUUUCGGUUCAAAGCCUUUAAUCACCUGUAAGAAAUUGGCAAUCAGCAGAGAAUGAAUAUUGAUGUCGUAAAAUUGGUAUGUGCAUAAAUAGUAUGCAUAAAUUCUUCAAUUUAAUUCAUGAGGUUGAAAAUAAUGGUCAAUAAUCACACCCUACAGCAAUUAACGUGUACAAAAUUCACAAACUAGCAAAUAUGUAUGUGUUAGAGAGGUUGAGGAACUGCAAUUCAAGCAAAUUCAUCAAAUCAGCAGCCUCUGCUUGGGGAGGGAGAGAGAAAGGGGGAGAUCUCUGAUCAAUUAAUUGGAUGAUAACUUAUUUGUAAGCCACCAAUCUCAAAAAACAGGAAAUACAGAAACAACAUUGACUCUAUCCAGUGCUUUUAAUUUGAUAAGAAUCCACAACACAUCGUGUAGCCAUCAUCUGUCCUGUUAAAUUCUGGAAGAACAAGCUAUAUCAAAUUUGACUUGAUUGUUAUGGUUUGGCACGAAAAACCCGUUUACCCUCGUCUGGGAGGAGAGAUAAUGCACUAAGGCUCCUUAAUUCUAUUGUUAGUAGGGGUGUAAACAAGCCGAGCCGAGUCGGACACUUGAAGCUUGGGUUUGGCUCAUGAGAAAAAUAGGAUUUUGAGUUGAAGCUUUAGUUUGGCUUGUUUACAUAAAAGCAGACGGUUUAAAUCACAAACAUUUAUAUAUAAUAUGUCCAAAUAUGGAAAUAUAUUGAAAAUAAUAAUAUAAGGGAUACAAUUUUUAACAUCAAGUCAUCAAUUCUCCCUAACAAGCAAACUCAACGAGAAAGAAAUCAAAUCUGCAAAUUGAGCUAGAUAUGAGUCAUAUGACCACCAUGUACAAAACUGAGGGGUUUGCAUAUAACAAGGGAAAUACACACAAUAUUACAUUAGUUUAAAUAUUUUUUUAUGCAUGGAUUCAGAUUGCUAUGCGUGUAUGUGUGCAGUACUGAGGUUCCAAAUUCCAAUACCUCCCAGAAGAUUUUGAUUGUCCGGCUCCCCUCAUUGUAACCACCAGUGUAUCGUGUGUUAUUUUUAAAAUCAUCAAUGUCAAUAUCGUAAUUGCCACCUGAAAGCAACUGCAUUCUUGUAUAUCUCAGAAAUCUUGCAGUAAAAACUGAACUCAUCACAAAUAGAAUUUUCAGUAAAGUUAUCAUAAGUUGCUUGUAGUGAAAGAGUGAGAAAUUGCAUCUUGAUUCAGAUAUUAUUCUCUUAUCAUGACAUAUUCCUUUGCACAAAUAAAAAACUACUUCACUGAUACAGCAUAUAAUUUUAAUAAAUGUAGAAUUCUGUCACUGAAAGGCUCUGUUGCGCUUUGUCCAAGAGAGAAGAGAAAACAUUAAACUCACAAAGAAAACCUUUGAAACACACUUGGGAAAGAAGUUACCUGAUUAAAUUCACUAGCAUUAAAUAAUUUCAACCAGGAUGGAGAUAUAAGAUCGGUUAGCCCUCGAUAAAAUGCAUUUGAAAAGGGCAAUAUCUGCAAUUUAAACAUUGUUACAUGCAUACCCAUGAUACCACAGAAAAUACAGUACAUAAGUGAAUAAUUUGCAUUAAACUACAGUCAAUGAUGAUUAAACCUGUUGGUUGAGUUUGUAGUCUGCCAUUGCAUGUAUGUACUGCAUCUUGUUCUCGUUUGUCACAGAAAUAUCUUUGCCACCAGACUUGAGCUCAAUCACAUGCCUUUUGCCAAAUGAUUCUUCAGUAACUGUGAAAUCAAGAGAGAGCUCCUUGACAUCACCAUCAUAACUCUGCAUGAAUAAUUAUGUGAACCAUCCAGUAAAAUGUUAAAUUGCAAGAACAGGCAUGCACAGUAACAACCCAAGUCAAACGUGGCCAAAUUAAAUUAAAAAUGAGACAAAAACCAGUACUUCAAGAGAAGAACAGUCCCAAUCCUAGAAUCAAACCUAACAUACCAAAUACAAAUUGGGUCUUGUUAAUCAAUUAUUAAAUUUUUAAGGUUUCCAUUAAUAAUACUGUUAUUUAAGAGUUAUGUAACAUCCAGCUGCCCCCCACCAAGGCAUUAGCUCUUAGAGAAAAUUCAUAUAACAAUUAGAGGUAAGUAUUUGUGCUUUAGAAGGAUUGCACAUGGACCAAGCUCAUCUACAGAAGGAGGAAACAUUUUAGGCCAAGAAGCAGCACCAAACCAUGUAAAAUUUUAAAAACAAGGAUCCUAGCAUAAAGCAACGUGAUGCAUUAUGGAUGAACCUUAUUAAUUUUGACAAGGAUUUAUAAGAGAAGCAACAGCAUGGAUAUGUCUCUCGGGAUUACCUUGACAUACAUGAGAUUCCUGUAUAGCUCCGGAUCAAGUGUUGAUAAUUCAUCAAGAAAGCUAUAUCGUCCCAAUAGCUUUUGAACAAAAACAUGCGAGAAAGAGUAAUCAAGUAAUAUUCCUUCAUAAAAAGAUUUACCAACUACUCUUCCAAGGAACUCAAUCAUUUGAAGACCAUUGUCCAGAAAUCUUGCGGAUGGAGUUGGAAUUAGGAGCCUGUCUGAAGUUGAGGUUUGGGUAAAAAGCCCGUAUCUAGAGAAAAAUGAAAAAGUUUCAGCUAAGUCGCUCCUAGAAGCGGAAAUAACCAUGAAAUAAAAGCAAGAAAAUACAAAAUAAUCUCAAGCUUACUCUGGGGCAAAUGCUUCUUUUGACAUGUCAGUCAAAAACUCUUUAGAUAAUCCACCAUAAUCCAGACCAGCCUCCGUAAGGCCACAUUCACUGACAAACGAUACAUGGAUGGACGACUUCAACUUUGAACCAAGUGAAUUUAAUUGUCGAAAUCCAUCUUCAACGAUAUGACCCCGGCGUACUACUAUCUCAAUGGCUCGUGAACCGGGUUCAGAAAUUUCACCAGCCAUUUUGCGUGAGGCUUUAUCCAUCUUGAUGAAUUCACGAAACAUCUCAACUCUAUUUCAGCAUUAAAUCAAGUGAUUAAGUACUUUCAAUCAGAGACUAUAUCAGGUGUUACAUUCAAAACAAAUGAAUAUUACAUGGUGAAGAUACCCAUGAAAGGUUUUGCUGAACUAGGCAAGUUAUCGCCACCAAAAAUAAAACUAAGAUUAAAUUCUUUUUCUAAAUCUUGCACUUUCUACUACUAAAGUGAGAAAACUUUAAAAAACAAUUCAGUCGGGCUAUUCCCCUGGUCAUUAGUUAUNNNNNNNNNNNNNNNNNNNNNNNNNNNNNNNNNNNNNNNNNNNNNNNNNNNNNNNNNNNNNNNNNNNNNNNNNNNNNNNNNNNNNNNNNNNNNNNNNNNNNNNNNNNNNNNNNNNNNNNNNNNNNNNNNNNNNNNNNNNNNNNNNNNNNNNNNNNNNNNNNNNNNNNNNNNNNNNNNNNNNNNNNNNNNNNNNNUCCCUACAUUUUAUCCUUCUAAAGGAUCAGUUGACGUGACAAUGGAAAUGUCAAAAAGGAUAUAAAGUACAGAAUAGCAGAACUGAAUAAAACAGAAUUUAUGACAAGAGGUUCAUAAUGGCCACAGUCACAGAGUUGGUAGUUACCUCUCUUCAAACGGGAAAACGUGAGGAGUUAUGGUGAUAACAGAGCCUACACUCAGGGAAGUUAAUGAAUCAUCAGAUCUCAGGUUGGCCGAAAAAAUUUCAUGAGUUCUAGCAGCAACUGCAAUUGGUGGCCGGCUUUUUCUGGCAGGAGAAAGCCACAAGUCAGGAGGACAAAAUGGGUGUCUGCAAUCCCUUUCAUACAUUAAAUGUAAGCAUCUGACAGCACAAUCCAUGAGGGCCCUGCUGUGAUGACCAUUAACAUGGGACAAGCCAUUAUAGACCAGGGUAUUGAGCAUUGAUGCAAUUCUUCGUUGCUGCUCUAACUUGAAUGGAACCUAACGAUGUUAUCAAAUGCUCUAGAAAAUUAAGUUUCUGAAAAUGUGGACUAAUUCAUAAAAGGACUGGGAAGAGAAGAAACAAGCUGCUACCUGUUUCUCAUAAAACUCUAUGUCAUCAAGAACUAAAAGCAGAUGAGAAUAGGUCGCACAGAAAAGAUGAAGCAUAGCAAACAUAUUCUUUGGAAUGCCUUGUGGGCCAUGCCUCAUAGGUUCAAUGUCCCAUACAUCUGAUGAAUCUAAAUUCACUUUGCUAGUUGCAGCGUGACUGCCAAUGGCAUCUGUGCAGUUUGUUGCAGUUUGUGAUUUACCUGUAAAUUUAUGAAGGGCGCUGACCCACUUACUGCCUCCAUCUUUACUUGCCUGUUUUGGAAUCUUCUCAAAAUCUUUAUGUUUUGCAUUUUCACUUGUGUGAUUAUCAGAAAUAUGUUUGUCUGCAGAGAAAAAGGAAUCCUCCAGUACACCCCACAAUCUCACAAGAAAUCCGGGAGUAAAUGAUAGCAUGUUAAGAACUGGUAAUGAGCCACGAAUUGGACUCAAGGCUGAAAAUAUUCUAAGGAAGUUAGAAUAAAAAAGUGCAACAUCACCAAGAUCUAUCUUCGCCAACUGUACCACACUGUUUGAGAUAGAAGUCUCAGCCUUCUUAAUGGCAUCACUAUUCACUGAUGCCAAAAGAUUUGUGAGAUGCCACUGCUGACAAACAGGCCUAAAUUGAUCCAUGUAUGACAUUAUUAACGAUUCAUGGGUUGCUUCACCCUCAUGCAGAACCAUAUCCCCCGGCUGUAUUAAACUUUCAACAUCAGUUUGAAAAGAUUUCUUCUUCUUUUUUAGCCAUUCAAUAUUAUAAAGAUAAGCCAGUAGACUUUCUGCUAGAGUGAUAAUAACAUGGACAUACAACGCCCAGUCUAAACCUUGAUUGAAGGAUCUGGAGUCUACAGAGUCAUUUUCAUUCCCUGUUGCUAGGCAUAUAAAGUUAGCGAGAGACCAACCAACUGGUGGAAUUUCCUUGAAAGAGACAAUAACUUCUGACUUAGCCAACUCUGACAUCUCCAUUAAAACAUUCUCUUUCAAAAUCUGUCAUCACCUGUCAGUUUUUGAUCAGUUCUGAUAUGUUUGAAUCAUAAAUUAUAAUCUAUGAAGCUAACGAAUCUGUGAUCUUAUUGACUCUAGACAGACAGAUGUGACGGCAGCAUCUUAAUAUGUCAGAGACGUUGCCCUUAAGUAAAAAAUAAGAAUGAAAAUGCACCUUUGAACCAUUGUUUUAUAUGUUUACAGAUAGAGGGAAUAAGUAAAGAACCUUGAUAUAUUCAAAUUAAACAACCUUAAGUUUUUUCAGUUUAAGAAGUAUUGUAUGAGUGUGAGUAUUCCUUCGUAUAAAUAGUGAGAAAAUAUAGUUAGACAGUAGAUUAAAAUAAAUAUUAGAACCAUUUACAUUGUUACAACUCCAAUACUAUAAGAUAGAUACUAACAAAUACAAAACUUGCUAUCAAACAUUGAAAGAUCCAUCUUGGAUUAGCAAACUUAAAACUAUAAUAUCAAACAAAUUACAAAAGAAUAGAGAAGUAAAAUGUGCAUGCAAAAUCAUGCAUCAGCAAGUCAAAGGUUAUAACUACUUUCAUUUAAUUAUACAAAAACACAUGGGUUACAUUUACAUGAUCCAUUUGUGGCAUCAAAAAAUAAGAUUUAAAUAUUUCAUAAAGAAUAAAAAAACAAUAAAAGAGAACAAGUUCUCAUUAAAACAAAAGAGAUGGCUAAUAAUUUUGCAGGUGAAAUUGUUCUGCUUUAAUUAUGCUUACCAAUAGUGUCUGAAAACAUGGGAACAAAAUAGACUUGUGCUUUAAAGCAGGUAGAAGAACGGGUGGGAGAAGUUGCACGAGCCAGGGAAUAGUCAUUAGAUGUACAAUAUAUUGCUUAGCAGCAUGGUUGACAUCCAGUAUAUCAGGCCUUUCUCCAUCAAAAAAAUUCAGAUAAAAUGGUCGCACAGCUAAAGUUAUUGCACUUGCAGUGAUAAAAAAUUUAUCACUUUCAUGGGUGAUAACUUUUGUCUGGGAAGAAUAAUUAUCCAACGCACUAAUAUAUCUAGCAAUAGAAACAUAACUACUACUUUUGUUACUCCCUGUGAACUCAACUAAACCUUUCACAGAUAAAUCUGCAUCUAAGCGGUUGUCAUCUGUAAUGCCUUUCCAUCCUUUUAGAUCAGUUAAAAUUACAAGAAUACGCAUUGCUAGAGAUGUAACGAUAGUAAUAUCUUGAGCCCCUGAAUUGUAUUCACUGUACUCUGAAAGAAUAAAAAAACCAAGAGAAGUAAGAUGCUGUGCCUGGUAACUCCAAAUUCUUCUCUCUUCAGUUGUACCAAUUGCUAAAAAGCAAAAGUUCCGCUUUAAAUCUAAACAAAGACAACAAUAGAUCCAUUAGAAAUAUAUUAAGUACUCGUGUUGACAAGAAAAAGAAAAAUAGUUCCGUCGAAAUCUAAAAGCUACGAAAAAACAAAGCAACAGAAAGUAUCUUGCCAUUCAUAAUUUUAUAUAAGCGGUAGGCAUGCCAUCAUAUUUAAAUGAGUAACAUAACUGGAACACCAACUUGUGGUCCAAUAAAAGAAUAUCAAAACGAGGGAAUAUACCAGGAGAUUUCAAGCUUUCCAAUAAGAUUGUAAAGCACAUCCUCAUAGAAUCUAUUUUCUUGCUAUGGACCUUCUGAUACCGAUUUGAGAAACGGGUUAUAAAGAACAAAAAUGGCCUCAACAAAUUGUUUGAAAUCCAAAUUGCAGUCAUCACCCCAGUAUAACGGUUCACUGAUGUCUCCCACUCCUGUUGAAGCUGCAGAGCAACCAUCUUUGUAACCUUGAAGCGCCUCCAUACUCUCUUUCAACAUUAAGAAAAAGUCAUCAUUUCUCCAUUUUGAUACAAACAUGAGGUGCUAAUGAAUGCCAACACAAGGUCAGAAGAAUCGUGCAAAGAAAGCAUUAUUUAGAAGACUCAUAGUCACUACAAAAUCAUUUCAAUUUUCCUUUCCCUAUAAAUACUGGUUGAAAAGUUUAUCCACACCAGCUCUACAUAAAAACAUAGUACUCCUUACAUUCCAAAUAGCAAAAGUACAAAUUUUCAAAAUUAAGUGUCACUUUGUCAUUCCAAUGCAUCAUUAAUUACAUUUUUCCAAUUUUGCCCCCAAUAAUUAUACAUGAGACAUAUAGUUUUUAUUGCAACUUUUCAUUAACCAAAGACAUUAUCAAGCAUGCAUCGAUUAAUAAACAGAGUUAAUUUAGUAAAACUACUAUAUCUACCGUUUUUCUUAAUAUUUGUGUAAAAAGUAAAAACCUUAAACGACGGAUAAUUUGGAAGGAGUAUUUCACAGUGUCUCAAUUCAAGGACUUAUUCUAACUUUCAGAAUAUUAUUUUUUCUUGAGUUAAGAUUUGUAAUUUUAUAUUAAUUAAUUUUAUACCAAAACACUAGCUUAUACUCACUCUAUAAGCUCAUAUAUGACCAAAAUAGGGUUGUUUGGUAACGGUCAACUGCUAUAAGCCCAUCCGCUAAUUUUACCUAAAACUUCAAAUUCAAUUAGCUGGUUCAUUCGCUAUCUGCUAUUAGCUACCUUAUCUACUAUCCACUAUAAGCCCGUCCAAUAUCAACUAGCUUAUCCGCUAUUUUUUUUACCAAACAGAGCCUAAUUUUACCUAUUCUGAUCUCAUGAUACGAUCUGAGUAUCAUGCAAAUAAGAAAAUAUCAAGUUGAAUCUUGAAAUUUUUCUAUGAAAUAAAGCAAAGAUGUUGGACCUGAAUGAAGAGAGCAGCAGAAGCAGCACGUUUUGCAUAAUUACGAAGCUCUCUUUCCCGUGAGACCUUCUGAAGAAGAUCAUCACGCGUUAUCUCCUUCGCACUCGCUCCUCUCAAUGAUACCUGAACAAAAUUCAAUUCUCAGAAUAAAAACAAUAAUCAUUAUAAUAACAUUGAUUCGAGGGGUUUAACACAAAAUUGAACAAGUUUAGGGAUAAAUUUAGAGGAAUCGAUUAUUUGAUAGGUAAGUAAGAAGAGUACCUGGUGUUUACGAUGUGCAUCCAUGGAAAAUCAGGAACAGAGAUGAGGUUCAAUGCUGAAAUCCAUUAAGUUCUUCACGCUAACACCACAGUGUUAAAUUAUUCAGACAUUUUUCAAUUUUCUAUCAUCUUCUUGUUGCGAUUUAAUUUUACUUUGACCCAAAUUUCUGCUCUCUCUUUACCACAACUGAGUUUGAUUUUUCAAGUUUGGUAACGAAGAACGAAAAAACAAAAAGACGAAAAGUUCGUUUUAUAUUUUUUUUGCUUUGCUAAAGUUGACAUGUCAAUUUUUUUAGUUGUCAAAAAUAAAAAAGUUAUUAUCAAAAAUAAAAUUUAUUAUUAUUAUUAUUAUUAUUAUUAUUAUUAUUAUUAUUAUUAUUAUUAUUAUUUAUCAUGGAAUUUCUCCAUCAUUUAUGUCAUUUGAAAUUCUAUUACUUCUCCUUCUAUGAAGAUCAAUUGGAAUAACAAUGUGACGGCUAAUUUUGAAUCUUCUAGAAGCUUAAGACAGAUAAAUUAUCUUUCUUUAUACCUUUUUGUUCUCGGUUUGAGCCACAAAAUCAAGGAUAAAGUAGCUGAUCAAACUUGGAUUUUUUUUUCAGCUUUGGUAGAUGUGAUAGUCUCAAUUUAUUUCAUGUUUACUUUUGCCGACGAUUUUAUUCUUGUUGCAGAAGCUACUCAAGCACAAGUUCAUUGUGUGAAGCAAUUCUUCAUGUUGCAGGAAUCUUGAAUGUUCUUCUGUGAAAAUAUAAGAGGAUCAAGAAAUGUUGUCGGUCAAGAUUGUGGGACGGUUUUUCUUUUUCUGAAAAAUGUUCGGGCUUUUAUGUUUAAAAUGUAUGGUUAUUUAUCUUGAUGAAAUUUUUUUUAAAGGAAAUAAUUAUUAUGAAAUAAAUAAAAUAUUAAUAUGAAGAUAUAUUUUUAGAAAUAAAAAAAAUUAUUUUAAUUAUUUAUAUAAAUGAAGAUAAUUAAUUAUUUUAAAAGUCUUUAAUUUUUUAAUUAACAAAUAAUUAAUACGAAUUUUAAAAAAUUAAAAUACAAAGUAAAUGGUUAUUUGGUAUCCAAGAAACCAAAGAUUUAGACAUCUAUCUUAAUGCUCGUGUGAUCCACCAAAGAGUCUCUAAUUUUUUGUUUUGUUUAUGAUUUAUAAAAUAAUGAAGAAACUUUUAGGUUGAUGAGUUCAAACUCUAUCUUUUACUAGUAGAAUAACUUUGGUACAUGUCUCUAGGGAUGGGAAUAGGCUAAGUUGUCCGACAGGGGCCUAUGACCUGGCCUAUUUAUGGUCUGGCCUGUUUAAUAAAAAAGUCAGGCUCAGGCUGUUUUUAAAGUCUAUUUAUAUAAAUAGGUCAGACUCAGACUUGUAAAAAAGCCUAUUAGGCCUGACAGACCGGCCUAUAUAUAUUUUAUAUGUAUUNNNNNNNNNNNNNNNNNNNNNNNNNNNNNNNNNNNNNNNNNNNNNNNNNNNNNNNNNNNNNNNNNNNNNNNNNNNNNNNNNNNNNNNNNNNNNNNNNNNNNNNNNNNNNNNNNNNNNNNNNNNNNNNNNNNNNNNNNNNNNNNNNNNNNNNNNNNAUUUGUUUCAUAUUUUUUAAAAAUUAUUUUGUUAGAAAAAUCAUUUUUUUAUUUAAUAUAUAUAUACAUAUACACAUUAGUAUUGGUAUAUGGAGAAUCAUAUAAAUCGAUAUGUGUAGAGCAUCAUGUAGCUAUAGAUAGUUAUUUAUUUAUUAUAUAUAUAUAUAUAUAUAUAUAUUAUUACUAAAUAUGAUGUUGCACAGAUAAUAAUGGGUGCGUUUGUUUUAAUAAAAAAUUUAUUCUUUUAAACUAAAAAUCAUUUUUUAGAGUUUAAAGGGUGUUUGUUUUAUAUUUUUUUUUUAAAUUAUUUUGUUAGAAAAAUUAUUUUUAAUAUGAAUAAGGCUUUUAAAUAGGCUUACAGGCCAUGCCAUGAUAGGCCGUAGGCCAGACUCAGGCCGGAAAAAAAGCCUAUCAUAGGUCGUAGGCCUCAAAAAUUCAUCGUAGGUCAGGCUCAAGCCUUUCAAAGCCUAGUCUGGUCUGGCCUAUUCCCACCCCUACAUGUCUCUCUCACUAACAUUGUAGAUUAAGUUCUCCAAGUAACUCACAUUCAGCUUCUAAGUGCAAUGAGUCAGAGCAAAUUUAUCAUAUUUUUAUUUGAGGUAUAACAUCAAAAAUUAAAAAGGUUCAUCUAGUAACUUGAGAUAAAAUAUGUCGCCAAAAAAUCGAAAGGUGGUCAUGCUUUCAAAAACCUAAUAUGUUGAACAAAGCCCACAUGGUGAAAUUGGUAUACCAAGUAUUCAUCUCGUCGAUAAGCUAUGAGUGAUAAUUUUGAUAUCAAAAUAUGUUUGGGAAUGCAUAUAAUAUACCACUAUUCAAGCAAAAGUUUAAUUCUUUUAAUAUUUGGAGGAGUAUAGUUAAAUUUUGGGAUGAUAUACAUGGUAAUAUAUUUUAGAUUAUUAAUGAUGGUCGAGAUACUAAAUUUUAAAAAGACUAUUGGAUCUUUGGUUAUAGUCAGCUAAUUGAUUAUUUUUCUUCUUCAGAAAGAAUUAGAGUAUCCAAUUAAUUAAUUAUGUGACUCGUGGAAGUUGAAAUUGGAAUAAAAUCAUAAAUAUUGUUCCAAAAGAUAUGUGCAAGAAAAUCAUUGUUCUUAAAACCCUUUUUCCAAUAACUAAUGGAUUUUUUUUUUUUUUGUUGGAACCUUACUCUAGAUGAUUUCUUUUCUAUGAAAUAUACUUAUGAGUGGAUGUAUCACCAAAACUCUUUGAGAUAAUUUAUCAUAGCCAUAUUUUUAAGAAAAAUCAUAAAUUAGAAAGGGUGAAAUGUGCCAAAUAUUUCCUUUUGAAAAUAGCUCAUGUCAAAUGGUUGACUAAUGAGGAGAGAUUUGUGAAAAUUUCAUUUGACGAUACUUAUUUAAAGCGUUUGAAUGCUUGUGACUCAAUUUGCAUUCUAUGGGAGAUUGUGAAUACAUAAGAGAUUUUUAUAUCCUUUGAUUGAUCCAAGUAGUUGGAACAAGCUAUUACAUUUGGGUCAUCAUAAUUGGCUUGAUUGAAAUGUAUCUUAAAAAAAUAUUGGUGUGACAUCAAUAAAUAAAUUGGAAGUUACUUGUUGUUUGUUGCUAUCAUUGAAAUUUUGAAAGAAAAAAAUAGAACAAUCGGAAGAUUCUCAAUACCAUCAACCAUCAUGUCACCCUUGUUUCUCAUUGUGUUUUUUAGAAGGUUUAUAGAUAUUAUUCUUUAUCGAUUAACAUUUAUUGGUUUCCUUCCUCACUUGUUUGUUGGCAGAUUAAUGUGGGUGACCUAGUUAUUGCUUUCUAGAGGAGCACAACUUGCAAAGGUUUGGUUUGUGAAUCUCAUGGUCAUCUCAUUAAGGGGUUCUUCAAUAAGUUUAGUUCAUGUAAUUUUUUGUGUAACUUAGUUGUGGACUCUCGUUUGAGGAUUUUUUCAAAAAUAUCUUCAUCAUUCCUCUCCUCCAACACAAUGUUGUUAUUCUCCAAUAUAUUCACUAUAGAAUUUCAUUUUUCUAUGUUUUAUCCAGAGACAAUUGUUGUGCUUAUUUUAUUGUUAAUAUGGGUCACUCUUCUUCUUUUGAUGGAUUUUUAAUCUUUUUAACAUGCCAUUUUUGUUCCUAUAUUGUUGUGAGACGAUUUAAAAAGUAUUUAUUUACAUCGUUCUACUAUAUCCUAUUUUCCGUAAAAUAAAAUUCAUAUAAAUAAUAUAAGAGAAAAAUAAUAGUAAACUGUCACUAUAAAUCAAAAGUAAACGAUUACCAUUAAUAUUAUCAUUUCAUCUCAUAAUUAUAACUUCAUUCUAUUAAAAACUAUAAAAUCAAUAUUUUAGAUUGUCUCAUAGUAUAAAACUAUUUACAAUAUGAAUGCACUACUAUUACUCUCAUAAACUAAAAUUACUUCCAAAACAAACUAUUUUCAUAAAUUCGUUAUACAAUUUAAUAAUUUCAAAACCCACAUUGGUACAUAGGAUAAUGUUGGCUUAAAGUUUAUAUUAGCCUAAUACAUCGAAUAUUGACAACCUAUAGGAGAUCAAUCAAGCAGUUAUUUAAAAUUUGAAUGAUUGUUCCCAAAAAUGAAACAUAUCACUAGUUUUGACUUAUUAAAUUUAUAUAGAUUGAACCAUAAUCAAAUAUAACUCAUGCAAAUCAUAGUUUAACACGAGAUAUGUUUCACAGGAGAAUUUUAAUAAUUUUUUCUCUCUUUAUUAUAGUGAUUAUACAUAAUUAUAAGGAUUUUAUAUUCUUUAAUUUGUCCUAAAUAUAAAAAAUUAUAUAUAUAUAUAUAUAUAUAUAUACACACACACGUAAUAGUUUAUACAUUUAGAUUUACAUAUAACCUACUUAAAUGUAAUUCGAUUAUCCAUUGUAGAUCAAAUGCAAUAAUAACCACGUAUACAAAUUUAAUAGACAUUCAAUCAUUUCAUACUAGAUGCUUUAAACAAUGAGACAAUUAUUAAUAAUCAAUGUAACAAUGUUAUAGAUUAUGACUGUGUUUGAUGACUUAACGUGGUUUAGACAAUUUAUAUAAAAUUGGAGUUAGGAUUUGCACUUUAAUCUCAAAUGAGUUUGACAUACAAUAAACAUUGAACUCAUAGGAAAGUUUUGGUCUAAUGAUAUCCUUAACUUGUAAAUGGGUCUAUUAUCCAUUACAACAAAUUACUAUUAGCUUCAUUUUUAAGCAUAAAAUUGUGACAUAUAAGAAUAAAUUAAAAUUAGACAGACCAUAAUAUUCUUGAAUAUGAUUUAAGUUCAGUUACACGUAAAUUAAAGAAUGCCCUUAUUUUUCAGAUAAUAUCACAUAUUCUCUUUUUGUCUAAAACAGAAAAUAAUGUAAUAAUAUGAGAAGAUAAGGUGUAUACACCAAACAUUUUUCCGUAGUUCAUUAAUUUCUUUUUACACGGUGAGUUCAUUAAUUUCUUCAGGUUCUUAUUCGAAAUGCAGUUGAAAACAGAGGAAUACAUGGAAAGAUGGAGGCACUCCUCCAAUUCCAACCCAGUUAUUUCUCCUUCUCCUCUUUCCUUCACCACUUGAGCUUGAAACCAAAUAAAACACAUCCCCGUUCUCCCCUUUUCAAUUUUCCCAUCAACAACUCAAAAACCCACUAUUCCCUUCACAUACACACACCCCCUCCACUUCCAAUUUCACACCCCCCUUUCCCAAAUCCCUCUCUUCUCUCCUUCUUCCUCCGUCUAUCUUCUCGCCACAACGACAUCAACCUCGCCAAAGCCAUCCACGCAACCCUCCUCAAACGCAAUGAUGAAAUUCAAAACACUCAUCUCUCCACCGCCCUCAUUUCAACCUAUAUCAAUCUCCGUCUCUUAUCCUACGCACACCAUCUCUUCCUUUCCCUUUCUUCCCCCACCGUCGUUUCUUACUCCGCUCUCAUUUCCGCCUUCUCCAAAUCCAAUCGCGAACACCAAGCUUUGUUCCUCUUCCUUCACAUGAUAACCACUUCAUCUCUUCAACCAAAUGACUACACUUAUGUUGCCGUUUUAACCGCCUGCACCCGAAUCCUCUAUUUCCAAUUCGGCCUCCAACUACACGCUAGGGUUAUCAAAACCGGACAUUUUAACAAUUCCGUUUUUAUCUCCAAUGCGCUUGUGUCUUUUUAUACUAAAUGCGGGUUUUAUCAAUCUGCAUUCAAGGUGUUCGAUGAAAUGCGUCAAAGAGAUAUUGCGUCUUGGAACACCGUCAUGUGUUGUGCGGUUCAGGAGUUUAUGUACGACACCGCGUUUCGAUUGUUUUGUGAUAUGCAAGUAAUUGAUGGAUUAAAAGUUGAUUAUUUUACUUUGUCAACGCUUUUGACUGCGUGUGGUGCAAGUGCUUUGGUGGUGGAAGGGAAGCAAGUGCAUGCGCAUGCUGUUAAGGUUGGGUUGGAUGCUGAAUUGAAUGUUGGAAAUGCACUUAUUGGAUUUUAUAAGAAUUGUGGAAAUGUUGAUGAUGUGAUAUGUUUGUUUGAGAGGAUGAGUGUGAGAGAUGUUAUUACUUGGACGGAAAUGAUGAGGGUGUAUAUGGGUUUUGGGUCGGUGGAUUUGGCUUUGAAGAUGUUUAAUGAAAUGCCGGUGAAGAAUUCUGUGACUUAUAAUGCUCUUUUGUCUGGGUUUUGUCGAAAUGGUGAGGGUUUAAAGGCUGUGGAAUUGUUUAUCAAAAUGGUGGAUGAGGGCAUGGAGUUAACGGAUUUCUCUUUGAGUAGUGGGAUUAAUGCUUGUAGUUUGCUUGGGGAUUACGGGGUCAGCAAGCAGAUGCAUGGAUUUGCAAUCAAGUUUGGGUUUGGUUCAAAUGUUUGUGUUGAAGGGGCUUUGCUUGACAUGUACACAAAAUGUGGGAGGAUGGUAGAGGCUAAGAAGAUGUUCAGCCGGUGGGAGGAAUCGGAGGAAGUUAGCUCUGUGGCUUGGACUUCCAUGAUGUGUGGCUAUGCUCGGAACGGGCAACCGGAGGAGGCGAUUUCUCUUUUCCACCUUGGUCAUACCGAAGGGAAAAUGAUUAUGGAUGAAGUUGCAUCAACUUCAAUGAUUGGUCUUUGUGGAACUGUUGGUUAUCUUGAUAUGGGUAAGCAAAUCCAUUGUCAAGUUUUUAAAUUUGGCUUUCAAUCUAUUGUGGGAGUUGGAAAUGCUGUUGUGAGUAUGUAUUUCAAGUGUGGGAAUGCAGAUGAUGCAAUUAAGAUGUUCAGUAAUAUGUCCUUUACCGAUACAGUUUCAUGGAAUACUUUGAUUUCUGGUUAUCUUAUGCAUAAACAGGGCAAUAGAGCAUUGGAAGUAUGGUUGGAAAUGCAGGAGAAGGGCAUAAAGCCUGAUGAAGUUACAUUUGUUUUGAUAAUUUUAGCCUAUAGGCAUACUAACUUGAAUUUGGUUGAUGACUGUUGUAGUUUGUUUAACUCAAUGAAAACGGUUUAUCACGUUGAGCCAACAUUUGAGCAUUAUUCCUCUUUCGUCCGUGUUUUGGUUCACUGGGGUCUUCUAGAAGAAGCAGUGGAAACCAUCAAUAAGAUGCCUUUUAAGCCUUCUGCCCUUGUUUGGCGUGCUUUGCUUGAUGGUUGUAGACUCCAUAAGAAUACAAUAAUUGAAAAAUGGGCUGCCAAGAAUAUUCUUGCCCUAGAUCCUAAAGAUCCAUCCACUUUUAUACUUGUUUCGAAUUUGUAUUCAUCUUCUGGGAGAUGGGACUGCUCUGAGAUGGUUAGGGAAAGUAUGAGAGAAAAGGGAUUUCGUAAACACCCGGCUCAAAGUUGGAUCAUUUCUCAGAAGAAAAUGCAUUCGUUCUAUGCAAGAGAUAAAUCUCAUCCACAAGAGAAAGACAUAUAUAGUGGGUUGGAGAUUCUAAUAUUGGAGUGCCUAAAAGUAGGAUAUGAACCUGACACUAGUUUUGUUCUCCAUGAAGUGGAAGAGCAUCACAAGAAAAAUUUUCUAUUCCAUCACAGUUCCAAACUAGCAGCAACUUAUGGAAUAUUGAUGACAAAGCCAGGAAAGCCCAUUCGGAUUGUAAAGAACAUUCUUCUUUGUGGGGACUGUCAUACAUUCUUAAAAUAUGUAUCUAUUGUCACUAAGAGAGAUAUUUUUCUAAGGGAUUCUUCAGGAUUUCACUGUUUUUCUAAUGGCCAGUGCUCGUGUAAAGAUCAUUGGUGAGAUGCUGGUAAAGUUGGUUGAUCUAACUGGUCAUCUUCAUUCAUAUCAAUGAUAUAACUGAAUUUUUUAAUUUUGUAUAUAAGAUUUUUCUUAGAUGUUUCUCUGAAUUUUAUAUCGCCAAUUAAGAGAAGACAGGUGCUCCUUUCUAAUGCUUUCCUAAAAGAUUUAGGAAUUAGUAGUUUGUUAUAAUCUUUAUCAUCUUUCUAUUGUAAAAUUAUAUCGAAUUUCGAUUUAUUUUGCAGCGAUGUAAUUGUAGUGUAUUUGUUUGCAUAGAUACAGGUAUGAAGCAGAUACUUUUUUUGAGGAAAUAUGAAGCAGAUACUUUUUUUGAGGAAAUAUGAAGCAGAUACUUACCGUAAGUUACUAUAUAUCAUAAUGAAGGAAUUCUGAAAUCGAAAUUCAACUAUACGUAAUACUUUUUUUCCUACGAGGAAUUGAUUUGUUAGGUAUAUGAAUAAGAAGCUUUUGAUUAUUUUUUCACGCACAGUAUACAAUUUUCCCCCUAGAAGUUAUUAUUGCAGAACUAUAACUUUUAUAAGAUUGUUUUAAAAAAAUUGGAAGACUAAUACACUUUUGGUCUUAGAUAAUUAACUUUUUCAUUCAUUUCAUAUCUCUUAGUUUUAUUUGUCGAUACAGGAAUAUUUAUGGUACGAUGUGAUCAUAAGUUCGUUACAGCUUCUAUUUCACGACUACACUAUUAGUUAUCAAGUAAUAGUAAUUACAGCUUCUUCAUGUGUUUCCCAAUUCUUAAUGAUUAAUCUCUCUAUGACUUGUUUUUCCCUUGAGAUAACUCAGCUCUCGAUGCCAAAUUGUUGGUGCACCUCUAUUUAUGAUUGUUAAGAUAAGAUGAUUAAGAAUUGAGAAGAAAUGAAUUGAAAUGAUCAAAAUUGUAUUGUUACUUGUUGCACAAACAACAUAGCCAACACUUAGCAUUUAUAUCAAACAGUUUGCAUAGUUAAAUUAAAACUAACUUCUUAACUUCCUUAAGAGCUUCUAACUUCCAGAACUGUUUUUCUAACUUCCUCUAACUAACAUUUAUGAAUUACACAUUUACCAAUAUUAUUGGUAAUCUUAUAUAUGCCUCAUCCUCAUUCCUUGAGCAAAUGAGUGAUGUCCAAGUUGUUUUAUCAAGUUUCGAAGACCCUUUAUCAUCUCUAAUACAAAUUUCAAUAUUGAUAAAUUCUACGUUACAUUGUAAUCCUAUUAUAGAUCAUUAUACUGAAUGUGAAUGUUGUAGUUGUAGUGUGGAAAACUUUAUAUAUAUAUAUAUAUAUAUACACUGUAGUUUUACAUUAUCAAAGGAUUAAGUUAGUAAUUGACAUAUGAGUCAAUUAAAUAUUCAUAGAUCCAUAUAUUGAUAAAAGUUGUCAUGAGAAGUUUAUCAGAGUGAGUUAUGUUUAAUUUUUCCCACACUUGUGAUUGUGAACACGAGAAAAUGGAGUGAUCAUUUUGCUUGUCUCUUCCCCACCUCUCCGUACCCCAAGAAAUAUUGUGAAUCUAACAUGCUGAGCGUUGACCACAUGAUCCAUUAAACAAUAAUUUGGACAAAAGAGGUCUAUGUGUUAAGAAUAAUUGUAUGUGAAAUACUACAAUUUACUCCAUCUUAAUAUAUUAAGUGUCACGUUAAAAGAAAAAUUAAUGUUGUAAAAGGAAACCUUGACCCAUACAUUUUCACGUGGAGUUUAAGUUUCAUGGGUGAAUAAACUCAUGUUUAGAUGAAUAAAUAUGAUUGUUAAGUUGUAUAUACUCCAUAAUCAAAUAAAUUAUGCACGAGUAUUUAGUAUUGUUGACAGGAACAAAUGGGCAGUUGAUUGAAAAUUUGUUGUAGCCACUAGGGAUAUGAAUAUGCUAGGCUGUCCGUCAGGGGCCUAUGACCUGACCUACUUAUGGUCUGGCCUGACCUGACCUAUUUAAUAAAAAGGCUAAGCUUAAACUAUUUUUAAAGCCUAUUAGGCCUGACAGGCCGGCCUAUAUAUUUUAUUAUUUAUUAAUAUUAUUUAUUAUUAUUAUAUUAAUAAUAUUAUUUCUUAUUUUAAAUUUUAUCAAUUAAGCAAUUACUGUAAGCAUUCCAUAUUCAGUAGUUGUUCCAUAUUCGGCAGCAUUCUAUAUUUGGUAGUCAUUUCAUAUUUGGUAGUUGUUCAAUUAGUCAAUCACUCAGUAGUCUUCCAUUUUUGUUUAAAAGGUAAUAAUGAGUGUGUUUGUUUUAGAAAAAAAAAUCUAUUAUUUGACACAAAAAAUUAUUUUUUUAGAGUUUAAAGGAUGUUUGUUUCAUAUUUUCUAAAAAUUAUUUUAAAUAGGCUUCUAGGCCAGACCAGACUUUUAAAAAGGUCAGACCAGGUCGAAAAAAAAGCAUAUGAUAGGCCGUAGGCCAGACUUAGGCCUAAAAAAUAAAUCGUAUGCUAGGCUCAAGCCUUUCAAAAUCUGGUCUGGCCUGACCUAUUCCCACCCCUAGUAGCCACUAAGUGUCUUUUUUAUUAUUGUUUGAGAAUUAAUUAUUUGUUAUUAUUGUUAGAGAUCUAAUUAUUCAAUUUUUACAAAAAUUUAAGUCAAGAUAAGUGGUUUUGAUUUAUUUUUAAAGACUAAAAUAUAUUUUUAUUUUUCUUGAUAUUAUAUUGAGUUUCAUAAAAAAAAAAAAUUAACGACUAAAAUGAGUUUUUACCAGUACUAUUAAUUUGUACCUUCAUUAUUUUUUCUAAAAACUAUGCAUAACUUUAAACAAGGAUCCACUUUUGUUUAUUUACAAUUUUCUUUAAUAAUGAACUUAUGUAUAAUAACUUUUAUAAAAAAUAAUUAAAAAAAAGUUAUUUAUAAUAUCAUUUAAGUGAACACCCUUGUGUCCGUAAAUUUUAUUGAGUUGGAUAUAAUACUGAAUAACUAACUUUUUUUUACUCACGUAAUUUUUUAUAUGUAUUUUGUUUUAUGAGCAUCGCAUCAAUUUUUUAUUUUUUUUUUACUUCAGUAGCUAUCUUUUUCUUAUAUCAGGUAGGUAUUAGGUACCAAAGAAUUUCCACAAAACAUAUAAUAUGAGAUACGAGUGAAAAUUACUCUACUUGAUGCAUCGCGGACCUCUUGCUGCCAUUUAAUUUGGAAACUAUCAAAUUCUUUUCAUUUAUGUAGAAUUUUAGAGCAACCUCUACGCCACGCAGAGCAUAUAUUUUUGGGCCCUAAAUACAUGCCUCCUAGUACUAGUGGGCUUACUAAUAAGUAUUCCAUUUUUAAACUUUGUAAAUAAAAGUAAUAUAAUUAAUUAUAUUUAAUGCAAGCAAUUUUGAUAAAACUUUAAAUUUAUUAUCUAAAUUAUCUUUCAUAAUCAAUAAAAUUAAUCAUUAAAAAUUGAAAAAGUUAAACUAAAUAAACGAUAGAUUAAUACAAAAUACCAAAAAAUAUUCGAAUAAAAUACUUAAUAUGAAACAUAUUAAUUAGUACAAAAUUAUCUCCUUGUUAGGACAAAACGGAAAUUAGUUUCUUGUUUUUAGCAAGGGUGACAAUCCCGUUUGAAAAUUUAUUGUAAAAAAUUAAUCCUUCACAUCUCAUAUGUAAGGGAAAAAAAUAAUUAAUCUCAUUUAAUAUGUUUAAAGUAAUAAAAAAAUUAAUUUUAUUUUUUAGAUUGCCUAAUUUGCUAUAUUAUAAAAAGUGUGUUAAUUAAAAAAUAAAAUCUAAAUUAAUGAAAAAGUAUUGAAUGAAUAAUAACUUCAAAUAUAGUAAAUUUGUUAAUUUUUACUUAUAUUUAAAACUACAAAAAUAAAUUUAUUAUUGUUGUUUACUACCUUCGUUUUUAAAUAUGAUAAUUUGGAUUAAUAAUAAAAAAAUAAGAAAGUUAAUUAUAAUUUAAUCAAAAAUAAAAUGAAACUAGUUAUAAUACUAAAUUUGUUGACUACUUUGAUUAAUGUUUUUAUUUAUUUAUUAAAUAAUGGAUGUUGUCAUUAUAGUAUUAACAAAAUGUAAUAUAAUUAUUGGUAUAUUAAUAAAACAAAAAUUUAUACAAUUAAAAAUUUUAAAAAUAUUUUUGAAAAAAGAAAGAAAGAAAUAUGAGUGUCUAUAUAUAUAUUUAUUAGAUAUUUAAAGGAAGUAGUAUAUCCGAUAUGGGAGUAACUGAUGAAUGAACGGUCGUUUAAGUGAGAGUUCUCGUAAACUCCGCUGCGGUGCCGUUGCGUUCAUGACUGAACAAGUAAAGUAAUGAAUGGCAUUACACUCUAUUUUGGGUUUGUCUUUUCCUGGAUUCUCUCAUCGACAAGUCAAAGGAGGAAACAAAAACGAAAAUAAUACUUUCAUUUGUUUGAAAAUAAUUCACUCAUAUUUACUAAAAUUAUUUUAAAAUAAAUUAUUUUUAAUUUUUAAUAUUUUUUAAUUAUAUAUUAUUUAUAAUAUUUUUCAGUAUACAUUUAUGAUAUUGAUUAUCUAUCAAUCAAUAUUUAAUAACGACAAUUUAAUAAAAAAUAAUAUUUUAUUAUUUAUAUAUUUUUUAUGAAAUGAUUAAAUUAUUCAAUCAAAGACAUUUAUAUUUUGUUAGAUGUGCGUCAAAUAACAAAACUAUUCAAUUAUUUUAAAAUAAAAAAUAUAAUAAAAUUAAGUUUUUAAAAUGUUUAUAAAUAAAAUAAGUUAACAAAAAAAUGAAUAUAUUUAAUAUUAAAUACGUUAAUUUUUAUUAAUUUAUUUUUGUUUAUAAAUAAAUCAGAAGGGAGUACAUGUAUUUUUACUCAAUCCAUGUUGCUUGUACUAGCCAUCUUUUAAUUAAGUCCAAUCCCAGCUUCUUAUUUGUUAAUAGGAAAAAAUAAACCCUCAGCUAUGACUAAAAUCUAAUUAGUUUAAAACAGUGUAAGAAACAAAUAAGCCAUCCAGCUUGGUUCUAUCUGGACCUUAAUUACAAAAUACACUUGAUAGAGAGCGAAUACGGAACAAAAAAAAUGCAUUCGGCAAUCGGCACAAAAGCGUGGGAUUAUUAUUAUUGGUGAAAAUUGUAAUAAAGAUUUAACAUUGAAAAUGGACGCGUGUUCUGUUCUGACUACCGCUGAUGAAGUAACUGCAUGUGUUUAUGGCGGACGGCAUGCCUAACAACACCACCCGACCCGAAUCCUAAGCUUCCAACAGAAUAUUUAACAUUAAAUUACCACUUUAUCCCUGCUUCGACUUUUUAUUUAAUUUAUCAUGUAUGUCCUCUACCUAAUAAUAUCAAUUCACUUAAAAUUUAUUUGAGAGAUAUAAUUGAAUAAAUAAUUUUUACGUGAUAAUAGUUAUUAAAUUAUUAAAGAUGUUUAAUUUUAUUAUAACUAUCUCAUAAAUUAUGUCUAUGAAAUAUUGAAAUAUGUUAAUAGUAUAAUUUUUUUUAUACAUUAAUAAUACAUCACAAUUAAUUUUUUUAUGCAAUCAGACUAUUUUAUAAAUACAAUUAAACUCAUAAUAUACCCUAUGAAUACAUUAUCUCAUAUCAAGAGUUAAACAUAACAAUAUUCAUUACUACGUGUAAAAUCUAACUUAACUGAUAAAUAUCGAUAUUGUUAAGUUGAAUACUAUUUUCUAGGUAGAUAUUGCAACAGAAUUGAUCGGAAACAAAAUUUUAACAUCUCUAUAUCUAUCUUCACUCCUAAAUUUUAAUUUCAGAGAAAACUUUAAUAUAUGCAUCCAAUCAAAACAUGAUUUCCGUGUUCGAAUUGAGAUAGAUUCGGAUGGAUAUCUGCAUAUUUGAGUUAUGUUGUCAUUCUUAAUUUCAGAUUAAAACUUGAAACAUCAAAGUUAUAUAUGAAUUUUAAAAAAAAUAUAUUAUUCAUAUUUUCUAAUAAAUAUUAAUUAUUAUAUAAAAAAAACAUGUAGAUCCAUUUGAGUGAUCUAAUAAUAAAUGACAUAAUCAAUUUUAAAUAGAUAUGGGUAUUAUUUUAAAAUUUUAUACUAAAGAUAUCUAAUUCCAACAAAUUAAUAUAAAGAAAAAAUAUUAAAACUAAUUCCAAUGAAUCUUAUUUGUAAAGUGAAUAGUAUAACCUCUUAUAAAUAAUUGAGUUGAAUAUAUUUUUAAUCAUUAUAAAAUUUUAAUUUUUUAUUUUAAUUUUUGUAUAAAAAAAUAUAAUUUUAUUAUAAAAUUAUUUAUCAAACAAUUUUAGUUUCUUUUAAAAUAAACUAUAUUUAAUUUUCCUUUAAUUUAAAUAAUAUUUAACAAACAUAUUAAAAACAUUAUAAUAUAAUAUUUAUAAAAAAAUUAAAAUCAAAAUUAAAAUUUUGAACUAAUAUUUUUGACAAAGUUUUAAUAAUAUUAUUUUCAUUAAAAAUAUAUAUUAAUUUAAGGGUGAGACUAAAAAUUAUAAUUAAUUUAACCUCCAAACAUAGAGAAGGAGUGAGAAAUCUGUGAAAACAAAAAAUAGAGAAGGGCAUUAAAUAAGUGAAAGUGUGAAACGGUGGGCUGUUGAUAAAAGCUGAAGGAAAGGGCAAAACCGGAAAGCCAAAAAGUUGCAUGCAAAAACUCAGAGUUUAAGGGCAGAAUAAGAAGACGCUUGUGAAUGAUAUCAUACCAAUUUAUUACCAAGAUUCUUAUUUCUUCAUACUCUAUAUAACACUAUCCCACCAAAAACCUCUCUGCUUUAAUCUCCUCUGUUUCUACCCUUUUUUUCUUUCUAAAAAACCAAAACACAAUCAUCAUGUUUUCUCCAACCAUAUACUAAUAUGUAACAUUAUUAUAGUCACAUUAAUAAGAAUAAUACUAUCGUUACAAUGGCUUCAGAAUCAUAUUCAUAUUCAUCUUCAUCCAUGAAACUCUUGUUGUUUAUGGUUCCUCUCAUAAUUGUUGCUGGACUUGUAUCUGUAUUAGGUCCUAAUCCUUCUAAUUGGGUUCUUAUUCCUAAUCAACCUCUCUUAUGGAGUUCUGUUACUACAUCUUCAUCAGAAAGUGGUUCUCUUAUGGAAAAAGUUCAAGCUGUUUCAUUUGAUUUUCAUAAUAAUAACAAGGAAGUGAAAGCUAUAUCUGAUGAUGACACUUUUUUCAAUCAAUCUUCUACUCCACCACUUUCUAUUCAAACACUUCAAAAAUUGGUAAGAGAUUAGUAUUAAUUUUCUUUUUAUCCAUUACUUAAACUUUGGAUUUUCCUUUUUAUUUUAUUUUAUUAAGAAGUAGUGUAGAAGGUUCUUAAUUUGUUGGAAAUUUUUCAUAAAUUAUUUGAUGAUGGUUACAUGCUAAAGAAGGAAAGAAUGUAAAAAAGGAAAGAAUUUAAGAUGUAAUAAAGCGAUUGACGUAUCUUUUUAAUUUCUCACUUUUUCUUAAAAAAUAUAUGCGAUUCUUUUCUUUGAUAAUAUCAUGAAUGACUAGAGAUAGAAUCUUUAAGAUUUUUGUGAAAAAAUUGUGAAAUUUUAAUAUAUUAUUUUUUAUUCUUACAAAAAAGAAACUUGGUGUAUUUAGUACACAAACUGUGGUUAUCCUUUUUUAUCUAAAUUAAAUUUUAAAGCGAAAGCAUAUUUGGAAGAUUUCCCUCGUGAGAACAAUUUAAAAUUUUGCACUAGUCUUUAGGAGACAAAUUUGCUUUGUGAUAUGGAAAGAUUUGAUCUUACCCCAAUUGCUGGAUCUAGUUGGAUACCAUAAUGUAACGAUCCUAGGAAUUAAUUACGGAUUUCAGAAAUAAAUUUCUUGAUUAUUCUCCCUAGUAAAUAUAAUCACAUGUCACAUAUUUCACUCUCAUGUAUUCUAAAAUACCUCUUGUAUUUGUUUGUAGACAAUUUUUAUUUAGUAAUUUGAUAAGAGACUGAAUGAUUAUAUAUUCAAGGACGAAAUGACUACUACCAUAUAUAGCACUAUAAUUUGACCCCAUUUACCUUGGAUUUUACUAGGUUUAAAAUUCUCAUGUUACCGUCAUAAGUUGAGCUUUUGGUAUGAGCGUGACAACUCUGAAUCUUGUUUGGAUUUUUUCCUCAAAUUAUUCUACACUUUUAAAUCUCGGUAAUCGAUUUUGAGUAUUACACAUACAUUAAAUUAAUUUUAUUUGAUCUCAACCAUUGAUCUAGAUUGGCCAGUUGCAUCAAUUAUUGCGUUAUUAUGCCAAAUAAUUAUCCUUGGGAUGAUUGCUAAUAUGCUAUUAGUUAUAAGUUUUGCACUAGUCUUAGACCAUGUUCAGUUUACAUUAUUCUUAAUACAUAUUAUGUACAUUCAGCCCUGCAGAAGAAUCAAUGACUAUGAACAAUUUGGUAUUGAAAAGGUAGGUGUCGUUUUCCCUUUGAAAGAGGGAAACAGACGAGAAACUUUACAUUAACUUCUCAUGUUUUAUUAUAGAAUUGGGUUAGAUUAGAUUUCCACAAACGACGUGUUAGGUAGUUCAUAGUAGUAUAAUCAGAGUUAACAUUAAUUAAUGAAUGAGUUUUUUGAGAGUUUUAAUAGUAAAUAUUAAUGAUCCAUCAAAUUUCCUUACCAGAACAAAGAUGAAGAAAGUGACAAUGCCUCUCAAAUCUGGACCAAUACAACUUCUAUGAAUGAAUCUUACUAUAUUCCUCUAGAGAAACCAAACCUUCCAAGAAAGUUCAGCAUCUUAGACAGAACAGAAGCCGGUCUACUACAAGCUCGAGCCGCAAUACGGAAAGCAAGAAAUGGGAAUCAAACACAAGACAUAGACUAUGUUCCAAUAGGACCAAUGUAUUACAAUCCUAAUGCAUUUCACAGGUAAAUAAUGCACAAUAUUUCUUUUGAUAUCUAAAUUAUUCAUUAUUUGCUAUAAUUCACUCGCCUUACUUUGUAAAAUUUAUAUUUGCUAUCUCACAGGAGUUAUUUAGAAAUGGAGAAACAGUUUAAAGUAUUUGUCUACGAAGAAGGGGAGCCUCCAGUUUUCCACAAUGGACCUUGCAAAAGUAUAUACUCCAUGGAAGGAAAUUUCAUCCACACAAUUGAGAUGAAUGACCAAUUCCGAACAAGAGACCCCGAUAAGGCGCACGUAUUUUUCCUUCCUUUUAGUGUAGCAAUGAUGGUCCAAUUUGUCUAUGUUCGUGACUCUCAUGAUUUUAGCCCCAUAAAGAAAACCGUCGCCGAUUAUAUCAAUGUCAUUUCCGAAAGAUACCCCUUUUGGAACCGAAGUCUCGGAGCUGAUCAUUUCAUGCUUUCUUGCCAUGAUUGGGUAAGUAUAUCACUAUAUCAAUUUAAAUUCUAAGUCCGCACAUUCUCAAUUUGAUCAUGGAUAAUUACUUGCUAACAAAAUUAUAUAUUGCGGUCGUGGUUCUCAAUAUUGAAAAUAUUGUUCAUACCACUUUAAUCACAGGCAUAUUACAAUAUAGACAACAAAAUUUUCGAUAGUGACAGUGUAAUUGAGAUUGUAGUCACAUAUCACAAUCUUUUUUUUUAAAAAAAAUACACAAGCCCGUAAGUAAUGUACUAAUGUUUAAAUUAUUAUGUUGCUUCGAUUUCAGGGGCCCGAGGUAUCAAAUUCAGUUCCAAACUUGUACAAGAAUUCGAUUCGUGCACUAUGCAAUGCCAACACCUCCGAGGGAUUCAAACCAGCAAAGGAUGUAUCUUUUCCAGAAAUCAAUCUUCAAACCGGUACAAUACAUGGUUUUGUAGGCGGGCCAUCUCCAUCCAAGCGAUCAGUUUUAGCUUUCUUUGCCGGCGGGCUUCACGGGCCCAUUAGGCCCAUUCUACUUGAUCAUUGGGAAAACAAAGAUGAAGACAUUCAAGUUCACAAGUACCUUCCAAAGGGUGUGUCUUACUAUGACAUGUUAAGAAAAAGCAAGUUUUGUCUUUGUCCUAGUGGAUACGAGGUAGCAAGUCCAAGAGUGGUGGAAGCAAUCUACACAGGUUGUGUUCCAGUGCUGAUUUCAGAUCAUUAUGUUCCUCCAUUCAGUGAUGUUUUGAAUUGGAAAUCGUUUUCUGUUGAGGUUUCAGUUGAUGAUAUACCUAACUUGAAGAAAAUUCUGUUGAGUAUUUCACCCAGACAGUAUAUAAGAAUGCAGAGAAGAGUAGGACAAGUUAGGAGACAUUUUGAGGUACAUUCUCCACCUAAGAGAUUUGACGUGUUUCAUAUGAUCCUUCAUUCUAUUUGGCUUAGAAGAUUAAACUUCAGAGUCCAUGAUGACCAAUAACAUAUAUAAGAUUAUUAAUUACGGUUGGGGAAUUAGUUUCUGGUAGGGUUUUUUUUUUGGGUUGGGGAAUUAAUUUCUGGUAGGGUUUUUUUUUGGGUAAGUUUUUGAAUAGUUUUUUAUUUGGUAAUGUAAGAUGAUUGUGUGAAUGUAAUUUUCUUUUUCGUUUCAUGUGAUGUAUAAAAUUAUUAAGUAAUAAAAGUGAUAUUUUAAUUUCUCAUAUUGGAUGCCUGUGCUAUAUCUAGUAGAGUAGUAGUAUUAUGUUUUUUGGUGAAUUGUCUCUAGUAGUAUCAUUGUAUUUCCUAAUACUGCAAAUAUUAGACUGAAAAUAUUUGCACAUUUUUUUUUUUACAGAUAUUUGCACAUCUAAUCUAAUUUUUUACAUAUGAUAUGAUAUUGGCAUAUCUUACAUAAUCUUGAUUGUCAAAAAAAAUCCUAGUACUUUCUUUUAAAAUAUUGGAAUAUCAAUAAAAAGGAUGAACAUUAGCUAGUAAAUAGUAAGGAGGUUCUCUUUGCUAGAGCAUGAGUUGACAGAUUGAAGUGUCUCCUAUCAAACUUAAUGUGAGAGUCAUAAAAAUGAGGAAACUCAUAGACAUCUUUUCAAUUGUAAAAAUUGUCAACAAUCCGUUUAGAACUCCCGCGCAAUGGACUGCUUGAUUUUCAUAGAGAUAAAGUUUGAAUCAAAUAAUUCAUUGGUGAUGUUUUGUAUUUCGGGAAGCAAUUUGAAUCCAAUUAUCGUCUUUGGUGGAAUAUCUACUAUCAUUCUAUCAAUCACAUUGUUUCUUUUUCUAUUUUUAAGAAUUAAAUUUGAAAUCUUAUUUAACAAACCUAACUUUAACUAUACUCAGUCAAUAUAUUUUUUUUUUUAACAAAAGUUUAGAUCAAUUUAAUGUUAGUUUGCGCUUUUAAUUUAAAUCAUAUAAAAUGAUAUCAAUAGUUUCUUUAAAAAAAAAUAUAGUUUACUACUCUUGUUUUUUGUAUUCAACAUCAUAGUUUUAAAUUUCAUUGUAAUAUAAAGAAUUUUGUGAACUCCAUAGCUGAUAUUAUAAUUACAAUUUCGUAUCUGAUAUUUUUUCAUAUUUUACAACAAUAUAAAUAAUACAACAUAAAUCCCUAUUGUUUUAAUAAUUUAAAAUCAUACUUUAACACAUAGGAUUCACUCAUUUCUCUUUUUUCAAACACAUUACAUCACUAGUUUAGAAGAUAGAUGUCAUCACCAAGGAGUUUCUUAGGCUACGUGCAACACUUACACACAUACAUGUCAACACAAUAUUCUCAAACACGGACACCCUUUUUCUCCACGUGUCACUCUGUUACUAUCUUUCCUCCACGUGUCACUCUCCCUUAAAAUAUGUUCCCUCAAAGUUUUGCUUCCUACACACACCACAUUCAAACACCGACUUUGCUUCCUUCACAUAAUAUAUACCCAUCACCACAAUCCAUAUACACAUGAAAUUCAAAGCAUUAUUAUAACUCACUGCAUUCUUCUUUUCUUUUUACAUAAAAAAGUUGGAUCAAAAUCUACAAAAAUUGAAUGGCGUCGAGGAAAGAUUUCAAGGAAGACAGAGCCGAAGCAGCUGCAAAACUAGCUGCAAAAGACAUCGGCGACGUAAACAGAGCAAACGAACGAGAAGAAGGAUACAAUCUUAAUUCCGAAAUACAGUUCAAACAAGCACGUGCUGAAGCAGCUUCAAAACUCGCUGCUAAAGAUCUGGAAGACGUUAACAGAGCAAAAGAAAGAACAUUGAAUGCUUCUUCUGAAACAGGGUAUUAUCAAGAAGAGAAACCCGGCGUUAUUGGAUCAAUGCUGAAAGCGGUGAACAACACUUUCGGACACGCGAAAGAUGCUGUUGUUGGUAAGAGUAACGAAGCUGGUGAAAAAGUAAAGGAAACUUCUGAUUAUGCUUAUCAGAAAGCGAAGGAAACAAAAGACAGCACUGCGAACAAAACAGGGGAAUAUGCUGAUUGUGCUGCGGAGAAAGCGAAGGAGACGAAAGAUGCGACGGUGAAUAAAGCUGGAGAGUAUAAGGAUUAUGCUGCAGAGAAGGCGAAGGAAGCGAAAGACGUGACGGUGGAGAAAGCGAAAGAGGUGAAAGAUGCGACAGUGAAUAAGGCGGGAGAGUAUAAAGAUUAUACGGCUGAGAAGGCUAAAGAAGGGAAGGAUGGUACUGUGGGGAAACUUGGUGAGUUGAAGGAUUCGGCUGCUGAUGCUGCUAAGAGAGCUAUGGGUUUCUUUUCUGCGAAGAAAGAGGAAACUAAGGUUAAUUUGCUUCUAACUUUCAUUGCUUUUUUGAAAUUGUGAGUUUAUUGAGAAUGUGUGAUUAAUUGUGUGGCUUGCAGGAAAUGGUGAGUGGAACAGAGGAAGAAUAUGCAAGGAGAAGAAUGGAUGAUUUAAGUGUGGAAGGAGGGAGGCGGGGUAGAGAGAAAUUGGUAGUGAAGGUGGAUGAGAGUCGUCCUGGAGUGGUGUCUGAUGGGCUCAGAGCAGCUGCCGGAGUAGAUCACAGUGGAGGACAUUUGGAGGAAGAAGGCACCAUACAUGUUGAGCGUCGUCGUGAGAAAAUGUGAUCAUCAUCAUCAUAUGCAAUCUUCUUGUUGCCAUGUCAGUACUAUAUAUAUGAUCACUACUUUUCUGUAAUCAUAAUGUGUUUUUUGUAAUAAUAAUAAUAUUUUGUUACUAUUUUUUUUUUUUUGCUUUUUUUUAAUCUUAAUUAAUCGAAUCCUUUUGUCUUUUUAGGGAGUGGAAUUAGUAGUUUUUUUUCAUUUUCAAGUGCAAGGUUAUGAAUGGGUGGAGGCAUGAUAAACCCAGGCCUGGAAAUAGCACAUAAUAAUCGAGUUGGGCUCUUUUUUAUUUCCACGGGCUAUUUUUCAUUGUUUGGAACUUGGGCUUAUAAAUGCAUGUCACUGAUUCUUAAUAGAAUAAACCCAACGCUUAUGAAUGCAUGUGGCUGAUUCUAAAGAGAAUAAACCCAGAUAAACUAUAACGAUGACUUUUUAAAAUACACCCUUUGAUUAGUCAAUUUAAGGUGUCUUUUGAAAAGAAAAUAAAUGUAUUUUAUAAAUGUUUGAAAUUAUGGACUUUAGGAAAAGAACGAAUUUAUUACUUAAAGAAUAUUUUUAAAGAGUUUAUUACUUAAAGAAUAUUUCUAAGUCGCUUUUAAUGCAUGGAAAAAAUAGUCAUGGGAUAGUUGCUUUAGGGUUAGUAAGUAAUCAUGAUGUUUGUUAAGUAAAGAUUGAUUUGAGGAUAAUCUCCAUCCCAUAAAAACAUCUAUUUCAUUCUCAUUUGUUCACUUUUACAAACAUAUAAUGAGACAUUAUAGACAUAAAGUAACGUGCCAAGCAUGAGAGAAGUUCAGCUUUCUCUUCUCCUUUCUUCGGGUCUUUGAGUUCUGUGUAUGUGUGUCAUGCGCUAAGAGUGAUAAUUUUAAAUAUCAUCCAAAAUUUAAUAAUUUUAAAUAUUUCUUUACUUUAUAUUAUAUAAAUUGUAAAAUGAUCUCUAUAGUUUUUGCGAGUUUAAAUGAUUUUAUAUUUUUUAAAAUUUUUAUAUUAGUUUCUAAAAAUUGCAAAAUAGUCUGUUUUUAACUUUUACAAAUUUUUAAUUUUGGUCCAAUUAUAAGAUUUAUUUUUUGUCUAAAAAUUUUAGAAAUUUAUAAAAAUAGUCUAAAUUUUUAAGAACAAUUCUUUUUUUCAAAAAAAAGUUAAAAAUAAAAGAAAUUUAACUGAAACAUUUAGAUUGUCUGUAAUUUUAAUUUUAUUUAAAUAAUAAUUUAAAUAAUAUUUACAAUGAAGAAACUUUAUAAGGUAUUUUGUCAUACAUAAAUUUAGAAAAAUUUAAAUACUUUUUAAAAUUAAUAAUUUCAAAUAUUUUUUUCUUCAUAAAAUAUGAAUUAUGAAAUUAUCUUUGUAAUUUUUUCAAAUUUCCAAAUUUGAUAUUAUGUGCUUUAAAAUUUGUACAUUAAUCCCUAUAUUUUUUACAAAUUAAUAUUAAAAAUUUAACAAAAAUAGUUUCUCUAAUUAUGAAAGAAUUUUGAAAACAAAUACUAUUUUAACAAGUUAAUUAUUGAUAUUUUUCUAUGUAAAAGAAAAUUGAAAUUCACCUUGAGUUAACUUCUCAAAUUAUCACUGUCAUCUCAUUGUCAUCUCAUAGUGAUUGACUUUAGGAGUAUUUAGUGACUAUUAGCAUGUGUAAUUUUAUACUCUAUCACUUUACUAAAUGACACAUCAAUUUUAUAAAAUUAUACAUUAUUUUACAAAAUUAUAUUUUAUUAAUAGUAUAUAAAUAAAAUGGAAACUAGAGUUUACAUAAAUUAGAAAAAGAGAUUAAUAAAUAAUAAUGGUUGUAAUAAAAAUAUAAUAUUAACUAUUUAAUUGGCAUAUGAUAUAUAAAAUCAGACAACAACAAAAUUAGACAAUUUUUGUGUGUUAAAAUUGUUUAUAGAAAAAUGUUAAUAAAUAUUUUUAAGGGUAUUUACUAAGAAAAAAAAAAAGACAAUUUAAAAUGUAUAAAAAUUUAACUCUUUUAAAAUUUAAAAUAUAUUAUUUUCAAUAUAAAAUAUUUUUAGUUCUUAACAAAUACUUUUAAGAUAUUUGUUAGUAAGUAAGUUGUGGGACACAAAUAAUAUUAUUAUUAGAAGAUACUAAUAAGUGGUUAACAUUGUAACAUGCUGCCAACAAUUAGUAUUUUUGUCUAAUUGGUAAAUGGAAAGCCUUUCUCAAAUGAUUAUUAUUUAUCUUCAAUUAACUAAUAUAAUAUAGUCACUUAGUUGUCAUCGAGGUAGUUUUCGAUUUUUUAUAAUACUUUUGCGGAUUAGCGUUUGAUUAACUUUUGUAAUAAAUUUAGUAAGUUAGAUUUUCGGUGGUCCCAUAUAUUUUAGAGAUUUUAAAAAAUUAGAUUUUUAAAUAUAUUUUUUUACAAGAAUAAUAUUUUAUUUAAAUUGUAAACAAUAUAUUUUUUUUAAACUAAUCUAAAAAAAAAACAAAAAUUCAAAUUAUUUAAUUUAAAUUGUAUCUAAAUAAUAUUAAAAAAAAUCAAAAAACUUAAAUCAUUUCAGAUACACUGAUUCAAAUAUUUUUGACCUCUAAUAGUCUUAAAAAAUUAAAAGAAAUAAAAUGCGUCCUAUUGAUGAUGUUGCACGGGCCAUGGCAUAUUCUGGUUAGAUAAUAGUAAUAUUUUUUAUGUUGUAAAAAAAAAAAAUAGUAUUUCUUUUCUGUGAUUGUGAUUAAUAUGCAAGCAAAGAUGAACGGAACCAGAAACAUGUUUGCAAUCGGUAGUUGUCAUCCGCAUUUUAGAUGUGAGUGUGUGAUAGUGCCUCUUGUGCUCACCUGUACCAUAAGGAUUGGCGAUGCCUGGAGGAAGACAAUUUGAAUUAGGACUCACUCAGCCAUGUUAUGUUUUGUUUUUUGUUUCUCUUUUUUGUUUUUCUUUUUUCUGUUUGAACUAUCGACCCCAGCUAUGAAUUUGACGACCAAGAUUAGUUUCCAUUUUGUGGUGUCCUGCUCUCACGUGAAAUCAACAGAAUGUCCAACCAUGCAUUGUCCAGGGACAAAACUUCGCAUCAAUUAUUUGUCUUGCUUAACUGGCAAAUCAGAGUGUAUCAAAAACAUUUAUUCCAUUUAUUAUAUGUCUCACAAUAUAAACAAAAAUAGAUUAAAUCAAUUAGAUACAUAAUUUAAAUUUUAAAUUAUAUAUUUAUUUUAAUCUAUUUUUAUUUAUAUUAUAAAAGAAAAUAGUAUUUUUUUUAAAGUAUCUAAAACAACUUAACAUACAGUAAAUUAUUUUAGUGACUACUCACAAUGAUUAUGUGGUUAAUAAGACAGAGAAAUUUAAACAUUCGAUAAAAAAUAUUAAUAAAAUUUUUUAGGAUAAAAAUAUUUAAUAAUGACUUAAAACACAAAAUUUUAUCUUAAAAUUUAUGUAUUCAACUCUUUAAAAUUAAAAAUUAUAUUUUGUAUCUUAAUAAUCUUAAAGAAUUUAUUAGCAUAAACACAUUUAAUUUAAAUAAGUGUUUAUUUAAGAUAUUCUCUGUAGAAGACAAUAUCUAUUUCCCUUAAAUUUUGAGGAACAAAAGAAGAAUGACUAUGAAAAAAGAAAAUAUACAACUUCAAAUAUAUCUAACUAUUUUUAGUAGAAAAAAAAUCACCAAAUACCUACCUGUUGAUGAAGGUUGACUACAUAGUAAGACUAUUACACUUGAGACUACAGGCACCCCUUUAUGAUUUUUUUUUGUGCAAAUACUCCAAUCCAUAAUAAAUUUUUUUGUUUUAUAAUUGUAAUAUUUUAAAAGAUGUGUCAAUUUUUGUUAACAAUUGUUUGUUAAAUAUUAAAUUAAAAUACAAUUUUUUAAACAACAAAUUUAGAUAAAAUAUUAUAUAUAAUUUUGUCAUUCACAUUAAUAUUGACGUAUCUUAUUUACAAGGAAGAUAGUUUUAGACAAAUAUUAAAAUUUAUAAAUAUAAUAUAUAUGAUAAUAAUUUUGAAUUCAGUAAUUAAUUUAAAAAUAAUUAUUUAAUAUGAUAUUAUUAAAUAAAUAUAACUAUUAACGUAAUUCAAAUAAAACAUACAAUUUAAUAAUAUUAGAUUUGUUAAUGAAGUGAGACGACCUAAAUAUUUUAUUAUUGUUGAAUGUUUUCUUGUUUGUAUAUAUUUAGUAGUACGAAUACGACAUACUUAAAAAAAAAAAAAACUCGAAUACGACUACGUAUUUAUUAUUAUUAAAUGUUAUAGAAAUAAUAAAAUUAGAAAAUAAUUUGUAGGUGGUGGUGGCACCCUGUGAUUUAAUAUUAUGAGUAUGAGUAGUAAGUAAGGACACAUGCCAUAACGUUACUCCUUCUGAGUCUGAGUGUUGUUCGAGAAAUGAAUUCACAAUUGUCCGCCAUGUCCUUUUCCACCAAAGCUUUCAUCCUCUACCUCAUAUCCGCUUUCUCCAUUGCCCUUCUCUCCGCACUUUUCCUCAAUUACAAACCUUCUUCCCUCAAUAAUUAUUCCCUUCCACUCCGUUACGGAUCCAUAACCGAUAAACUUUGGCCCGUACGUCACUUACACAUCAUUUUCCCUUCUCCAAUAUUCAGCUACUUCUUUUCUCAAAUAAACCGUUUCUUCCGUUUAAACAUUCACAUUUUCUUUGUUUUAUUGUGUAGGAAUUGAAGGUUAGUUGGAGACUUGGUUUGGCCACACUUAUUGGUUUUUUAGGAUCCGCUUUUGGAACCGUUGGUGGUGUUGGUGGUGGUGGCAUUUUCGUUCCUAUGCUUACUCUUAUUAUUGGUUUUGAUACUAAAUCUGCUGCUGCUCUUUCCAAAUGUAAUUAAUUCAAUUCAAUCAUUUCAUAUAUAUACUUUUAAAAUGUUUUCUUACAAGCAGGGGACGUUGUUUUGAUGAUGUUGAGUUUAUUUUAUUUUAGGUAUGAUAAUGGGAGCAUCAACAUCUUCUGUAUUUUAUAACCUAAGAGUGCGUCAUCCAACAAAAGAAGUUCCAAUAUUGGAUUAUGAUUUAGCUCUUCUUUUUCAACCUAUGCUCAUGCUUGGUAUUACUGUUGGUGUUGCUCUUAGUGUUGUUUUCCCUUACUGGCUCAUCACUGUUCUCAUCAUUAUUCUCUUCAUAGGUUACUUUUCUACUUACUUUUAUCCAUUCUUCCUUUCAUUUUAAUCACUUCUUAGUUGAAAUUCAAAAUGGAAAUUCUAUAAUUUUGGACAGGAACUUCAUCAAGGUCUUUCUUUAAGGGAACUGAGAUGUGGAAAGAAGAGACUCUUCUCAAAGUAAGACUUAAUUUCACAAUUUCAUAAUGUAAUAAAUAAUUGAACAUUCAAUUAUCAAUAUAAGUCAUUAAAUGAUACUCAAUAGCUUUGUAUCUCUAUGGUUUUUUAAUUACAGAAAGAAAUGGCCAUGGCACAAGCAACUUUUGUUAAUUCUCGCGGGGAACGUAAGAAAAUCUUAUAUAUCUAUUUCAACUUUAUCUGAGAUUCAUUAGCUGUAUUACUACUUUUUUCAAAUUAAUCAAUAAUGAAAAUUGUACUAAAUUACAAAUCUGGAUCCAUAUGGAGUAAUGAUAAUUAACUUAAUCUCCUGAAUUAUGCAGUUCUAAUCGACACAGAAUAUGAUCCAUUAGUACCUAGAGAAGAGAAGUCACCUAUGGUAUUUAAACUUCACAAACUUAUAAAAUUUUGAUUUACUUGUUUGUAGGUAGGUUUGUAGAAAAUUGACUAUUUGUUUUUUUUUUUUUUUUGUGUUUCUUAAAACAGCAAAUAUUUUGUUCCAACCUUAAGUGGAAAAGAAUUUUGGUGUUAAUGGUUGUUUGGGUUUCUUUCCUACUACUUCAAGUCAUUAAGGUAGGUUCCUAUUUAUUUCCUGUUCACAUCACAAAUCUGUUUAAUUUUUAUUUAUUUUUUUAAAUCUAUUUGAUUUUGGUUUUGUUUGCAGAAUGAUGUAAAAGUCUGCAGUGUAUGGUAUUGGGUCCUUUUCUCCUUACAGGUAUGAUAAUAAAAUAACAGCAAUUGCAUAACCACUAGCACAACUUGUUACCUAUGCUGGAAUUAAGUUAAUUUCGACUAAUGUGGCCUCAAUCAUUGCAACGUUGCGGUCAUAGAAGCAUUGAAAACUAUGAUGUUGCAAUCUAAAUUGUGGUCGUGGAUUUUUUUUUAAACCAGCUUAUCAUCGUCUAUGAAACAUGGACACUAGAUACGAAAUUGACACAUAAACACUUAAUAGUUAUUUUAAGAAUAAAAGUAAUUGAGUGCGACCAUAUUUGUCAGUGUGAGUCACUAACACAUACCAGAGACGCAUUCAAUUCAAGUUGUUGGUGUAACAUAGAUCAUCAUGAACCUUUCUCUUUCUGUUUCAGUUUCCUAUUGCACUAGUGGUGUUUGGCUAUGAAGCAAUGAAGUUGUACAAGGAUCACAAAAAGAGGAUGAGUACAGGAAAUCCAGAAUCUAUCUGUGAAGCUUCAAUUGAAUGGACUGCAUUGCACAUUAUCUUUUGUGCACUUUGUGGAAUCUUAGGUGGGACCGUUGGAGGGUUACUUGGUUCUGGAGGUGGAUUCAUUUUGGGCCCUCUUCUCAUUGAGAUUGGUGUCAUCCCUCAGGUACAGUACAUAUAUUGAUAGUGUGGAUGACACAAGUUUGAUUUAAAACUAUAAUAAAUUUAAGCAAUUUAAUUUCUAAGGAUUUAUUAAAUUUAACUUGCAGGUUGCUAGUGCAACAGCAACAUUUGUAAUGAUGUUUUCGUCAUCAUUGUCUGUGGUUGAAUUCUAUCUACUCAAGAGAUUCCCUAUUCCCUACGGUAGCUUUCAUCAACUAUUCAAGCUUAAUUCUCUUUUAAUUUAUCCAAUGUUUUUAAAUAGCGGCUAUAGUGACACUAUAAUGUAGUGGAGUUUGAUCAAAUUGUUAUGGUUCAAUGAUACGCUAUUUAAUAUAAAGUAUUGUAAAAUAUCAGUUUUUGCAGCACUAUAACAUUGUUGUAUAGCAAACAAACUGUUAUUUUUCACACAUGUCUUUUAAUUUUCACCAUGUGUCUUGUAUGUGUGAAAAUGAGAGGACUAUAGAAAUAGGUGCAAGAUUACCUCAUAUCAUGGUCUAUAGUAUAUUUCAUAUUUUCAUAUAUACCAUUUUCUUUUGUCAUAAUCAUGUUGUUGUGUUUGUAUUUCUUUUGCAGCAAUAUACCUUUUCACAGUGUCUGUUUUGGCUGGCUUUGUGGGACAAUUAUUUGUAAGAAAAUUGCUUAGAAUUCUUGGAAGAGCCUCAAUCAUUGUAUUCAUCCUCUCAGGGGUCAUUUUUGCUAGUGCUCUCACCAUGGGUAAGCCAAAUCAAAUUUAAUUACUCAACGCACACAUGCACAUUUGAUUUUGCACUUAAGUUCUAAUAUAACUAGUAAAAUACCGUGCAUGCCGUGUUAGCAAAUGUAACACUUUUUCUUUCAGGUAUUAUUGGCAUUGAGAAGAGCAUUCAUAUGAUCCAGAACCACGAGUUUAUGGGAUUUUUAGGCUUUUGUAGCAGUCAAUGAUUUAUAAGAUGUAGUGCACAAUGUGAAAAUAGCUUGUAUAAAUUUCAAGGUAGGACAAAAGCAGCUUGAUGAAUGUUGGUCAAUAUCUAGUUGACCGUCAAGAAGAUUCAUUUUCUUCAAGUAAUAAUAAAUAAGGCAAAGUUGUCCAAUCAUCUUUGAAGCAGCACCAUUUGUAGUUGAGUGUUAACUACUGGUUAACACUUUUCUUCUCAUAACAGUGCAGCAUUUGUGUGAUAAUUUUUUUUUUGAAAAAAAAAAAGAUUGUGUUGUGUAGUCAUUUAAUGAGUCUGUAAAAGAAGCUUGUGAAUUAAGGGUGUAGGACAAGAAGCUUGUGUAUUUAUUCAAAUCAAUGUUUAUAUGUGGUCAAUUUCUUGUUGGCCAUGUUGAAGGUCCUUUUCUUUCUUUAUUCAAUAAAUAAGGUGUAAUUGUCUUCCUUUGUAAGAAUUUGAGGUUUGAUUGUUAGCUACUUGCUAACACUCUUCUUCUCAUUACAGUGUAUCCUUUGUUUGUGUGUGGUAUUCAUUCACUUGGCAGAAUAUUUGAAAUUAUAUAUUGGGCCUACAUUGGUGAGGACAUAUAAAAGUUGCAAGAUAUUUUUUCUGCCAAAAUCAUCCCCUUGUGAGUCAAUAUUUAAUUUAUUAUUAAUUGAGUUAUUUGAAUAUCAAGGCAAGAGACACCGUAUUUGACAUAUGUAAAAUACACAAGGCAAAGGUAAAAGACACCAUACUUGAUAACAAAACUUUUAGGUCUAAGAAUUAUUUCUUAUUUGUCACUACCACAUAUAUAGCUUUCAAUGCAUCUAUUCACAUACAAAUUAAUGGUUAUAUUAUACCAGAAAAUUUAUCUAUUACAAAAAAGUCUUCAUCUAAUCACAAGUGAUGAAGCUUGCACACAAUUACAAUUUUUACCAUUUAAAACAUAUUUUCUUCCAUCUUAAAUAUAAAAAAAAUGUAAAUGAUGAAUUUUUGUGGUAGCGAUUAGUUAAGUUGAAUUUGGCUAUCAAAAUUCAAAAAGAAAUUCCCGAGUAUAAUACAAUCUUUUUUUUGCUAAGCAUGGUUAUGUUUGGAUUAUAAGAAUAAAUUAAAAAAAAAAAAAAAUAGUCAAUCACAUUUGUUAAGGUAUCAUGCUCUAACUAUGCGGUUGGAAUUUUCUUUUGUUAAAACCUUCACCGCAAAAGAAAUCAUAUGGCUGAUGACAAACAUAAUUCACUAUUAUUUCUUGAGAGCCAACAAAUUUGACACGGCAAUGGCGACGGUACUCUUUCUUUCUCCUGCUUAUAUUAUUUUUAAUUAUUUGUAUUUUUAUAAAUUAGAUUAGAGGGAUAUCUAUUUGUCAGAAAGAUAAGCUCGAUCUAAGCUUAAACAAAUCCCUAAUAAUUGAGGAUGUCAUACUAUUUAUUAACGAAGUAAUCAAUCAUGGAAAAACAAUUUUAGAUUAAACCACUUUUAUAAAUCGAAUAUAAAAUUUUAUCAUCCGUUUCAAGUACAACGAUGAAGAAUAGUAAUUAAUUGUUUAAUUGUAGCAAAUACGUAUAUAUAGUAUUAUAAUGGAUGUUCUCUGAAUUGGAUCAUCUUUAACAUGCAUAUGUUGCCAAAGUACCACAAUAUGUGGCCCAAUGGGUGGCCUAAAAGUGUGUUUUGUUCUCAAGAUUCUGAUCCAUAUAUAGCAUUAUAAUGCCAACUAUUUGGGUUGGCCAAUUACGUAACUUCAAAUGUAGUAUGGAACAUUUUAUAUCAAUAAGUUCAACUCAAUCAUCAAUCAUUUCGUUUUAUAUUACUAGGUUUUCUAAUAUAUAUAAACUUAUAUUAUCUCAUCGGUCCAAAAAAAAAAAAAGUUCCAUGAUCUCAGUGACUUUUCAUAGAAAGAAAGGACGACAGAUGAUAGAAGAAUCCAAUGAACUUCAAACUAUAAAAAUUAGCAUAUAAUAAAAAAAUUGUAAUUUUAAUAAUUAAAAAAUGAUAAAAUAAAUUUUAGUUCCGUAAAGUUUUAUUCUUAAUUUCUAUACAAAAAAUUUCAAAUUUCUAAUCAUAAAAUUUUUCCGUCACUUUUAGUCUUUAUUUUCAAAAAGUAUUGUAAAAAGUUAAUAGUUUUAGUCCUUCAAAAACUUCUAUAAAAUCAAAAUAGAAACUAAAAUUAAAUAAUUUUUUUUAGUGGUAUUUUUAGAGAUCGUACUGUCGCAUCUCUUGGGUGCUUCGUUAUGCCUAUGAAAACUCACAAUGCUAUGUUUGUGGAACUUAUUGGUGCAAUAUUGACGAUUGAGAUAUCUUUUGAGAAAUGGUGGCAUGUAAAGUCUUUGGUCAGAAUGUGACUCAAAUUUAGUUGUUGCUGCUUUCAGUAACUCUCAGAUUGUCCCUUGAAGACUUCAAAAUAUAUGAAACAAUUGUAUUUAUAUUACCAUUUAACUGAGAUUUCAAUGCUCACAUAUUUACAGGGAGGGAAACUUGUGCGUUGACUUGUUGGCUAAUUUUGGUAUUUCCAGACAGAGUUUUGUCUGAUGGAAUGUUGUUCCUUCUUUUAUACGAGGAGUUUUUUAGGAAUAGGAAUCAUCCUUUUAGUUUUAGAUUCUCUUAAUAUACUUGGGUAUGGUGGUUGUCAUGUGCUUAUUUGUGUAUAUUUUAUUUAUUUAUUAUUUUCUACUAAUAAUAUUUUGUGUUGCUGAAGAUUGUGAGAGUUGGCGAUGUCAACUUAGUUACAAUUGUUGGGGAUAAUAAUGUGCUCUGCACCAUUUAUUUGGAAGAAAAAAAAAUUUGUCUUUCUAUUUUACAUUUGCAUAAAAUUGAAAACAAUAUUAUUUUUUACUCAUAAGACAAUGUUGAAAUGUGAUUGUUUAAAUUUUGGAAAAUGUUUUUAAAAACAAACAUUUGAUAACGUUUUAUAAUCUAUAUUCAAAACCUACUCUUUUUAAUAUAUGUUCGAAAUGGUUGUAUUUCGUGAAAGAGUGGAAUGAAAUGAAAGAUGUUAGUUUCAAGGUUGAGCCUUAAAUUUCUGUUGAUAUCAAUGUAUUCUUGCGGUCUUAGAUCAAUAUUAGGUCUGAGAUCUAUCAAGAUUAUGAUAGAAACCCUUAAAUAUUACUUUAUAAAUGCUGCUUUCAUUUAACAAGAGUGUCAUGUCAUCGGAUGAAUCAUAUUGAGUUAAAACACACAACUACAACAAGGUUUUUUUUGCGAGACCUGACUGCCGUUAGGAAAAACAAAACAAUAAGAAAUUACAGGUUUGCUUAGGGUCCGUUCAAAGUUAUUUUUGGUUUUCUGUUCUAAAUUUUUAAAAACUAAAACCAAUUAUCAAUUUUAGUUAUGAAUUUGAAUUCUUAGUUAAAAAAUAAAAAUUAAUUUUAAUUAUUUUAAAAUAAUUAAAAAUAUUGUAAAAUUAUAAUAUAUUUAAUUAUAAUAAUUUUAGUAGCAGUGGUUAAGAGUAAUAGUUGUGGAAGACGACUAUCACAAUAGUUAUUGAUUGUCGAAAGCGGCUACAACGAUCAAAAGAGACGGAUGAUAGUUGGAGGUGGUGUUUGGAGCGUAACCGGUGAUAAUUAUAUUGGUGGAUGGUGGUCAUUGGAGAUGGGUGAUUGAUAGUGAGGGUGGCAUGUGUCAGAAAUGGUCGUAAUGUUGGUUAGAGGUAGGUAUUCGAUGAAUAUGGUGGGUUUCAGAUAUGGCGGAGGUCGAUGUGAUGGCGGUAGCAGUUGUCAAAUGUGGGUGGUCGGCAAUACUAACUAUGGUUGGAGGUGGGUGAGUGGUGAUGAUAUAAGUGAUUGAAUAUGAUGGUCGGUUGUAAGGGCGAUGGUCAGAGGUGAGUGAUCGAUGAUAGAAGAUGGUUGUUGGAGGAAUGUGAGAGAUGGAUGUUGAUGGUCAUAAGUGAGUGGUUAGUGAUGAUGGUGGUGGUGACAAUUGCUAGAGGUGGGUGGCUGAUGGUGAUCUGAGGUGAAUGGUCAAUGAUAAUGGAUGUGAUUAGUGGCGGAUGAUCAUUGAUGGUGGCAAUGAUUGGAGAUUGGAUAUAGGUGUAGAAGAUAAUGGUUGUUACGGUGAUGUUUAUGUAUAAUGAUUGUGACAUGUUAAUUUAAAAACAAAAAUUGUAAAAAUUAAUUAUUCAGUUUAAAAUUUUUAGAAAAGCUGUUUUAAAAUUAAGUAUAAAAUCACUUCAACCCUAUUUUACGAUAUUUUCUUAGUGAUAUUAUCAUUGUUUAAGUGUGUGUGAAGGUUAGAGACAUAAUACGUAAGAUAUAUUUUGAAUAUCAAUAUUUUUCUCAAGAAAAAAAUAAGAGAAAUUUAUUAUUCGAAGAAAAAAAUUAAUGUUUCAAAGAUUUUAAAGUUUCAAAAAAUAUACAUUUUGAAGUUUUUUUAAAUCAGAAAUGUUUGAAAAUAUUUAACAAAUUAAAUGAAUUCUAUUUCAAAAUUUUAAAAUUAUAUAAAACUUUCAAAGAUUUUAAAAAUCUAAACUGAGUUUGUUUUUCAAAUAUUGAAUAAUCAAUUAAAUUUUGAAAAUUUUCUAUAAGCGACGAGUUGAAUGUAAAUGUUGAAAUUAAGUAGCAUAUUUUCAAUUAAAAAAAAAAAGUAUAUAUUUUUAUGUGUAUUAAGAGGUGAGAGGUAUAGGUAGAGUGGGUAAUAGAUUUUCCAAAAAAUCAAUUAAACCACAUCCUUAUAGACUGGGCUAUUUCAGAUAGGCCCAAUAUGAAAACGGACCGAACAAUGGUCCUUAUGUGGUUUUUACAAUAAGGAAAGGAUAUUUGUGGCAUUUUCGAGGUAUAGAUAUAAAUUCGCGGAACAAUCAACUUUCAGAUUUUAGGGUUUACAUCGCGCAUUCUCCCCUAACGCAGCAGCCAUGGUUCUCAAGUACGUAUUCUUCUCAUCUCCAUUUUCUUCCAUCAUUUUCUUUCUUACCAUCUCAUCUCUUCUUUUUCUAACGGUUUCAGCCUCUUCAAUUCAAUAUCUCAUACGUUCAAAAAAAUUAAUCUCGUGAUUUAUGUUUCAACAAUCCUUUUUUUUUUGUUACUGUAGGAUUUAGUUUAUUAAUCGAGAAUUAGUCUUCUGUUACAAUCAGUAUUGAGAAUUUGAUUGAAUGCAAAAUUUUGCCAUCUAGAGUGUAGUAUUCUAUGAUGGUAUUGUAGAUUAAAGAUAGAUAAUAUUUUAUUUUAUGAUUGUAGUUGGCUUCUUGAGUGUGAAAAUUUGUCUAGUAUUCAGUAUUUAGGAUCUGAUAGAUAGUUCUAAAUUGACAUUAUGUGUAACAUUUUCUAGUUCAAAAUAAUUGUGUUUUUUAUUUUUAUUAUUUGGGUUACUUUAAAUGAGUACACGCUUGCAAUUUUGUGAAGCACUCUUUAAAAUUCGACGUGGUUUAGAACUGCUUGUUAAUGCAUUUUCAAAUUUUAAACCAUUUAAGAGAAUGUUAUUCAUUUAAAUUAGUUUUUUAGAAAUAUAUCAAGACAUAAUAUGCUGUGUAACUUGACAGAUUGUUGGAAAUAGUAAACCAUGGACUUGUAGUUUCAAUUCAUUUUGAUUGAAUUAGUCUUGGCGUUCUCAAUAUAUUGCUUCCCUAAGUGUUAUAAUUAGAGAUUGAUAUUGCUAUUUCAGGACUGAACUUUGCCGAUUCAGUGGUGCAAAGAUCUACCCAGGAAGAGGAAUCAGAUUUAUUCGUGGUGAUUCUCAGGUGAUGUAAAAUGUUUUUCUUUGCUUCAAUAUCAGUGUUCUGUUUGCUAUGACAUGUUCAAUCUUAGUUUUACUGAUAUAAGGCUUGUUGUCAAUUUUACAGGUUUUCCUGUUUGUUAACUCAAAAUGCAAAAGGUAUUUCCACAACCGUUUGAAGCCUUCGAAGCUUACCUGGACUGCCAUGUUCAGGAAGCAACAUAAAAAGGUGAUUAUUUAACUUAUAUGUUUGUUAUAAGAUAGCACAAAGAUUAUAUAAUUUAAAACUAAGCUCUUGUACUUGUUAAAAUAAGAAUUCAAGGCAAUGAACCUAUUUACGAUGUGAAGAUGUUUUUGCCUGCUUUUACCAUGUACUAAGUCAUUACACAUGUAAACAGAUAACCUUUAGUAGUUCCUCUAUUGAUUACAUGCAUGUGAUGUGUAGGACGCUGCUCAAGAAGCUGUGAAGAAGAGGCGUCGUGCUACCAAAAAGCCAUACUCUAGGUCCAUUGUUGGUGCUACUUUGGAAGUCAUUCAGAAGAAAAGAACUGAGAAGCCUGAAGUUCGUGAUGCCGCUAGGGAAGCUGCUCUUCGGUUCGUUUCUUGUUUCUGCUUACUGUUUAAGAGCUCAUUUUUAGUGGUUUUCCUGUUUUAUCACACGAUCAUGUCAUUUGUAACAUUAAUCAUAUCAUCCCUUUUUUGGAAUAGUCUUAUUUUUAUUUUGUCUUGUUUUUUCUCUUACAAAUAUAGAUGAUUUAUCUAAUUAAUGGUGACCAUCCUGCAGUGAAAUUAAGGAGAGAAUCAAGAAAACUAAGGAUGAGAAGAAAGCCAAGAAAGCAGAAGUAGCAUCUAAGGCACAAAAAUCUCAAGGCAAAGGAAAUGUUCAGAAGGGUGCUUUGCCCAAAGGUCCUAAAAUGGGUGGCGGCGGUGGGAAACGCUGAGCGUUCCAUUUUUGGUUACAUUUAAAUAUAUUUCUUUUGAAACUUCUGUAUCCGUAUAUUUGAUUUGCUUGAUUAGUCUUUUUUUGUUACGUUUUAUCAAACUUGUUUUUGGAGCUUCCAAGAGAAACCAGUGAUCGAUUUUGCUAGUUAUGUUAUUUUUUGGUGCUAUUGAUCUUACAAUGCUUGUUAUUAUUUGCAUGUUUUAGGAGAUUUUUUACUUAAUGAAUAUCAAGAAUUCUAUCAUUCUUUUUGUCCUAUUUGUCAAUUGUUGGUUUUGGCAUUGUAUCCUUGGGUCGGAUUUGAUAUUGUUUGAUGCAAGCUGAAAGUACAUCAGCAAUAAAUGUGUAAUGAUUUCGAUUUCUUAUGUAUUUUUUCUACAAAUCCUCGACCUCAAGAAAAAUAGUUGUGAGAAAUUUGGAAGUAAGAAAUGAUAAGAAACUGGAUGGAUAAUUUUUAAUAUUCUGUUUUGGCUUAUGUAUCCAGGUAAUGUAUAGAAUGAUAAAAAAAAAUUAUAUAAGUAAUAAAUUAAUUAUUUUUAAGACACUUGCCUUUCCUUGAAAAGCACAAAUACCCCCUUUUGUUUUUCUAAGACCCUAAUUCAGCCUCUCAAUUUGACAGCGUUAAAUUUAUGUUACAGAAGAAAACCGAAAAAUUUCAAUGUCAUUUUUGCAUUUACAUUUUUUUCAUAAACAGAUCGUCUGUCCAACAGGUCUUCGUCAUCAGUUCUCAUUACACGCAAAACUUAUGUUACACAAGAACCCGUCUUCAUAUAAAAUAAAUUGAUGUCUGUAUAAAGAAAUUGAUGUCUUUAGUGGUUUCGGUUUCUUUAGUUUAUGCUCUUUCCUGUUUUUUAGUCCUUUAUGUUUUGAUAAAUUUUGGUUGAAUAUAUUAUAUCUUAUGCAAAGUAAAAGUAGAGAAUUAAACAAAAUGAAAAAUAAAGUGUUAAAGGUGGAAGAGAGGUGUUUAGCCAUUUGAUGAAACAAAUAAGGAAUGUUAGUGUAAAAAUUAGUGGGGAUUGUUUUUGCUUUUUCAAUAAUUAAGGAGAGGUGAAUGUAAAUUUUCCAAACUUUUAUAUUGUUAAAUCGUCUCUUUCCACUUUUUCUUGGGCCUUUCCUUGAAGGGGCUCAUUGCUACUGAUGUGCCCGAUUGAUGUGGGUCACUUUGAAGAAUAUCAUAAAGUAGACGGGUUGAUUAGUAAAUUUUUGAAUCCUCAAAUUCCUAAUUUAUAUUUUAUUAGAUUUAGCAAAUCCCAUGUUUCAUAUCCGACUGGCUGUUGUUGUCGAAAAAGUUACAUUUUCCGACUCCAAAUUAUCACUUCCGUCUCAUCGUGUGUAAAUAAAUAAUAGGUGAUUCGAUCUAAUAGACUCUAAUAUCAUUUAAAUAUUUUGAUUGGACCAUUCACAAUAAUAAAUUUGAUAUUGAGCCUAACUUUAUUAGUCUCUUCAAGUGUAUUGAGGGUUCAGAGGUAUAGGUAGAGCCAGUGAGGUGGCAAGUAGAAAAAUCUUUAACAAAAUUAAAACUCACCCAAUACUUUAUCUAAUUCAAUUAAAAUUUAACUCAAAUUAUAAACUAAUAAGAAUAUAAGUUUUAUAUACAAGAUAAAAAAUUAAACUAUAUAACUUUAGUUCGCCAAUACAUUAUAGAGGUAAAUAUAUAUAUCCUUUUAUUUUUACAUAAGAUUCAAAUUUAGGUCCACUUUUUACACUUAUAUAUUACUAGUAUUAUAUCAAUUUUUAUUUUGGUACUUUUCAGAUCUUAUAAUUUUUUUUUUAAGAAACUGCCUUUACUAUUCUAGAACAAUUAGGCAAUUCAAAGUUAAAGGUGUAGAAGAAAAAAAAAUCAAAGUAUUUGAUGUUACUAUUAAAAAAAUAGGAAAAUUCUAUAUUAUAUUUAACACAUUUCAAUAAAAAAGUUAAUAGAAACUAACAAUCAAAUCCUAUUUUAUUGAUAGUAACAAAACUUAGACGACUCUAAUUAGCUCAAUGACAAUUCAUUUAGAUAAUGACACAAAACUUUAUUAUUAGUAGAUAUCUAUACUUACACAUCCCUAAAUAUAAAAAAGUUUAACUGCAAAAUUUUGUAGGCACUUUAAAUUAAGGGUAUCUUCAAUCAUCAUCAUUUAAUAGUAUCAAAAGGAAAAUUCAGAAUAUAGGUCAUUGAUAUCAAAAUCACAAAAUGGAUAUAGGUCAUCAAAAAACCCAAAUCAAAGUAAUUAUUCUUCAAACCUUUAAAAUUUAAUCAAUCCAAUUUCAAUUCAGACGGAUCGGAAGCCGUCUCAACAACAUCGGAUUGUUCCACCACAUCCAAAGAAUUUAACUCUAGCAUAUUUUGUUCCACAAAUUCAUCCUUCAAAUAAUUAGUCUCAUCAAUUGCUUCAUUGCUUGAAAUUUUAUCAUUCUCAAUCAAAUUAGUCUCAUCAAGUCGAAUAUUUCAAAAACUUAUAAUUUUAUUCAAAUUUUCGAAAUGUAAAUUUUGUUUUAAAAUAAUUAAUUUUUUUUUUUGAAAUUUUCUAUUUCGAAAGUUUCCUAUUUUAUUUCAAAAAUAUCUAAAUUUGUGAAAUUUCAUUUUUCGAAAAUUUCCUAUUUUUAUAUAUAGUAAAAUGAGUAAAAUAGUAUUUUUUAAGUGUAUUGAGAGAGUGUAAGGUAUAGGUGGGGGUGUCAAGUAGAAAACUCUCUUAGAUUUUAUCUUGUAUCCAACUUUUUCUUACAAAAUCGACUUUUAGGGUGACAACUAUUCUCCACUUACAUCAAUUUUGAUCAUUCACUCAUAUUUUUUAACUAAAAAAAUAGUUAUUUGAUAUGUUUUAAAUGACUCGCCAUACAAUCUUAUGAUGUCGAACUAUCUAGAUGUAUUAAUUAUUUAAAUGAUAUUAGUUAAAUUCCAAAAAUAAAUUAUUUUAUAAAUUGAAAUUUUUAAAUGAUUUCUUGCAAUUAUAUAUAUUAUAAAAAUAAAAAUAUAAAAAUAAAAUUACAAUUAAGUUUUUAUGUUACCUCAAAAAAAAAAUCCUACUUUUUUUAAAGAGCUCAUAUAAAAACAACAAAUAAAAUUGGUCACUUCCACUUAAAAGAGUCAAAAAUAUAUAUAUAUUUUUUAAUUUCAUUCAAACCAAGCAUUGCAACGUAACAUUAAAAAACUUCGCUAAAAAUUCAUUACUAUGGGGAAUACUUUGUUUAUAAUAUUAUUUGACUUUUUCGAGUGACAAUAGGUCAGACGAGGUUAGACUUUAAAUCCUGAGUCUGGUUUAUGAUUAAUUUUUUAGGUCUACGACCUAUCAUAUACUUUUUAUCGGUCUUACUUAGUUUUUUUUAAAAGUCUAACCUGACUUGAAAGUCUAUUUAAAAACUUUAUUCACAUUAAAACAUUUAAAUGUUUUACUCAUACCACACGUUACUCUCGAGAUACCAAUAUCAAUGUACAUAUCUAUAUAUUAAAUAAAAAAUAAUUUAAAUUUUUUUUGAAAUAAACAUUCUUUAAACCCUGAAAAAUAAUUUUUAGUUUCAAAGAAUAGAUUUUUUUUUUUUUCUUUUUAUGAAACAAAUACACCAAUUAUUACCUCUCAAACAAAUAUGGAACGACUACUGAAUGAUUGACUAAUUGAACGACUACCGAAUAUGGAACAACUAUCAAAUAUAAAUCGCUACCGAAUAUGGAAUGAUUGUCUAAUUGAUUGAAUUUAAAAUAGAAAAUAAUAUUAUUAAUAUAAUAAUAAAAAAUAACAUUAAUAAAUAGGCUAAAUAUCACAUGUGGUCACUUAACUUAAUUUCAGUUAACGUUUUAAUCAUUUAUCUUUUUUUUUUCUUCCCGAUUUAGUCCUUUAUUCCUAACAAUAUCAAAUAAAGUAUAAAAAUAUGAGUUUAUUUGAAAAUUUGCGUUACGAAUUUGAUGAAAUUUGUAUUAUAUUGAAGAAUAUAAUUAAUUUUAUGAGUUUUGUUUGAAUUUUUUUUUUGAAAUUUUGUAUAAAAAAGUAUAACAUUGUUGAAAUUUUAAAACUUAAAAUUAAAAUAAAGGACCAAGUCGGAAAAAAAAAGAUAAAUGACUAAAACGUUACCUGAAAUUAAGUUUAUGGACUACAAAUGUAAUUUAGCCUAAUAAAUGAUAAAAUAUAUAUACGUAUGUCAGACCUAAUAGAUUUUCUUAUAAAUUUAAAUAAAUAAAUUUUAAAAAUAACUUAAACCUAACCUUUUUAUUAAAUAAAUCAUAUCAGACCACAUCAUAAAUAUGUCAGACCAUAAACCCUUAACGAACGGACGAAUUAGUCUAUCCACAUCUCUAUACACAAUCGUGAACGAAGAAGCAAAUUUGUGGCCGUAUAUGGGAUAAAACAUUGUCCAUUAAUGUAGGUAAUUAAUCACCAUUGUGGUAACUUGCACCCAGUAAUUUAAAGAUUCACUUAAACCGUCUCAGACAUUUACCCAUUUGUCUGAGGCUAUAUGACUCAAACACAGUAAAAGGUUCAAACUCCGCCCUAUGUUUCUAUACUCGAAACCUUUUAUCUUUACAUCUUCUACUACCUUUUGAAAGUUUAGAACUUCUCCUUCAAAGACUAUUUUAUUCCUUUGCUUUCCAGACUCUCCACACACAACCAAAUCAUAAUUUCAUCAUGAGAGGUUGAGAAAAAAAAUCCUUCCUUUACACGAAAAUCUUGACCAUUCUCAUCCUUUUAGGUGCCAUUUUCAUUCUCUAAAAAUUAUUCUCUUUUUUAAUGCAUAAAAAUAAUUUUUUUGUAAAUACUAUUUAUUGUACUUAUGCAAAUUACAUUCUAAGUAUUUUAAAAGAGAUCCAUCGUUGAUCAUAUUUGUAUCCAAUAUAUAUAUAUACAUUGGUAAGAAUAAUUCAACCCUAGAAUAUAGUGUAAUGUACUCGUAACACAAGUUAUAUUCACCAAGAUAUUCGUCAUAUAUACGUACNNNNNNNNNNNNNNNNNNAUAUUUAUACAAUCGUUAAAAAUAAAUAUUUUUAAAUAAUAAUUAUGGAUUUGCACCAAUAAAAUGAGUAAAAAUAUAUUAAAAAAUCAAUAAUUAUUAUUUUAAUAAAAUAUUGACCAAGUCAAUUACUUAAAUGGUCCAAUACACUAUUAACCAGUCCGAAACAAUCGAUUUGGUCCAGUUUUUAAAACUAUGGUUAAAACUUAAAACAAUUAAGAUUUAUUUUCUACCCUAUUUGUAUUUAAAACAUAGUUUUGACAGUGUUCCUUUUGAGUAAAACAAAAAAGCUAAACAUUUGAGGUCACACUGUCCUGUUCUGAGUGAGUCAGUGUCCUGAAUCCUCUGUCUCAAAACAAAGUAAUGAAAUGAAAAGUGUAAGAAAAAACAGUGUGCAACUAUCCUUUUCAUCCAACAAAAAAGCAGUACAUAAGACUUUAAUUUAAAAGGAUUGAAAACAACUAGUAGUUAAGUUUUACCCUACCCAAGAUCACUGCAUUAUGACUCAUAACUUCUACCAUCCCUAUAGUUCUGGAUAGAUCCUAAUGUCAGUCCUCAAACCAUUAAUAUCUAUUAACUACUAGUACACUAAAAUUAAGUUAAGCUCAGAGUUAAAUCACACUACUCAUAGACUACUUCAUUUCUAACAUUAAAAAUCCUAUUAAUACAUAGUAUUAAGGAUAGUAAGGUAACACUGGCCAUUGAGGAGGCAUUGAAACUGAGUUAAAAUCUUCAACAGUGAAAGAACUGUUGUAUCCUUCUGCUGCAGCAACUUGUUGAAUAUUGCUACUUGUAAUUCCUUGUGGUCUGUUUGAACAUUUCAUCCCUUCUGAUGUACUUUCAACUGUUUCUUCAUUUGACAUUUCUUUAUACCCACCAAAUGUUUGUGUUUGUGUCCUAAAAUUACAUUGCUCUUUUAGCUUUCCUUUCAACUUUAAAACCUGUUCAGGGAAAAUCAGAAGUAAUCAACCAAUUUGUGGGUAAAACUAGUAGAAUUCUGAAUUCAUGCUGUCACGAUCACGUGGAUCAUUCCAUUAAGAUUUGAUCUUUUAAAAAAUGCAUGUUAUAAUUUUAUAAUUUAAAAUAUUUAAUUUAAAUUUGAAUCGUAAAAUCUCACCACAUAUUGAUAUCUAGACGACUAAAUAUCCAAACUGCGAGGGAAUUCAAAUAGGUUGAAGAUAUCAUGUUAAUGAUCAAUAACUAAUGUUGGGUUUAAAUAUGCAUGUGUUUCAUAUAAAUAGAUUCCAUGCGAAAUGUUAUAUAAAAUAAUAGUAUUUAAAAAAGUUAAUGCAUUUAAUUUAAAAUUUAGUCGUUAAAAAAAUAAAUUAUUUUGUGUUUGUCCAUUACUUCCUCUAUUUCAUAAUAAAUUUGUUAUUUAUUAUUUUAUUUUAUAAAUAUAUUUGUCAUUUUACAAUAAUAAUAUAAUAUUAAUUACUUUACUUAUUAAUAUAUUUUUAUUUAUUAUAUCUCAACUAAUCAAACUUUUUUUUUAAACUGAAAUUAAUAAUAACAUUUGAGUAAAUAAAAUUUAUUUUAUCAUUAAAAUCAACAAAACUAGUUUUUUUUUUUUAAGAAUUACACACAAUUCAUCAUUUAAAAUGAGAUUGAAAGAGUAUAAUGAAUAUAUUUUUUAUGAAAAGUUAAUCAAAACAAUUUCUCAUCUGAAUCAAUUUUUAAAUUAUUUUAUAAAAUUGUAACAAACAAAUAAAACCUCAUAAAAAUAAUUAAUUUAUUGAAAAAGAAGUUUUAACAAACAAUGUAUUUGAUUGACAAAUAUACAUGUACCAGCACACCUAGUUAAUUAUUACCUCUUCUUGAAGAAUCUGCUUUUCCUUAGAGAUGACGUCAAAUUCAUGUUUAAGCUCAUCAUACAAAUGCUCAAGUUGCUUAGCCUUCCACCUAGUACGCCUAUUUUGAAACCAAACAGCAAUUUGGCGAGGUUGAAGCCCUAACUCUCUUGAUAGCUUCAUCUUUCUUUCAGGGUCUAACUUUAUUUCCUCUUGGAAACUCCUUUCUAGUAACUCAAUCUGGUUAUUUGUUAAUCUCUUCUUCUUCUCUCGGUUAUUAUUUCCAUUAAUGUUCAUUUCAUCCAUUGCUGGAAACAUUUGUUGUGUUUGAUCACCCAAUGAUGCUUGACUCACUUCCAUUCCUAAACAUACAUAAUAUUUUUAUAUUCAAUACUUAUUUAUUUUAUCUAUUUCUUUACACUUUUGUACUACUAUUCUUUGAAUGAAAUAUAAACAAAAAAAAUAUUUAAAUAAUUGAUACAUUUGAUUUUAUUUAAUUUUUAAUCAAUAUAUCGAUUUUUUUAAUAUAAUUUAUAUUUAUAUUUUAUUCUGAAAUAGUAUCACACAAUUUUAUUUAUUUAUUUUUAUCACAUUACCGUUUUAUAAAUUAUUUAAAAAAAAAUAGUUACACAAAAUGUUAUUUUUGUAUAUAUACAUAUGUGUGUGUUUAAGGUUGCCAUAAGUGUAGUUUUCAUUUUUUUGAUAAAAAGAAAAAUGCAUGUAUAAAAUGGGGAAUAACUUGGGAUUCGAGUCUGUGUACAAUAUUCCAAAAAGAGAAAAGGUGAAUGUUUUGAGGAAAAAGGAUUAAAAUAAAAUAAAAAUAGCUAUAUAAUGUUUUUACCUGAAUAAGAAGGGUUGUUGUUAUAGUUGUAGAAGAAGCUUAAGGAAGAUUCCGGAAGAGGAAUGAAGGGUCUUGAGCUCUCAUUCCAAUCCAUUUUUAGGUUUCACUAUUUUCUUCACUUCAAUUCCAUCCCUAAAGAUCAUUUGUGUGUCUUUUAUGGGCUUCAUACUUGGUUGGGAUGGACCACGUAGUCAGAGUGUGAAAGAAGAUAGAUAGAGUGGUGCAUGUCAGUAUAUAGCAUAAUUAUUAUAAUUAAUGAGAGCUGAAAUCAAAUUUCUCUAUUUUGGGGUGCAACCCAUUUAAAAACAUUCAUUACCUGUAUCUAAUUUUUUUAAGGACACUUAAUUAUUUCACAAAAUAAUAUAAAUAUAAUUUAUAGUUUCCUUAUCCUUUAAUUUCAUUAACAUCUCUCUUAUACAAUUAGGAUAAGAGAAUUUUUACGCUAUAUAAUCGAUAUGUAUCAAUAUAUUUAAUCUUUAAAUUAAUAAUUAAAUAACUUUUUAUUGAAAAAAGUUAUUUUUUAUUAUUUAUAUAAUUAUAAUAACUAAAUAUUUUUUUUUUAAGUGUUGGCAUAAUAAAAUUUAUUUGUUUUUGAAUUUUUAUUACUUACAAUAGUGAAUAUUUUUACAAUAAAAUAUAACAAAAAUUAAUAUAUUUUAUAAAUAAUUAAUCGAUGAUUUUUUCUUAUGAAACAAAUUUCCUUAAAAUAUAAAAGUAAAAAAAUAAUAAUAAUUAUUAAUUUUAAAAAAUAAAUAUAUCAAAUAAUUAAUUGAUGAUUUUUUCUUAUGAAACAAAUUUCCUUAAAAUAUAUACGUUGGAUAUGGAACGUAUAUAUAGGCGUCUCUAAUAUGAAUCUUCCAGAAAAUGGUUUAAAGACCCCUACCUUUUCUAGUAAAAAAUAUUUAAUUUAAUAAUAAUAAAAAUGGGAACAGAUAUAAUAUUUUAUUCAAAUUUAUUCAAAAUAGUAAAGUUUAUAUUAGUAUCAUAUAAAUCACUUUUUUUAUAAAUUAAAAAUUAUUUGGUGUAUAACUAAGAGACACGUCAAGAUUAGUAUUGUUUAGUAAAAUCUUGACACACAUAAUUAAUAUAUCAAAUAUUAAAAAAUGUUAAAUAAAAUUUUAGUCUUUAUAAAAUUUUGAUAUUUUAAUUUUAGUUCUUAUUAAAGUUUCUUAGCUUUUUAGUCUACACGUUUGUUUUUAUAGUCUCUAGUUUUAGAUUAAUUAAUGUGUAUUUUAUUAAUUUUUUGAAUGAUUUUUUACAACUAUAUUUGUUUCCUUUUCAAAAUUUAAAAAUAUUCAAAAUAAACUGAAUUAAAUAUAAUUUUUUUUUAAUUUUUGGUGUUUAAAAAUUUAUAUUAAAUUAAUCUUUUGUGAAAAAAUUAUAAAUUUUUGUGUGAGAUUUUAUAAUGUUAUAAACAUAUCUUAUAAAUACAAUAUAAAAAAAUUUAUAUAGACUGAAAACAAAAAUUAAAUAUUUUUAAAGACUAAAAUUUAAAAAAAAAAUUAUAUAUAAUUAUAAAUAAAAUGUUAAAAUUUCGUAAGAAUAAAAAAUUUGUCUCAACAAAUAUGAAAUAAUUCAUGGAAGAAAAGAUACCUCUACAACAUGUACCAAAUAGAGAUACCCAGGAGAUUAAUUUUAACAAGAGACAAGAGUGGUGAAUAAAUACUCCUCUAAAUAGGUGUCCAUGCUAAGUAUCACACCUACUAUAGUCUAUAGAUACUAAUUUAUGUAGCUAGGUGUAUACGUACUUUAUAUAUAUAAUAUAAGUAUAUACAGUAUGUACUUUUUUAACAUCUACGUCGAUGAGUACGAGCUUCUUCCUCCUCCCCCCUUCCUUUCAGGAAGCAAGAAGACAUAAGUUAGAUUAAAUUACUGUAGAGAACAAAUUAAAGGACCGUGCUGGCUACCUCAUGCAAAUUUAACAUACACUUUUUUAUAAUUUAUAUUAAUUAAACUAAUAAAAGUUAACUUUCUUUUUAAUAGAUAAUAUGGUAAAUAAAUUCGCUUUUUAGAAUUAUGGAUUCAAAUCCGUAAUCUCCAACAUAACAAUAUAAUUAUUUGUUACUUGAAUUAAAUUUCAUAAAUAAAAAAGGUUAACUUUUCAUUAAGCCAAUGAAUUUACUAAGAGAUGACUCAUUUUAACUUUGGAACUUGUUAAGUGAAAUAAUUUGAUCAAUAACAAUAAAUAGGUGAUUAUUUUUACGAUUUUACUCACGUCUUUUCUUCUCAAGCCUCUGCCAAAUCAUGCCCAGAGACAUUCUACACCUAUUUGAUUAAAAAACUUGUCAUCCUUGCAACAUUUAAAUCAUUUGAUUUGGUUAUUAGUCAUAUCGUUGUUUUGUUAGCAUUUCAUAUUGUUGUUCUUAAAUUUGCAUAGGGCCUGGGCUGCUUACGGUGCCCGCCGUCACAUAGUUCCCGUUUCACCUCUUGUUCGGACAGCGCGGUCCUUUGUUGAUAUUUUCAUGUACAAUUUGAUAGUGUUCUACAAAGUAAAAUACUAUUUUAAUUAUCAAUAUUACAAAGAGACUCGUCAUCAAUGCCAAUGACUUUUAGUAAAAGCUACUUAUGAAAUGAUGAAUUUGGUGAAUAUUUUACAAAAUAAAAAAUCACAUUAGAAUAUUCAUAUUUUGAACUAUUAAAUUAAAAGUGCUCAACAAACUAGAAAACAAUUCUGAUGUACUUAAUAUUGAUUAAAGACUCUCUUCAAGGAUAAAGUCAAAAACUCGCUAUAAACUUAAAAAAUAAAUAAAUUUUCACUUAACAAAUAAAUUCUUAAUUUUAUUUUGUAUUUAAUAAAAAAUAUUUAUAUUUUAAAUUUUAUUUAAAAUUAAUAUUGUUUUAAUAAAUAUUAAAAUAAUAAAUUUAGUUAUCAAUUGAAAAAAUAUAAUAUAAAAUUAAUUAUAUUAAUUUAAUUAAUAAUUUUUUAUUUUAAAUUUUCAAACAAUAAUUUUUAAUAAAAAAUAAUAAUUUUAAUAAAAUAUUAUUAUAAAUUUUAAAAGAAUGUCAUAUUUUAAUUUGUUUUAAAUGUUGAAUUGCUUUUUAAUUAUGAAGUCACCAAAAUUGAUGAGCACAUGUACAAAAUAUUUUCAAAACUAAAAUAUGACGUGUGUAUAUUCACUUGUACAAGAUAUUAAGCGGACAAAUAUUAACUAAAAUAUUAUAAUUGAAAUUUAUAAAAUAAUGUCAGUUUUUUAGAAUUUCACACAAUUUACAUAUAGUCGACAAAUUAAAAAAUUUAGAGUUUUAAUUCACACAAAUAUUCUAAUUUAUAUAAAUUUUUAGAACUUCAUACGAUUAAAUAAAUAAAACAUAUCUACCUUUCAAUUUUUAUCUUUAUCAAAAAAAAUUUUCUUAAAAAAUGUAUCAAUUUUAUUAUGUAUAAACAUUAUAUUACGUCUAAAAAAAAUAUACAAAUUAACUACAUAAAUAAAAAAUUUACAAUUAUUAAGAUUACAACUCACAUUCAUAAAAUAAAACAGUUUACAAUCUCACAUUAACAAUACAUUAGUUAGACAAAAUAAUAAACAUAAAUUUUUUUUAAUAAAUUAUCACUAUUAUUUUAGUAAUUUGUGAAUCUCCUUUAUAUAAAUAAAGUAAAAUGAAAAAUAAAAUAGAAGGGAAAAGUUGGGGACACUUGUGUAUAAUAUUUUUUCCACUGGUGGCAUAAAUUGCAAGUAUAUCUUAAAAUGAGUAGUUCGAUUCCACUGUCUACUUUUUCAGAGGGGGACCAAACUCCUUCUAUUACCUAUCUAUCUUAGGUAUACCGUACACAUAUACAGUCACACUCACAGGAGUUUAUUGAUUUGCAGCUUCCUUGUACAUCAGGUCUAGCUUUUAUCUUUCGAUUUUUUUCUAUGACACCAAAACUACCAUGGAAAUCAAAUUUUGCUUGAUUAUAAAUUCCAGUGUUACAAGCGCAGUGUUAUAUAUCUCAAUCCCAUUAGUAUUAGCAUCAAAUUAAAAUUUUAUGAAACAUAACUGAAUAAAAUAUAAUCCAAAUUUUGGGGGAGAGACGUCAUAAUUAUUGUGAAGAAAGAGAGCAUGAAAACAACAUAUGCAUGUCCUUAAUUUCUCAUUUAUUUUUACAGCUCUUUGUCUUUAGUCUUGAAUAUAUAAAAAUGGUAACUCACUUGUUUACUACAGUUAGUAUCACAUCCAUCAAAAAAUUUUAACAAAUAUUUUAUAUAUAAAAGUAGUGAUUUAUAUUAUGUGGAAUAAAUCUUAUUUCUUCUAUCCGUCAUUCAAAAUUACGAUAGAAUGUAAAUUUUAUUAAAUAAGUUGUUAAAACUAAAUUAAUGAAAUUUCAAAUAUCAUAUAAAACAAAUCAUUUGAAAUUCACUCUCCACCUCUUAAUAUAUAAAUCACAAAAGAGUCUAUAUCAUAUUUUUAUAAAUUUAUAAUUGUGUUCUUAUGUGUUUGAAAAUUUGCAUAUUAAUUCUUAUAAUUUUUCAUUUUUUGUAAAUUGGUUCCUACUUUUUCUUCUUCAAAUUUUGCAAAAUAAUUCUUCAAUUUUUCUAAAUUUCAGUUUUAAUUCAAAUUUAAUUUUUGUUUUUGCCUCACCUUUUAAAAUUUAUAAAAAUAGUUAAACACUAAAUAACAACUGUUGAAUUUAAACAAUAAAGUUUAUGAAUGAAAAAAAUGUAAUUAAAAUAUUAGAAUUCUAAUAUUUCUAAAAUUUUCAAUAAUUCCGUUUAAAUACACUUUUAAAAUUUCUAAAAAGUCUCUUACUAAAAAUUGUCUUAAGCGUCAAUAUUUGUUGCAGGCAAUUUAAUAUGCUCUCAAUUGUAAACUUAUAUUUAUAUUUACAUUUCAAAGUGGAGAGAAAUGUCGAGGACAUAUAUAUCUGGUUAGAAUUUCAAAAUUGUGCUUGAGUAUAUAAUCAAGCCAAAUUUGAUUUUGUUGUGUUGUAGCUUUCGUGUCAUAUAAAAAAUAGAAGGAUAAAACCUGAUGUACAAAGAAGCUGCAAAACAAUAAAACCUGUCACUGUAUAUGUGUACGGUAUGCCUAAUAUAGAUAGCUAGUAGAAGGAGGUUGGUCCCGCCUGAAAAAGUAAAUAGUGGAAUGGAACCACCCAUACAUACUAUGCUUAUUAUAUAUGCCACACCUCAAAAAACAAAUUGAUUAGGUAAAUUAAUUCUUGAAAUGGUAAUCCUCUAUCAAAUUAAUUUUUAAAUUAUAUAAAUUGAUAAGUAUAUUUAUAAAAUUAUAAAAUAUUAAUUAAAAUAAUAUUUUUUAAUGAAUUAAUUAUAGAUAAAUUAUUUUAUGAAAUAUUUAAAUUUUGUAGAUGACAUUAAAAUUAGUCACGGUUGAGAUGACAUUAAAAUUAGUCAAUGUGAAAAUUUAAUAUAUAAAUACUAAUAUAUAUAUAAUAUCAUAAUUUCUAACGAUAAAAAUUGAAAUAUCAGCUAUUUUGAUUACUAAUUUAUAAUUUUAGAGAUUUAUUAGUCAAUUUCCAAAGUCCAAAAACUAAUUUGACUAAAGUUUAUAAUUUCAACGAUAUGUAACUAUCAACAUAUCUAUUUUUUUAGAAAAAAAUUAUACAAAUGUCAAAUUUUAAUUUUUUGUUUGUUUUAGAAGAUAUAGUAAAUUUCACUUUAACUUUGACCUUUAAGAUUUAGUACAUGUGGAUAUGACGAUUGGUGGUGUCAUAAUUAAAAGGGUAGACAAAAUCAUAGAGAUUUAAGAUGAAUUUAAAUACGAGAUCUUUUAGAAUUUAGAAUAAUAUCUAAGUAAAAUUACUAAAUUGGUUAUGAAAAUUAUUUUUUGGACAUUUUAGAAUUAAAACUAAUUUAUUAAAUUAAUAUUAUCCAUUUUGUGUUAUUUUUUUUUUUGUUUUCAAUUGAUAGUUUAAUUGACUACUUUAAAAUUUAUUGAAACAAUUUUAGUUUUAGAUAAAAUUUUAUUAUUUUUAUAUUUGAAAGUAUUAGAAUAUGAGAUUUUUUUAUUAAGUACAAAAUUUUUGUGGAUGUUUAUUUUGGUAAAUAAAAAAUUUAUUUACUUUUUGUGGUCUCAUUCUUGUGUUGACCUUGAUAAUUAAUAUUGAAUAAAUCAUCAAAAUUGUUGUUUAGUUUAUAGAACGCUUUCAAAUAUAGUAGUUCCAAAUAUCAAUAUUUAAAUUUGAUAUUUGAUUUUGUAAAAUAUUUUUCAAAUUCGUCUUUUCGUGAGUAGCGUUUACUAAAAGUCGUUGGCAUUGAUAAAAAAUCAAUUAAGUAGAAUAUUAACAAUUAAAUUUGUCUUUAACUUCGUAUGAUGCUAUCAAAUAGUUAUAUGAAAAUAUGAAUAUUCUUAUUUAGUCUUCAAUUCUAUAAAAUAUUUCUGAAAUUCAUCCUCAAGUGAAUGUUGAUUACUAAAUAUUGUGGACGGUGGUGACAGGUGUGUUAAGUGUACAAUUAGAAAUUUUAGUCAUUAUACAGAGAAAAUCAGAAAUAUUUGAAAUUGUAAACUAUAGGUAUCACCUCAGACACUCCAAUACUUAAUUGAUGUUUUAAGAUGUUUAUAAAAAUAUAUGUUUGUUCAGUGUUCUAAUAUCGAUUGAUCCCUCUCUGCAGGAAAGUCUCAAAUUUUUAUGAAGUCCUGUGCACUGAUUUUUGUUGACAAAGAACAAUUACUUUUUUCAUAGGACACAUCAUAGAAAAAACGUAAAGUGUUAGAAAUUAAAGUGCAUAAGUUACAAUAAAAUAAAUAGUAUACAAUGACUAAAGAAAAUAUAUAAACAUAACAUAUUUUUGAACAUAACACUGUUGAUACAGUAUAAUGUAAUAUAAAAUAAUAGUUUGACGUGGGUUGGAGUCUCAUGUGAACAAUUUUGAAUGACAUCAAAUUGAUACUGAAGUUAAUAGAUGUCGAAUUUAAUUAAUUUAAUUCAGUUUAUAUCAAAACAUGAAAUAAAUUGAUCCAAUUUAAUUGAUAUGCGCAAAACCUUUUAAUUCAUAAUAUUAUAGGUUUGAUUUUUUCACCCUAUAAAAAACACAUAACUUUUUUAAAUUUAUUUUUACAAAUUCAUGUAAUUUAUAUUAUCCUUUCUAUUUCUAUGACUAAAAUUGUAAUAAGACACUUAAGGACCACAACAUCAUCAUCCACUACAUUGAGUAAAAAAAAAUUCAUAAAAGAAUGAAUUUGAAAAAUGAUUUCUAGAAUUACACAAAAUUUAUGAUAAUCAUAUUUUAUGAAUUAAUUUGAAGAAGUCUUUUAACGUCAAGGACUACUUGAAUUUCCAACAUCUUAUUCAUCAAAUACAUCAUUAAUGUUAACAAUAAUUUAAUACUAAUAUUAGUCUUCAAGCAAAAAAGGACGUCAUUAUAAAUAUUUUAAGAUAAUUAAAUUAAAAUAUUUAUAUUUUUAGAAAUACAGUUGAAUUUAAUAUAAAAUUUUAAUUAAAUACAGAUUUAUUAAAAAAUAUUACGCUAAAUUCAAAAUUCGAUCAAAAUAUAAAUAAAGUUGACUCAAUAAUUGUUUGAGGUAGAAUCUAAAAUCACUUUCUUUCAACUAUUUAUUAUUAACCACUUGAUUGUUUUAAUCAAUUAAUAUUGAAAUAAUGUGAACUUAUAUAUAUAGAAUAAAAAUGUUUCAGCACGUGGAUAGAAAAAAAAUGAAAAUUGUUUGACUACGUGGCUGAGUGUGAUGUUACCACAUAUAAGUAUAACUCACCUAACCGGUCUAAGAAAGUGAAAACAAAAGUGUAAAAUAUAGGGUAACACUAACACAACAACUAGAUGUGAUUCCACGCAAACGGCGCCGAACAUGCUCAUGGACCCCUGUCUCUCUGCUUGGUUACUUGCUUCCAACUUGGUUGGUACUUGCUAGUUCUUCAUUAGCCUCAUCCAAAUACCACUAGUACACACCAUACUGAUUAAUUCACUAUACACAACAAUUCAUCCUCUAUGUCCUAAAUACUGUACUUUUUUGCAUUUCUAUUUUUAUUAUACACAACACUGAGGAUCCUAUACUACACAUUAAAUAAAUAUAUAGGCAGAGCCUAAAGUUUAGGUCCAAAACCACAACAACCAAUUACUACUAUGAAAACAAAAGGCCCACCUUACGAGGAUCCUUUUUAGCUUUUGAUAGCACAGUAUGUCAGGAAUUAAUUUUGAAAAUGUUGAUUUGUUCUCGUCAAAAUGUAUUUUGCAAACUUUAGUUUGAUUUUAUUAAUUUUUGUAAUAGGAGAAAGGAUUUGGGAAUAAGACAAAUUUUAAGCGGACAAAUUUGUUAAGGAAUUCACUGUAUACUAGUAUUUAAAAAUAAUUUAAAUAAUGAUUUAAUCAUGACUAUUCGAUAAAAAUCAAGAAAAAUAAUUAUAUAUAUUUUAAAAUUAAAUUUGUGAAAUUCACCUCAAUUAAGUUAUAUUUUAAUCGUAAAAUAAAAAAAUAAUUUAAAUGAUACUAGAUUAGCAAUAAAGCUUAGAAAUUCUAGUGUUAAAUAAAGUUUAGUUUAGUAAUAAAUAAUUAUGAACGUCACUUAAUAAUUAAUAGUAACUGAUAAUGGUUAAUAAUAGUAGUUAUUAUUACACGUUAAAAUGUUGACCUGAGUUAAGAAUACUUAAGUUAAUGAUUAAUUGAUUAGGACUUUAAGUUAAUCGAUUAGAACAUAGUCUAAAGUUAUUUUAUUCUAAGCCAAAAAGAAAAAACAUAGUCUAAAGUUUUAAAAACAUUUAGUUUUCUGAGACGGGGGACAUUUUAGUUAUUAAGAGAUGAUUAGUAAUUAAGAGUUAAACUAUUUAUUAAUGAAUAUUUAAUUAUUAGGAUAACAUUGAUAAUGCUUAUUUGAUAUACUUGUUGAUGAUAUUUGUGCGUGUUAAAUGUUAACCGUUGAUGAUGAUACUUGUUAAUCUAUUAUUACAUCCUUAGUCAUAGAUAAGAACUAAGUAAUGUUAAAUGGUUAUGAGUCGCAUAUAUAGAUUUAGAGACAUAUAACAAUAAUGAUUAUUUGUUUAUGUCAUACUUGUCUUUACUCAUAUAUGUAAUAUAUGUUUGAGGGUUGUGUCAUGAUAAAAUUAGAGUUCGAAGAUCAAAGAGACAUUUGAGGUAUCUUCAGUGAAAGAAAAAUUGAGUUCCGUUGCAUAAAUUGAGUUAUCAUAAUUAGAUGUCCUUGUUUGUGGGGUAGUAGGAUGCUUCUUUGCCCUUAUCAACUCUCGAGAUAGUCUAAUUUAUGUGUCGAAGUUAGUUGUUGAUUAAGUUGUAUUGCAUCCUAAGUGAUAUAUGCAUUGUAAUUAGGUCAUGAAUACAUGAGUCAAAUAUGCUGAUUGUUGAUGAGAUGUUUUUAUGUUUAUAUGAUGAUGAAUAAGUGCUAAGUAAAUGUUAGGUUAAUAAAGUGGUCAUUGUUGCUAAUUGAUUGUUUGAGUGCAUCUUAUGGUUACUUCUACUUUUAUGAUUCUCACUAAACAAACAACAUUUUAGAUGUUAACGGUGAAUGGGGUAUUGCUAAUUUUAUGAUUCUCACUAAACAAACAACAUUUUAGAUGUUAACGGUAAAUGGAGUAUUGCUAAGAAUUUUCACAAUACAACGACAAAUAUUAAAGACUUGAAAUUCUUAACUAUAGUUAAAUCAUGAUACUCUGACUAACUGAUAUAGAGUUUUAGGAUAUUUUUAUAAUUAGAAAGUUGUAAUAUUUUUUAUUAACACUAUUUGUAAAAUGAUAGUAAAUAUUUUACUUUUUAAAGUUAGUAAAUAAGUUUAUAUAUUACAAAGUCUUCCACAAUUUAAAGUUAUUUUUAUAGUUACAAUACAAAAUAUCACACUUGAUAUUAUAAAGGUCGUAGCCACACGAAGAAUAUUCAUACAUAAAACAGAAAAGAAGAAAAAAAGAUACAAAUAUAAUACGAAUUAUAAAAUAUUAAGUUAUUCUCGUAAAAUAUAUCUUUAAUCUAAACGAAGACGAAAACUUAGAUUCAGAUUACACAUUACACAUGUUAAUAAUUAAGAAAAAAAGCAUUAAAAAGGUAUAAAGGUCAUAUAUAUAGUGUGUGUUUGGAAAAUUGCACAAAACAAUAUUGUCAUGCACUAUAUAAAAUGGUAAAAGAGUUCUGUUUUGCUUUUAUUUUAUUUUUUACAUAUAUGAAAUGGCAAAAAAAUUCUCACACAAUUUUGAGAUUAAGUUUGAAUUUAGAACAUAGUAAUCAACUUAAUAAUUUUUCCAUUUUACCGGUCGACUUAGGUUUUACAGAUGAAAUUUCCAUUUUUUGACAUAAUUAUUACACAAUUAAAAUUUCUAUUUAUAUGCAAUUUCAACAUUAUACCGGUUACGAAUUCCCAUUUUUUUAACAUAGUUAUUACAUAAUGAAAAUUCCCAUUUAAAUAUUAAAAUAGGUCCAUUUAAAUAAUUAACGGACAUAAAGUAAACAAUAAUAUGAUUAUUAACAUAAAUACUCCUAUCUAUCAACAAAAUUAAAUAUAUUCAUUUUAUUUCUCUUAUAAAUAACAAAAUAAAUCAAAUAUCAAAUAAAAAAUAAAUGUGUAAUGAAGUAAGCUCUUAAAUCCAUUUUAGGAAUUAUACAUCAAAAACAAUUUUAAUUCAAAUUGUCCUAACACACACUUAAAUGAAAAAGAAAGAAACGGAGAUGAUCUCAACUCCUAAAGAGGAGGAUUUUUUUUUAUUUUUUAUUUUUAUAUUUUUUUUUAUUGAGAAAAAGGGAGAUAGGCCCCAACAAACUAAAAAAACAAAAGAGAGAAAAGGAGACCUUAACGUACGUAGCUGAUGGUUGAUGCCACUUGAAAAAAAUUACUAGGAAAUACAGUGUAGCGGGUUGAAACUAAAGACAAGGACAAGAGUAGGAAUUUAUCAUUUUAGGGUUAUAUUUUAUUGGAUUGAUGGGCUUAUUUCGGAAACUACUCUACAAGUGUUGAUAUCUUUAGGUAACUUCAUCUCCCAUCUUUCAAUGUUCUCUUAGCCAAUCCAAAGAUAUAAAAUACACAUCUAGAUUAAUUAUACUUAGUGGCUUUUAAAAGAAGAAACCACUUAUCUUUACCUCAUCAAACAAUACCUUAAAAAGCCCAUUCAAAAAAAGUAGUUUCAGAAGAAAUGGAGCAUCCAAAUGAAGUUUCGGCGAAGCUUGUUUUCUUCAUUCUUUAUCAAUCUCAUCUGACAAAACUAUAUAACAUGGAAAUGACUUAUAAAUACAUAGAGAUUGGGAUUACAUAAAACUAGAGAUACACAUGCGGGCUAACUGUAGAAAAAAAAAAAGAUAAAAAUAAAAUAAAACCCAACAAAAGAUUAUAUUCUCCACAUUCUAAACUUUCUUCACAAGUGUAGCUGUGUUCUGGGAUAUUUGACAUCACCAAGGUAAAAAAAAAAUCCCUAUUCUGUGUAAUCAUUUAAAAAAACCGCCUCCAUUGCGGUCUCUCAAAUCGCUAGGUAUGAUAAAUACAGAAUCUACACAAAGUCCACCUUUUGAGUGUGUACAAUCAAUCUGUUUCAUGGAGAAUCUAACUUUAGUUGUAGGUUCUGAUCCACUCACAGUAAACUCACCUACCUUGUAAUCUACCCAACAUCCUCGCUUAUGAUUGCUGUAUGUCCCAUCAUGCUCAGUUUCAUCCAAGCAGCACUCGGAUGAUGCUUGUUGACCAUCGGAAGUUGACAACUCAAAUAUCACUGGCUUUAUAUCCCAACCAUGGGUCUGUUCAUAAUUGCAUAUGCGCCGACCGAGCCUUUUGGAAAAUUUGCCAAGAUGAAGCCUAAAGGAGAGAGUAUAAUUAUCAGCAGGAAAUGGAAAGUCGUCCUCCCCAUCCACUUCAAACCACCAUAUUUGCUGGAGAUAUGCUACAACAGUGAACCUGAAAUGAAUAAUAGAAAUGUAAUUCAAUACUCAAAACAGAAUGAAGACAAAUUAAGCAAAGCAGUUUAAGUAUCAACUUAAUAAAGUUCCAACUAGUGAAAAUAAGCACAAAUAGCAUAUAAGCAGUAAGUUAGCAUGAAAUUAAGAAUGGAAGCUAGCAAAAAUUGAUGAUUAUUAGUGUACAACUGUCCAUAAAUUAAGUUAGCAAAACAACCCAAACUACCUUUUAUUGUUUGAUUCAUAGAAUGAACAUUUCCUUUUUCUGAGGAUUCACCUGUGUUGCACUAUAGUAAGCAUAUCGAUGUGAACAAGCCUAUUACAAUAGUUUUUCUAUCUCUGCAACUCAAAGCAUCAUUGGCAACUAGUGAUGAUUCUUCUGAAUGACUGAAUCCUUUCAAUGAUAAACCUCGGGACCUCAGAAGAUGAACUGAAGAUUUUGGGUGAAAUUUCAAGAUGAAAGCAUGUGCAUUUAAGAUUAAAACUUCAUUUAAUCUUCUAAAUUUCCACCAUUGAUAACAAACGUUCAAAAUUAAGUUCCUAUGACAGCAAAAGUCGCUAAUAGAAGCACCUUUAGGAGGCUCAAUCAUGAUUGCCAGUCCUCAAUAGAACUCGUGAGACGGCAGUGUAGUUUUUAAAAUUAGAGACGAAUGUAGUAUAAUUUAAAGCAAAUUUCAGGAGAUGUGAAUGCAGUACACGUAUACAGAGAAGUUUAAUGUGCAAAUACCAAAAUGAUUUUUCAUACACAGCCCAGAAAAAAUCACAAAAGUUGGACAGUGAUAAUUUUCAAUGCCUUUACUCGCAAAAUAACCUACAGAAAUAGGGCUGCCAAGCAGUCCAUACCAUAAUGGACUUUACAUUAGAUUUGGUCCAAAUAAAAGUCCAAACCAAGGAGCUGAUCCAAGCUCACUAGGUCAUUUUGUUUGGCUUUCUGGUUGGCCCAAUUAGUAGUUUCAUUAAACUCAAAUUGAAUUAAGCUCCAAGCAGCACCCAACAAUUAAACAUUCUCAUUACAAAUUAAGUUUAUAAUUUUUAAAAGCAGUUAAAAGCCCAAAACAAGACACGUAGGAUCAAGACAGUUAAACAAAUGACAUAACUUACGAAAAAGACUUACAGCUUAUACAAAAACAGUUCAAACUUAUCUCAUCUCCGAUCUUAUAAAUAACUUAUACAUAAAUGUGCAUAUAAGAAUAAACGCUUAUUCAAUAAGACUUAAACUUAGCAGUUUAUCCAUACACACUCUUUAGAAUAGAAUUUAUGGCAUACUUUUAUAGCAUAAAUCACAUUCAGUACUUAAUCUAGACAAUUUUUUUUAGGAUUUCACCAGGAAAAACUCAGAUGAACAAAUAACUUGAGAUGUAUAGAGUGACAUCACUCCAACACAGAUGCAGACUUAAAUGUUCAUAUCAGAUAAUCAGACAAGAUUUUAUCAAAACAAUAUAGAACUGAGUUAAACAAUUGAUAGACCAAACAGCAGCAGUAACUUUUAUAUGUGAAAUAAACUGCAAUUUCAGUAAGCCAACACAAGCAACCAAAAAAAUGACAUUUUUAGAAUAGCAAUAGCAUCAUAGUAACUCUCAGGCAAUGCUCCCUCUGGAAUUAAAACCAUAUACAUCAAUUUUUCAAUUACUAUUUUUGCUCAUAAUUCAUUUCGGAGCGAGUAUAAUACUCAAGCACCAACAAGUUUCAAGAGAAAAGGAAAACUGUAUUAUUAAUGUAAAAAUAAAACUAUUACUCCCAAAAUCUCACAAUAAGUGUUACUUUAACAAAAAAAAAAAUUGCCUCAAAAUGAAUGUCAUUCACAAAUUUCAAUGCAUCUUUAAUCAUUGUUUUCCUAUACUACCAUUCAAUGAUUACUAUAUACACAACUUACAAAAUAUUAUUAUAGUUUGCAUUGAUAAUAGUGAAAGCUCCACCAAUAGUUAAAAUGGAUAAUAUGGUAAAAUGAAUUCUCUUUUUCUUCUAAUUAUUAUAUUUCUUAAUAUGUGCACAAAAAUAUUAAAUGACACUCAUUGUGAGACAGAGGGAGUACAUAGGACAACUCCUGUAAUCCCAGAGCAAAGCUCCUCAGAGAAGAAAUAAUUCUUCCUUUGCCCAAACCUCUAACGGUUCUAAAUGAAAGAUGAUCAAUGGUCACCUCCCUCUCUCUCCAUCACCCCUUAUAACUAACUCUUCCCCUUUCUCUAAUUUGCCUCUUUGGAUAACUCUAAGUGGGCCUCGAUCAAUUGGGCCUAUAACUGCAAUUAUAUAUAAGAUACCUAUCAAGUGACAUCUCUCCAACACAAAUGCAGACUUAAAAGUUCAUACAUCAGACAAGAUUUUAUCAAAACAAUAUAAAAUCCUAACUAUUUUUUAGUUAAAACCAAAUACAUCAAUUUUUUAGUUACUAUUUUUGCAUAUAUUUCAUUACAGAGCAAGUAGAAUACUUAGCACCAACAAAUUCCAACCCAAAUACAUAAAGCAUAAAUUUAACUUCAAUUUCAACUUCAAAUGUGAGGAGAAUCAUAUUUUCUCUACACUUUUCAAUUUUCAGGCUCCAAGUUCUAACAAAGCAUAAUCAAAAGUAAAUUAAAAAGUAUAUAACGGUUUUGAGAAUGUAACCUAGAUUCUUCAGUUGGAAUCCAAGUCCAGUAUCUACGAUCAUCAAUUCCAGUAAUCGACAAAGCUUUGGCCGAAAUCGACAUGCAAACCCUACCAGUAACCCUAUCCAACCACACUUGCUGCAAAACCCUAACACCGUCAAUAAAUCUAACAGAACAAAACACAAAACAGAAUUGUAAAGUGUAAACCUAAACCCUACCUUAUUUCCGUCAUCAAACGGUAACGGCCUCGAUAGAAUAGCGAAAAUGUCUUUCUUAGAUAGAUUCUGGCAACGUUCCGUAGGCAUUAAACGGAGAAGGUGUUGGUAGUUAGAAGGUAACUUAGAUUGCCAAACGUAAUCAGCAGAAGCGGCGCCGCGAAAAGCGCGAUUAAGACGAGCUAAGUUACAAAUCUCGGGCGGAGUAAGGUGAAGAAAAACGCGAGCGACGCAAUUCUCCGGGAUGUCGCCGAGGCUUGGAACGAUGGUCGAACCGUUGGAUCCAAGGUUCGACAGCGAGGCACCCAUCGCGAGGGUUUGAGUCUCUCAGACCAUACUAUAGUGAUGGUGAUGAUGAUGAUGAUGAUGAUGAUGAUGAUGAUGGGAACAGAGAGAGAAUGUUGUUAGGGAUUGAAAAGGAGUAUAGGGUGACAGUGUGUUGGCGUCGUAUUCGAUUAUUCCUUUGUCGUUGAAUAUUAUUGGAAAGAUAUAAAUAGUUGAUGAGUUGGAACGUAAGGGAAUUCAUUUGGUGUGGGAGGAUGCACUGUCGUCAACGUUACUGCGUUCCACCUACAUUCACCCAUGAGGCCAUAUCAUUUUAAUUAUAAGACUUUAUUUCAUUUUUUUUCUUCUAUUUUAUAAAAAAUUGAACUCUUAAUCUUUGUAUUUCUAAAAUUAGUUUUCUUUUUCUUCUAUAAUAAAUUCUUAAGAUUUUAUUAGUUUUCAACUAUUUUUUAUUAUGUGAUACUUGAAAUUUCACUAGUAUUUAUGAUUUUGAUAAAAUAAUUUAUAUAUUAUUAUAAUUAUAAAAAUUAAUUUAUUAUUUUAGUUUAAUUAUUAUACAUUGUCAAUGUAAAAUGUUUAUAUUGUCAGUACAUCACAAUCAUUAUAUAAAUGACUUUAGAGAUAGUUUUGAUAAAAGUCAAAUAUUUUUAACGAUCUAACGGUUGUAAUUGACAAAUAAUCUAAAAACUCUUUAUACAUAUAAUAUAUAUAAAUUAAAUUUUAAUUAUUUAUUAAAAUAUUUAAAAUACUUUAAUUUAUAAAUAAAAUAAAUUGAUUUUUAAUAUGUUAAUAUAUAAAUAAAAUGUAUAUUAAAAAUUUUAAAUAUGGAAAUUAAUAUAAAAUAAAAUUGUAAAUAUUUUAAAAUUUUAAAUUAUUACAAAAAUUUAAAUUAAAUAAAUAAAAUUGAAGUGUUUUUUUUAAUUUAAUUUUAAUUUUUAUAUUUUAAUAUAUAAAUAAAAUAAAAUAAAAUAAUUUAUUUUUAAUAUUUAAUAUAUAAAUAAAAUAAUAUAAUUUGAUUUUUAAUAUUUUAAUAUAUAAAUAAAAUUAAUAAAAAAUAAUUACAUGAAAAUUAUUUCAUCUAAGUCACAAAUAUCAUCUAAAUGUCAUAUUAUCAAAAAUAGCGAGAAUAAAAAAUCUCAAUAACUAAUUAAUAGAUAUCAAAAGAUCAAUUUUAGAAAUGAGAUGAUUACAAAUUUAUUUUAGACAAAAUAAGAGAACAAAAAGUGCAUUUAAAUUUAAUUAAUAAUAAAAUAAUUUUUAUUUGAUAUAUUUUUUAGGAAUCUCUAAUGUAAAUCCUUUUUUAUAGCUGAUUAUCACUAAAUAAACGACAAUAAUAAAUAGACAUACCUUCUUUCUAGUUUGAGUGAAUAUAAAUAGACAUAUUUUCUUGAUAAUGACUUGAUAUUGACGUAAAAUCUCUUUGAUUGCUAAUUAAUUUGUCUAAUAACUCAUUACAUACUCAAACGUAGUGGUGUAUACAAUUGUGUGUUUCAAAAUUUGCUUGCACUGAAAAAGGAAAAUUAUUUGUUUAAAACCAAAAUUUUCAAUUAGGUAUCUUAGAUGACAAACCAAUAUAGUUGAGUAUUUUUUACUAUAGACGGCCAUAUUGUUGUCUAUUUAUUUUUUUAUUGUAAAUGUUCUUGUCUAAAGUACAACCUUACAUAUUUGAUGCGGUGAAAGUUAGUAAAAUUUAGUAUUUUGAGAUGUAUUUGAAUAUGUUUUUUCAUUUUUUUAUUAUUUAAACAACACAACUCGUAUUUGCAUAUAUCUAUUCGAACUCGUCGUGAUUUGAACGGAGAAAAUUCUCUUUCAUUAGAUGCAUGUAUAGGUGCAAAUUUUCCUCAAUAUUAAAACUCGAGAGUGGGAGUAGGUUUAAGGUGUUGAUAUUCAUCCUACACCUACAUCCAAACUCGUUCGUUAAUAAUAUUAUUAUUAUUUUUAAAUUAUGUAUAUACAUAUAUAUAUAUAUAUAUAUAUAUAUAUUUAAUAGUUUUUCAAUAUUAAAAAUUAUAAUUAUUUAUCUAUAAAAAAUGAUUUUAAUAUUUAUUUUAUUUUAUUAUUUUAUAUAUAUAUGAAUAGGUGCGGGUGUGAGCGGAGAAACUUGAACCCCAUCACGGAUAGCGAUGAAGACUUAAAUUUUACACCCGAUAAAAAUAGAUGUAGAUUUUUUGCAACUUCUCGAAUGCGGAUGUGGAGGAGGCAAAAUUCGAUCGCAUUACUUAACUUUUUUUAUCGACCUUUAUGUAUUGGGUUAAGCCUCUUCUUUAUCUCAGACCCAGUCGUAAUUUGAAAGGUUGUGGUUCCAAAAUGAAUACUACUUAUACUUGCCAAUAAGGCGAUAGAGAUGGAAGACACGUGAUCUGCCUCAUAUGUAUGCCCAUUUCACAUCAAGUCAAUCAUGCUAACUCUCGGUCAACUUCAGUUGAAUUUAGUGAUCACCAAAGACACGACAAAUUAGGACCAACCACAACUCAUAAGCAUCAAAGCUUAAGAGUGUAGGUGCUCAAAAUGGUCGAGUUGGUCAUACAUCUUUGUAUCGAACAAAAGCCUUUGCAAAUGAUAUGAAGUAUUUUCCAAUAAAAAGAGUUUAACUUUCAUGGACUUUCAAUUUAAUUUUUUUGAAGUGUCAUCAAAUGAUAAUUAAUCAUGUGCAUAAUUUUAAAAAUAAUUAUGACAAAAAUUAUUAAUGACAUUACAAUUGUAAUUGUUUUACAAUAUAAAAAUUAUUUACAUUAUAUACAAAUUAAAUUUCAAUAAAAAGGUGAAUAUUCAUUUACUUUUGUAUGCGUUAAAAAUAGAUCCAAUGCAAUUAUUUUAUUUUAAAUUAAAUGUAAAAAAGCAAAGACAAAACCAGGAGCCAAAGACUUCUCAUGGUUGACGACUGCCGCUUUAUUCCACCAAAAGAAAGUUAAACAAAUUGGAUAGAACAAUAAAUCGUAUGCGUGUGAGUUGGGGAUCGAGAUAUUCUAUAUGGUUUGGUUUUUUGGAAAAAUAAAUCGAAUUAAUUAAGGAUUAUUGGGUUUGAUUUAGAUUGACUUUUAUAACCUAUUAGGUAAAAUCCGACCCAAAUCAUAUUCAUGAAAAAUAAGUUGUUUUUCGUUCGGUUAAAUUGAGUUCAAAAAUUUAUGAAGCUUAUUUUUUAAGAAUUUAAGUGUAAUACAUAAAUUUCACAUUAUCAACCCAUCGCAACCAUUAUUAAAAUAAUUUUAAAGAUAGUAAAAAAAAUUACCCUGAAAAAAAUGUAUAUGAAUUAAAUAUUUUGUUGAAAAACAUGAACUCUCUUUUAUAAUAUGAUAAAUAAUAUAAUGAUUACAAAAUAUAUGAAUAGAACAUAGUUUUUAAGAUAAUGCUAUUAAUCAAAUAAAAAUAAAAUAAUUUGAUUUGGAUGUCGAGUAAUUAAUUUUAAACAAAGUAAAAUUGAUAUCUGAAUGAACGAAUGUUGGUCUUGAGAAGAAAAAACAAUUAAUUGAAUUAGUUUGAAUUGAAUCUUCAAAUUCAUUAAAUUAUUAAUUUGUUUUUACACUUUUGGAGUAUAUUUGGUUCAAUAAAAAUGAGAGAGAAAAAAAGAAUAAACAUAUAUUUGGUUGGAAAAAAAAAACCAAAAUGAUAAAAAAAAAUUAAAUCUUUUUUAUUUGAUUUAAAAGGAGGAGAGAAAAUUAAAAUAACAUAAAAGUUAUUUAAAAUAUAUCUUCCCUCGACUUUUUCAAAUUUCUUCAAAAUGAAAGGUAAAAAAAUAGAUUUUACAGAUAUUUUGAUUUUAUUUCCAAUCAAAGAGAACCUUUUGUGUGAGAGGAGGAUUUGCAUAUAUUUUGAAAACAUAAGGUAAAAAGGUUCUGUAAAAAAAAGGAAAAACGGUUAUGUGAAGUAUUAAUAAGUAAAUUAGGAAAAAUAGAUCUCUAGCAUAACACCUUAUCUUAAAUCACGGAAACUUCUAUGGCAACCCAAUAAAUUAAAUGGCUUCGGUGCAAUUGUCUUUAAAAUAACAUUAUAAUUUAACUAUUUUUUUUCCGUAUAAUUCAACUAUUUACAAAUUCUUGUUAUGCUAAUUUGGAGUAAUCUAUCAUCUAGUAAAAAGAAAUGUUAUUUCAUUUUCAAUGAGAACUAUGUUAAUCAAUUUUCUGUACGAUUUUUAAAACUAUUUGACAUUCACUAAUAUUAUUAGUUGUAAUAAAUUUUAGAAUUAUUUGAUGAGACUUUAUGUAAACUAAAUAAUUAAAUUUUGUCCUGCAAGUAUAUUUUAAAUGAAAGUUGUAGUAUGUAAGAUAUUUAAUAUGUUAAAAUGUAGAUUUAAAUCCAACAUAUUAUUUUUUUUAUAUUUAAUGUGCAUGGAUUUUACUGUUCGACUUUUAGAAAAAAAAUUAAGUUAAAAGUUUUUCAUUUUGAAAUUAUGAAUUUUGAGGAUGAAUUUGGUGCAAGCACAUGAACCUUUUUUUUACAUGUCCCUUGCCCCAUAUGGGAAAUUUAAUGAUCAACUUAGCAAUUUUUUUUUUUUUAAUUUUCUUUUUAUAUAUAGAACUUAGCUCAUAUUUAAUAGAGCUUAUUAAAAGGAUAUAAAUUUGUAAUUUUAUUUUACCCAAGUAUAUAGAAAAUUAAAAUAAAUUUUGAAUAAAGGAUAAAAGAUCACUAUGAUUUAGGUCAUAUAUUUAUGAAAUUAAUUUUUACAUUAAAAGUCAUCAAUCAAUUUGGUCAUUUUGUCGAUUAAAUGAUGAACAACAAUAAAUUUAUUAAUUUAGAUCUCAAUUUGAUAUGAGGAUUGAUUGAUAUAAAAACUAAAUUAAUCUCCAGCAACUACAGCUCAUAUAAAGUAAAAAAUGAUCUAGAAUUCAUACUACCUCACUUUAUAUUUAAUAUAUGUAAGUUUCCAUAUUAGAUCAUUUUAAAUAAAUAAAAAAGAGUAAAUUAAUUAAUGAGUAAUUUGAAUUUAUGAACUCAUGAGUCAUUUUUGGCUUUAACGUUGAUUUUGAAAUCAACAAGUAUACAGAAUCAUCCAUCGUUCGCAGUUUGAAACGGUGCUAGAGUUGUAGCUCAACCAGUUUCACACAAAACUUGUGGCUUAUUAUUAUUAUUAUUAUUAUUAUUCUAAAACACACACAAACCAAAACUAUGGGCUGUUUCGUAUGUCACCAAUAACAAAACCAGUUGCUUCACUAAUCCUUUAUAUAUACUUUUAAUACAUACUAUACAUAUUCCUAAUCUCCCUCCACAUUUUACCCUCAAAACCCUUCUCUUCCUUUUUGCUUUUUUCCUUUGACUUUACUUCCACAACUUCAUUCUUUCAAAAAGCUGAAGAAUAACAAUAAUUAAUCAUUGUGAUGUUACAUUAUUAUCAUUACACCUUGAUUUUAGUCUUUCUUUUUCUUCACCACUAUGUGUUUGGUUGACUCCAUAAAUUUAUAAUUCGCUCACUCUAAUAUUUAGAAACUUUAAUGAGUAGAUUAUUUUCUGACUAUAAUUUUUUAUGUUUUUCAAACAAGUGUUUUUAAGUCAAUUUUUUCCACCCUUUCAAGUAUUUCUAAUUCCAUUUCCCUAAUCUUGUUUGUUUAAUUAGGUAAAAUCUUAUUAUUACACACAUAAACCAAUAUUGUUGAACUAGUUUUGAUGGAAACCAAUGGACCAAGCAGUGGAAUAUUUCCCACCAUCAAUAAUGGAUUUCUAGGACUAGAAAACCCUUUAAAACAACAACAACAACAACAACAAAACCUUCAAAAUCAACACACUUUACAUCAUCACCAAAUGGUUUCAUACACCAACCAUCAUGACAAUGAUCAACCAAUCAAACAGAACUACCCUUAUUCAUCCAAAACCAACAAGCCACAACAAAUCACACUAAGUGAUGAAGAUGAACCAUGUUUUGGAGCAGAAGAAACAACAUCAAGUGACCCAAAAAGAAAAGGGUCACCAUGGCAUAGAAUGAAAUGGACAGAUAGCAUGGUAAGACUCUUAAUCAUGGCAGUUUAUUACAUUGGUGAUGAAGCAGGUGGUUCAGAAGGAAUCAUCAUCAAUGACAAAAAGAAAUCUACAACUGGUUUGUUACAAAAGAAAGGUAAAUGGAAAUCAGUUUCUAAAGGGAUGAUGGAAAAAGGUUACUAUGUUUCACCUCAACAAUGUGAAGACAAGUUCAAUGAUUUGAACAAAAGGUUCAAAAGGGUCAAUGAUAUACUUGGAAAAGGAACAGCUUGUAGAGUUGUUGAGAAUCAAAGUUUGUUGGAUACCAUGGAUUUGACACCAAAGAUGAAAGAAGAAGCUAGAAAACUUUUGAACUCAAAGCACCUUUUUUUUAGAGAAAUGUGUGCUUAUCAUAAUAGUUGUGGUCAUGGAAGUAACAAUUUGCAACAACAAUCCUCAAUUGAAGCUCAACCACAACCUCAACAACAUCAUCAACAACAACAAAAGUGUUUGCAUUCAUCAAAUGGAAUGUUGAAAUUAAAACGGAGAAGUGGAGAAGAAGAAGAAGAAGAAGACGAAGAUGAUGAAUGGGAAGAGGAGAAUGAUUCUGAAGAAGAAGAAGAAGAAGAAGAUGAAUUAUCAUUUGAAGGUGGUUCUGGCUCAAAGGGUCAUCAUGAUCAAGAAGAUGAGAAUAAUAAUAAUAUAGAUCAUAUAAGAAAGAAAACAAGAAAAGUUUCAUCACAUUUGAUGCAACAAUUGAGUAGUGAAGUGAUGAAUGUGUUGCAAGAUGGAGUGAAGAGUAACUGGGAGAAAAAGCAAUGGAUGAAGAAAAGGGAGGUGCAAUUAGCAGAACAACAAAUAAACUAUCAUGUGGAAGCAUUUGAGAUUGAAAAACAAAGGUUGAAAUGGGCAAAGUUUAGUGGUAACAAAGAAAGGGAAAUAGAGAGACAUAAACUUGAAAAUGAAGGGAAGAGGUUGGAAAUUGAUAGAAUGGUUUUGGUUCUUAGACAAAAGGAGAUUGAAUUGCAAAACACUCAACAGCAACAGCAACAACAUUCUUCUACUUAGAUUAGAAGAAAUUUAGUUUGUGUAAAUUUUGUGCUGCAUGAAAUUAUUAAGGGAUGUGUGUUAGUGAAAAUGGUUGUAAAUUUUCUGGUGUUAUGUUAUGCUCCUAAGUAAAAAAGGUUGUAAUAAAUUAGAGUUUUUAUUUAUUUUGUGUUUUGAUAAAUAUCUAUAUGCAACCUACAUUGUUCAAAAUUUAAUUUUGUGAAACUAAUUUUAGCCGGAAUAAAACAUUAAUGUUAGUGAUGAUAGAAUGGCAGAACAAGUGAGAAAUUCAAUGGUCUCUUGAAACCACUUAAAAUUUUUUUCCUUCAUAAAACUACUUUACUUUGAAUAUUGUAAUUCGAUAUUUAGGCAUUAUACUGAAAUAAACUCGUCAAUUUAUUACUCCAUAAUAUAUAUCAAAUUAGUAACUGAAAGAACAAUAUAAUUUAAUAAUAAUAAAGUGAAAAAUAGAACUUAUUUAAAACUUGAAAAAGAAUUGAGAAAAAAAAAAUAGAAGAGACAAAAAUAAAAAUUUUUAAAAUCUUUUUUCACACCCGGUGGGACUCGAACCCACAAUCGCUUGAUUAGAAGUCAAACGCCUUAUCCAUUAGGCCACGGGUGCUGCUUGUUAUAUGUUUCCCACAUUAUUAUCUUUGUAUAGACUAUUUGAAAUUCGUUUUUUGCAAUUACAGAAAAGUUGAUCAAAAAACAUGUUAAUUAACUCAUAUAAUAUUGUAUUCAAUAUUCAAUUGAACGGAAGCAUCGUCGUGUCUAAAGCCAAAAGCUCUUUUGCAUAUUUAUUUAUUCAUAGAAACUCCUAUACAACUACAAAUCGACUAUUAUGAGUUGAUUUAUAAUUUUAUAGAAUCAGAUCAAAUUAGGUUAAAUUGCAGUAGCUGAUUGAACCAAUUUAUUUUCUUAAAAAUAUUUUUUGUUUAUUCAUUAGUCAUUUGAUUUAAACAUGGUUGAAUCAAUUGGUUUGACCCGAUUCUUGAAUUAGUUACUAAUUUGACCUUAGUUAAAGGUGAUAAUUAUUUGAAGCCAAUUUGUGCAUGCACAUGUCUGGGUCACAAAAACACUUAGUAGAAUGUGAUACUAUUUUCACGUUACCAAAGUCCAAAAUUUUGAUAUUGUGAUCCCCAACGGUAAAAUUACGGCUAAUCAUCAAUCAUUUGGGAUGUAUGUUUCCGAUUGCAUACUAUACUAGAGUUGUUUACAAUUAAUUAGACGUAUAACGCUGAUACAGUGUAAAGUCUUGCAAUGGCUUCCAAGAAAACGAGCUAUAAGCACCGGUAGCUUGACAAUAAAUAUCGAAUAAACUUUAUUUCAAUUGACACGAAUAUAAAAUCCAAAUAAAUAGAUUAGACUGAAUAAAAGGAAUCAAGAUCCUAGUUUUCAAAGAAAAUGACUUUUAAUUCAAGGUAACUUUCAAAUAGUGCUGUCUCUAUUUGGAUUGCAACCCAAUCCAGUUCCAAAAAAUUGACAUCAAGGGCAUACUCCCUUUGAUUUUAAGUAAGAUGACAACCACUACUAAUAACUAGAGCCUAAUGUUAAUUUUCAUUACAUAAUAACAAAGUAUGAUUAGCCACCAAAACCCAGUGGAGAUAACUUCAAAUCAUGAAAGCAGAAUGAUCUGCUCCUGCCAAAACUUAGUGAUGACCAAAAGAGACAAACAUAAAGAAAAAGCUUUAAGUAUGUGAGUCGCUUAAUCUUCGAGCUCGAUAAUCUUAACCACAGAAGCAUCACCAACUUUCUGACAAAUAACAACUCUAUCAUGGGGCUUUAUAACUCCUGAUGCUUUUCCAUGAUCAAGUGCUACCUUGAGAAUAGACUCGUUACUCGCACUUGUUGAUUCAGCCUGCACGAAAUAUAUGAGAUCAGUAAGUAGUUAGUCUCAGGUCAUCGAAUGUGUCGUGCAAAAUAAGUUUAAUGGGAAAAAGAACUUACAGGAUGUCGAGGAUCAGCAAGCAUGGGAAAAAGACCUCUUACAAUAAGUGAUUGCCUUGCCUGUGUCAUGAAUUGUAGGUUGGUAAACAAGACGAUCAAAUAUAAAUAACAUAACAUUCAUCCAGGUAAAUAAAAGUUUCUAAUCACGGAGAUGGAACUAUGUAUCCAUAUCAGGCCAGUAGAGCAUUGUCUUCCAAAGCUGAAUACAAUUAUUUAGGGUCGUAUUUGCAUUACUCAGGAUACAAUUAAUAACAGAUGGGUAAACUUGCAGUAUAAAUAGAAUAGAAUGUGUAUGUAAAAAUAUCUAAUAGAUAGAAAAAAUACAGUAGAAAAUAUCUGGCAGUAAAAUAUGAUUGUAGCAUAAUUAAUAAAAGUUUAUAAAUAUGUAUAGAUAGUAGUAUACUAAUUACGUUAGUAGUAAAUAAGCUUUCCCACAAAAGAGUUGGUGAUUGGUCCUGGAACCAAGAAACAACGUUCGAUAUAAACUUUCUGUGCCACAACGGUUUUUUCUGAAAAAAAUAUUUCACAGGAAGUUAUUCAUUAGUCAUCCUACAAAAUGUUACUCAUUAAUCAUUGGCGUCAAACUCAUUUUAUGUAUAUAUUACAAAACCCUCUGGUUUCAUGGGGAAAUAGGGCCUAAUAAUUUGGAUUUCUGCUGAGUGGUAUGUAAAUUGUGGCCAAAUAUUAAUCACUUGGCUAAAUUUAUUUUAUAUUUACAAAAUGAAUAAUAACUCAAUUGUCAUAUGCCAUAAAUACUUCCAGAAUUUAACCAAUUAAAGUGGAGAGAAUAUAAUGACAAUCAGAAACAGUGUUGUCAAAUUGCGGCCAUGGCGGAUAUUGGUGGUGGAAAUUAAGCAUACCGCCAUACAAAGUUCAUGGCGUGGCUGGUUUCACAUGGCGAGGCCAUGGCGGAAAAAGUGGCUGAAUUGAAGAAAAAAAACCUAAAAAAAUCUGGACUUUGGUCAUGCAACCCCACCCGAGCCCAAAUGGAUUAAAAAUUGGAUACCCGAACAACACGGUUCGUUUACUUUUCCUUUUCUCUCAGUUUUCACUUCUCCUCUACGACCUCCUCUUCUCUUUUCUCAUCUGUGACUGCGCUGUUCUUCUUCUCCUCUGCUUGUGAGACCUAUUGCGACUCGUUUCUUCCCUGCUCUUUUUUUUCUUCCUGAAAGUGCUGCUCUGUUUUUUCUUUCUAAAAGUUCUGCUGCAUUUUACUUCCUAUUUUCUUUUUUCUUUUUUUAUUUUUCAUCUCUUUCUUUUUUUGUUUAUUUGUAUAUACCUCUUUUAUUUAUUUUCAUGUUCUGCUCUAUUUUACUUUGUACGGCUCUUUUUUUUUUCCAUAUUACUCAUUAUUUUUCCAUUUUUGUAUUUUUUUUCUCUAUGAUCUAUUUUAUUCACUGUUUUCCAACUUCAUCUGUAUUUUAUGCAUUGUAUUUUUUUCUUCAAACAUUUUUAUAUCUUUUAUUCACAUUUUUUAUUUGUAUUCAUCUAGAGAUUUUUACUAUUUGUUUGCAUUGUUGUUUUAUAAUUUUGUUGUUAUUUUGAAGUCUUGAAUUUGAUGAGAAGUAUAUUAUAGGCUUUUUAAUUGCCCGCCAUAACUUCCGCCAUUUGCCGUUACACCAUAUGUUUAUGGCGGAUUUUUGGCUCGCCUCCGUCAACACUGAUCAGAAACUCCUUAAUCACAUUAUUAAUCCUUAAAAUCAUGCAAUUUAGUUUUUACAAUGGCUACAUGCCUAUAUUUCAAAAUUGCAUCAAUAAUAGAAUCCAAUUUGUCAAAAAAGACAGGCGAUAGUGACAUCCAUGGAUACCUAACAGAAUAAUUAAAUGAGACGAAAGUUAAAAUCUAACCUCAAAAGCUCCACUAAAGCUCCAUUUUAGCUGAUUUGUCUUGAGUCUGGGUAUCACAACAGAGAGAACCGGCAUCGUUGGCCUAUACUUUGCUAUCAAUCUGAAAAGUGCAUGUGGCAUGUUUAGAAAAGUCUCGAGAUUUGUGAAAAUAGAUGGAAAGAAAAAUUAAUAUGAAUAUUAAUUGAUCCAUAGCACUCUUUUCCCCGACUUGGUCCAUUUGAAAGAAGUUAUCUAGUUCAAUUCUCCUUGAUAUUAACUAUGAAUAAUUCUUAUCAAAUUAUUCAAAGAAAGUACCUUGCAGCCCGUCCAGAUGAAGUGAAGCAAAUGAUAACUGAGGCCUUCACCUUAAUAGCUGCUCUUACCUAAAUAAAUAGGAUUUGCAUUAUAGAAAAUUGCUACCAUAGAUGAACUUAAAACAAACACCAUGAGAGAAAAAAAAAGCAAAAACAAUAGACAAAAAUUACUCCUUUUUAAAAAAUAAUAGACAGGCAUGCACUCGAAAUUAAAGUGCUUCGCCAAAGCAUGCGGGCCCAUCAAAGGCUUAAAUGCAUGCUGCCUUACCCCGACAAGUAGAGGAUGAUAUUGAAAUUAUAACCUGUGAAUGUGACCACCACAUCACCAGACCACAGCUUUACCACUUUCACCUCACCAUCACAUACACUAAACUACCAUAAAAAAAAUUAAGGGCAAGGUUAAAAUGUAAUUACCGCAGAGGAUGCAAUGGAUUCUAAAUGGGUCAUGGGUUCUCCCACAAAUUUGACUGUCUUCUUAAAAUAAAGGUCUUGAUUGAAAACUUUCUCAGCCUGAAAUAGAAAGCAGAGAUAUCACUAUAUCAGCAAGCAUUCUUAGUGAAAUUUCAAAUAGGAUGCCAUGCUAAGCUAUUAUGCAAAAGUAUCCUUUUAAAGUUUAAACCACCAUAAGAAUGAAAGAAGCGCACGUGAUAGGAACAACACAGUUUCCUGCUUUUUUAGAUUUUAAACAAUGAAACCAGAAAUAAACAAAUUUUAAUACAAUAUGCAAUUAAUGUGCUCAUCAAACAACUUCCACCAUAGACUUUUUAGCCUCAUUUUGCUUGGAUACCAUGACUAAUGAAUUAAGUUAGAUAAAGAAAAAGAAAAAAAUCAUCUGGCUAAUGAACUCAGGUCAUUCAGACCAUAGUAUCUUAUUCAGGUUACAAGAAACUCCAUAAAAUGAAAUUUAUCUUAUUAAUAAUAACAUCUUCAGCCACAAAACAUGUGCUUAUUAUAUUGGAAAAUGGACGGUAAUAGAUUAUAUGUUAAACAAAAAACAGAUACUCAGUAAUACCAAUGAUUGGUCAAAAUACAGAAUUCAAGUAAAAUCUGUCUUGACAAAAAAAUAGAUGGAGCCAUUAUGGAGCACACAAACUCAGGAAUUUCUCCAAUCAAGCAAUUGGAAAAUUAGAAAUGUUUACAAGACUGAAGUUAUCAGCUACAAAACCAUAAGAUAGCAAUUCAAAUAAUUUAGGACAAGAGCUCAUAAUUCACAGAAUAUUUUCAUCGGAAAUGUUCCUUAAAAUCUAAAAUAAAGUAACCUAACAAUUCUUAAGUACCAAAUAAAAUUAAAAGAGCUAUGAAAUGCACUUACUUCUGAACAAAUCUUGCCAACUGUAGAAAUAGUCUCAACAGGGUAUAACCCACGUAAAGUCUCCGCACCCAGAAGUAUUGCAUCACUUCCUGUAUAUCAAUAACAGUUCAAUAAAUAUCAAUUGAGCCUUUCUAACAAACAACAUAAAACAAGCACUAUUAGAAGAAAACAACAUAAUCGAUAAGGGCCAAAACCACGGUAAGAAAAGACAUUAUUUUCUGUUUUUGAUUUACCUAUAAGUUACCCAUUUAACAUGCAAACCAACAUCAGCAACUCAACAGACAACUUGAGCACAUAGAUAGGCACUAAUGAAAGAAACGACAUAAUUGAAAUGUAGAAAUAAAAAAAUAACAAAAAACAUCAGCAACUAAACAGACAACUUGAAGCACAGAGACAGGCAAAUAAUGAAAGUUAUGGCAUAGUAGAAGUAGAACUGCAGAAAACUCCUCCUGUAUUACUCAUUUAUACACCAAUUUUGCCAAGAAUCCUACAAUACUUACAUUCAUAAGUAAAACACUUCAAAUUUUCUCAUGCAAAAUUAUUUCACUUCAUUACUUUUACCCUUCUUAAACUUUCUCACUUUCACAUACUCUCCUGGAGUGCCCCCCAUCACACUUUUCUAUGAGCUGCACACCAUGUACAUGGCACUUUCAAUUUCUCAACUCACCUACAUUCACUUCUCACACAUACACACAACACUGUAUAGGAGCGAAGUCCCUCUUUCUUGAUUCUUUAGUCGGUUUUUUUAUUUUUUACACUAUGUGCAAUAUUACAGUGCAUAAGUCAGAUCAAUUGCCGUGAUCAAAGUUUACAAUACUCUAUCCUAUGAUACCUUCAAUAUCUACUAAAUUUUUUUAUAAAAAAAUCCAUAAUUUAAUAUAGUUGGUUAUGCUAAUAUGAAAUUUUAAGGUGCCUUAGUCUGAACUUCAAGAGAAGAGAAGUGAGUGUCUUUGAUGAAUGUCAAUCAACUUUUCUGGAGAAUAUGCAAACCAAUAUCAACAGAACAGCCUAAUACUAUAGACACCAACCUAGCUAGUGGUAUCAUAUGACCAGUGACUCACCAUCUAAAACAGCAUUGGCGACAUCCGUAGCUUCCGCACGAGUUGGCCUUAAGUUGUCGGUCAUGCUAUCAACAACACGUGUGAGCACAGCAGGCUUCCCAGCCAUAUUACACUUGUAAAGGGCAGACUUUUGAAAAUAAAAUACCUACAAAAGCAAAUGGCAGUUGAUUAACAUCUCUGCAACAGUCGGGGUAGAACUAUUACGUAUUUGCUUAAUAAUGAUAAUUAUGAUGGUAUGAGCACUUUUGGACAUUAAGUUUAGGUAACAAUUCAAUAAGCUUUUUCAAAUCAAACAAGUAAGCAACUCAUUCCAUUCCAAAAAGCAAGUAGCACCGCUCAACAAAAGCUUAUUAUCUUUUGUUGUAAAUUUGUAAUAGGUUUAACAUUAAUCAUUAAAUUAAACUCCCACUUGAUAGAUGACUAUUGAUGCAUUGAGGAGUGCUAGCAAUACACUCUCUAAGUAACACACAAUCUUCAAUUGGUUGAAAUUCAUAUGGGGUCCCACCAUAUUAUGUCGGUCCUAUAUAAAUUUGAUGGGACCUACAUGAAUUUCAACCCAUAAAAGAGGACGGGUUGCUAGCAUUGUACUUAACUACAGAAUCUACAGAUAUAAAAAACGGACACUAAUGAUUUAAGAAUUGUCACAGUAUCUUAUAUCAUACAUAGGAUUUUCCAGUUCAAACAGACAUUUGAUACAAUUUUGAAAAUUUGGUGAAUUCUGGUGUUUCCAAAAUAAACUUAUUCAAGUUAUUAGAAACUGGGUGCUGCAGAAACUAUACAUUGGAUGCACAAAUAUCAUAUAAAAUAUCCCUCGGCAGGUACUUAAUAGAAAUUACCCAUAUAUUUGAUGAAACAUUGUUUGACCUAGAACCCCAUACUUAAAGAAGUGGCGAAAGAUCUAGGCAAACAAAAGUUGCAUUGAAGCAUGUUCAAUAAUAUUACUCUUCCAUAAAUGCAUGAAGCGUGAACUUUUAUUUAUUCAAUGAACAAAUCUUUACAAUUAGUGAAGUAUUAAGUACAUUAUCAACAUGCCUAAAGCCACACACAACAACACAGGAUAAGUACAAGCACUUCAAAUUACACUUUGAGACUAAUUACAACAAAAAAUCUAACCUUCUCUGGUGGAAGAUCAAUACCCAAAUUCCCACGGGAAAGAAUAAUGCCAUCUGCUUCUUGUAGAAUCUCAUCAAAAUGGGUCAAUCCCUAAAAAGCAUAUAUAAAUGCAAUUCAAUCAGCAUAGCUGAUAAGGAUCUAAUCUAAUAUACAAAGAAUUUAAGCUUGUCCAAUAACUUAUGAAGCAAUGCAAUUCACCUCAACAUUUUCAAUCUUUGCAAAAAUUUGAGUCUGACUGAGAUCACCUAAUUUCGAAAGGAAUUCACGUGCCUGCAUUUAAACACAUAAGGUCUGUUAGUAGAAAACCUGAAACAGCAAUAGGGGAAAAAUUAAAUGACCAAUUGUGAGCUUCAGAUGAUGAAACUAACAUAAAGGAUGUGAAACACAAAUUACCUCGCGAACAUCUUCAGCAUGCCUAGUAUAUGACAAUGAUAGAAAGUCAAUUUUGUUUUUUACUCCCCAGGUGCUAAUAACCUGCAAGGAAAAAAACGAUACCCCAGAACUUUAAAGAAACCUACAAUCCAGGCACACACAAUCCGUGUUGUUAAAUAACUGCUAUAGCGCUAUAGCAUAGCGGAAUUUGAACAAAUCGCUAUUGCUUCGCGAUACACUAUUUAGUACAAAGUGUUGUCAAAUAGCCGCUACUUUGGUGCUAUAGCAAUAUAGCAUAGUGUAAUUUGAACAAACCACUAUUUUCCGCAAUCCACAAUUGACAACACUGACACAAGCCUACAUGUCUGAUGGUAGGUGACUCACUAAAAGAUGCAAGUGAAAAGUAGAAAUUACCUCUUUGUCUUUCUCAGUGAGGGUAGGCAAAUCAAUAUGAAUUUGAGAGGCAUGCAAGGUAAACAAUGCCCCAGCCAACGUUGCCGAAUUUUUUAUAGUACAAACAACAUCCUGCCCUGAAAUUUCAGCUACCUGCAUAGUUUCAGGUACAAUUCAUCAAUCAUGUAGGACUUCAUUUCAACUAUUUCUAUUCAUGCCAGUCUAGGCAACUAGACCCCUAAUAUAGAUUUGCAAGUUUAAAUUUAGAAAAUUUAACUUCAAUUACACAAUAUAAAGUUAUAAAUAAAUGGCUGAUGCAUAUUAAGAAUAAACAUAAUAAAACCACAAUAACAAAAUAGAAAGGGACCUAUUGGAAUAAAUUUUUCCUUUCAACCCCACUUAUCUUACCUCUAGCCAUACAGAAGUAGUUUCACUUCCUGUGAACAAGUAUUGACCAACGAAAAUGGUGUCUCCCUUCUUCACUGACUGUAAACAGUAUGAAUAAGAUUAAGGUUCAAAUUAACACAAAUGUUGCAUUGAAAUAAACACACACAAAAGUUGCAUUGAAAUAAACACACACAAAAGUUGAUGUAAUAUAGAAGAAUUGUAUUAAUUAUAUGAGAAACUGAGUAACAAAUUACAGUUCAAGCAAAAGGCAUCUAAGGAAUAAUGAAAUUUACAACUUCGAAGUUUUAACUUCUAACACCAUAAGCCAGAGCAAAAUCACACAGAAAGCUUAAGUUUUCAGCUAAUUUGCACUAAGCUAAGCAUCGGUAGUAGCUUAAUUGAUGGAGAUAAACAAUUGAAUCCAAUCCAAGGACCCACACAUCAUAGACAAGUAAGAAAUUGAGUAAAAGACGUGAUUCAGGUAAAUUUAUAGAAGGAUGAGAGAUAUAAAUGAACCUUGGCCAAUCCAUCAAAAUUGAUAGGCAAUAUCUCUGAAGAAGCUUCUUGUCCCUGAUCAGGAGUUAAAACAACCUGACUAUCAGCCUGAAGCGAAAUUGAUGUCUCGUUUUUGUUAACAACCUGCAUCUCAGCACCCACUGUGUCCAACAUAACCUGGCAAAGGCAAUAGAGAGUAACAAACACAACACUCAACCCCUUUCCCAUUAUCCACAAAAAAGUAAAAACAGCAAGAAAAUCACGGUAGGCUGUUGUGAUUAUGACAAAAGCUACACUUCGGAGCUUAAGAAAAUAAUGGAGCCACUAUGAUUUUGUCAAACUCAUCUGUAGAGAGUAAAGAGAGAGUAAAGGAACAACACUCACAGCACAGAGCUUCUUAGUACUCUUAAUAGACUCCUUCAAAUUCUCCAAAGUCUGUUGGUGAUAUUCAGAGUCACCCCAAGAGAAAUCAAAACGAGCCACUUCAAUAAACAUUAAAAAAACACAUCAAAUAACCGUUUACCAAAAAACAAACUAUGGAAAAAUCGAAAGAGAAAAACAACAAAUACAAUAAUAAUAUAUAUACCAGACAUUCCAGCUUUGAGACAAGAAGAAAUAACAUCGACUGAGCGAGAUUUAGGUCCAAGAGUACCAACGAUCUUUGUCAAAGCAGGAAAGAAGCUCUGAAAAUCCCAAAUAUAACAGUAAUUUAAUAAUUAAAAAAAAAGGAGAGAAACAUGAAAGGGGAAUAGAGAGAAAGAGNNNNNNNNNNNNNNNNNNNNNNNNNNNNNNNNNNNNNNNNNNNNNNNNNNNNNNNNNNNNNNNNNNNNNNNNNNNNNNNNNNNNNNNNNNNNNNNNNNNNNNNNNNNNNNNNNNNNNNNNNNNNNNNNNNAGAAGAAGAAGAAGAAGAAGAAGAAGAAGAAGAAGAAGAAGAAGAAGAAGAAGAAGAAGAAGAAGAAGAAGAAGAAGAAGAAGAAGAAGAAGAAGAAGAAGAAGAAGAAGAAGAAGAAGAAGAAGAAGAAGAAGAAGAAGAAGAAGAAGAAGAAGAAGAAGAAGAAGAAGAAGAAGAAGAAGAAGAAGAAGAAGAAGAAGAAGAAGAAGAACGUUGGAUGAGUGAAUGGGGGCUGCGACUGCGUGAAGAGACCGAAGGAACGAACAAAUACCGUUUUUAAAUAAGAAGGUUUCUUUGAGAAUAUGCUUCCGCUUCUUUAUUUGUGUUUCAUUUCCUUUACCGCUCCCUCUUUCUCUAUUCGCUUUUUUCAACUUCCUUACUUUCGUUAAUUUUUAUUUUAUUUUUGUUAGCUUUAAUUCAUACACAAUAUUAGUUAGUGUCAAAAAUUUAUAUUAUCUAUACUGAUUUUUUAUAUUUACAGUGAAUGUCAAUUAAAAGUUUUUUGUUAAUGCUAUUUUAGUCAUAUCAAGUUUUGCAUAUAUUUACAUCAGUCAAAUGAAAAAAUAACAAGUUGUAAUUUAUUGAGUCUAACAAAAAUUUAGUGCCUGCUUUAAUCUCUAAUUAUAAAUCAAUUAUGUGCCGGACUGUUUCUCAAAUUAAUUCAAGCUUCUAAGUUUUAACAUUCUCGUUCCUAGACGUUGUUCCCAAAAAGAUUUGGGUAGUGUUGGAGGAGUAGACAAUGCUCCCAAUAAGAUUUGGGAGGUAUUGAAGAAAGCUAUGGGAGAAGCACACUGUUUUUAAGAAAGCAGCCUGUUGUAAUUACGUGAUUCAAGGAUUUCUUUUUUGCUGACAAAACAAAAUAAUUUCUUUUUUGUUUUAAUCCUAUGAUUAAUGUCUAUGAGUUGAGUUUUUGAGGAGAAAAGUGUUGAACAUUUUUAAUCGGUUAAUAUUUAUAUAGGUUAUAUUAAAUUAUGUUGUUAUUAUAUAAAAUGGACAAGUUUUAUUUAAUUUUAAUUAAUUAAAGAGAAUGUGUAUAAAGAGUAUAUUAUUAACAUUAUUUUUGUAAAAAAUUAAAAGUAAAUUUUUUUAGAGAGUUGAAUCUAUAUUUUAUUACAUAUUUGAGAUUUUGAAAAUAAUUAAAGUAAUAACAUAAUAAAACCCCGUAUAACAUCUCAAAUAAUAUUUUAUAAUUUUUUUUAUUUUGAAAAAUAAGUUUCCGCUGUUUUAUCCUCCAUUCCAAAUUAUAAUAAAGAUAAUUUAAAAAAAAAUUAUAAUAAAGAUAAAUUUUAAUGUUAACAUAAAUUUGAGAACAACUUUGAAUUUUAUAAAAUAUAAUAUUCUGUCCUCCAAAUCUUUGCAAUUUAGAAAGAAAAAAAACAAUAAAUGGUACAAUAAAUAUUUUACUUUACUCAUAUCUCUAAAAUUCAAACAAAAAAAAACAAUAAUUUAAAGUAUUUUCUCGUCCCUUUUUCUCCACCUCCUUCAACCAAACAAACCGAAACUCAAAUUAAUUUGAAUCUUGAUUGUUUUUUGACAUGUCACAAAUGCCAAGGUAAUGAUCACCUCAACUUACUUUUAUCAUAAUAAUGAAUUCGAUUAACGUUGCAAAAUAAAUGAUCAACAAGUCAAUUUAAAAAAUUAAAAUUAAAUUUGAGUAAAAGAUAAAUAAUUAAAAAUAUAUUUUAACUCAAGAUUUAAAGUUUUUUAAUUAAAUGUUUAAACGGCUUCAUUUUUAACUUAAAAUUCACAUUUGAAGGCUUUAUAUCUCAAUUCUAUUUAGAGAUGUGUGUAAUGUUUAUUUAACUCUAUUACCCAUGGACGGAGUAUACAAUUAGGCAUAUGUGAAUUUUACAAAUUCACUAUUUAUUAUAUGUUAGAUAUUGACAUAUAUAUAUAACACACCAUGCUAUUGUUUGUCAAAUUUACUAUUCAAUUGUCGAUCAAAUUUAUGUAUUUUCAAUCUUCUUGAAUGUGGUAUAUAAAUAAAUUCAGAAUUUAUAAAUUUGAUCAACAAUAUGUACAACACACCAUGCCAUUUGAUAUUAUUGUUUGUUAUGAGCAUGGUUGAAUAAAUGAAAAAAGAUGGAAUCAACAAUCUAGGAUUUAAUUUUUUUUAACAACAAUAAUAUUACACCUAUAUUAAAAAUAAUGUAAAUAAUAUUGACUAAAGAGUACAAUUAGAAAAAAAUACAUUAUUUUUGUUAACAACAAUAACAUUACACCUAUGUUAAAAAUAAUGUAAAUAAUAUUGAUUAAAGAAUACUAUCAAAAAAAGAAAAUGCAUUGAAUAUCGAAAAUAUCAAUUAUUUUUUGGAUAUUUUAUUUAUUUAUAAAUAUGUCAAUUAUUUUGAGAAUAAAGGAGUAUUAUUUUGUUCAAUUUUCAGCAAUAACUAAGUCCCAAUUAUCCAAAGACAGUAAAUUAGCCCUUUUCCCCCUUCCUUUCACCAUACAGUACCACGACAUUUCCAAAUAUUGAUUGUGCUAUUUGAAUAGUAGAACUAUUGAUAAUAUGAUUAAAGAGAUAUUAAAUCAGUUGUGUCUCAAGACAAGUGCAACAACAACAUCAUUUCACAAAUAUAAAACAAUAAUUAACAACUCAUGCAAUUUAAAGAGCUAGCUAAAUCAACACCAAUAAGUAAAUGCAACUAGAAGAGGGUAUGAAGGAGUAAAUUUCAUGACAGCAACUAGAUUAAUGCCAUCGAGUCGAGGAAAUGAAAUAACACUUGGGGUUAUUAAGCUAUGCAAUCUUCAGUAGUGGCAAGUGAAGGUGAAAGUGAAUUACGCGAUUCAUCAUAAUCCUCUCUUAAAGGAGAUUGUUCCACCCUAAUAUCCUCAAUCAUCUUAACAACUUCCAACAUAGUUGGCCUCUUCUCAGGUUGUAAAACAACACAAGCCAACCCAACAUUCAACAUUGAAACAAGCUCCUCCUCAAUGUUCUUGUACCUCAAUAGUUCUUGAUCAAACACCUCUGAUGUCCACUCUUCCUUCACAACCGACCGAACCCAUUUAGGAAGAUCGGUUUCUUGUUCCUCAAAUUCCACAUAAGGACGAACUCCUACGGGAGAAGAGUAUUGAGAGGAAGGAACUUUUCCUGUCAAAACUUCCAACACCAACACGCCGAAACCAUACACGUCUGCCUCUUGUGAUAACUUCUUUGCCUCUGCCUGUUCGGGAGCUCUGUACCCACCCAACCUCGCAACCGCAUGAGAAGGAUUCAACAAAAGUGACAAACCAAAGUCACCUAUGCAAGCAACACCAUUCUUGUCAAGUAGUACAUUGGAAGAUUUCACAUUCCCAUGAGGUAUUUUGGCUGCACUAUACUCUCCAUGAAUCCUUGCAAGACCUCUUGCUGCCCCCAACACCAAGCUUAUUCUUGUUGUCCAAUCUAACGGAAUCCUUCCCGGACCACGGUUCCCUAAUACAAUUCCAAAGCCACAAUAAUUAAACAAAAAAUAUAAUGAUUAAGCCUUAUUAUCAUUACCAAAAUCAAGAUUUUUUGUCUCCAAAAUCAUAAUUGCGAUUGCAUCAAUGGCAUUUUACUGCAACUCUUCUAAUAUCAAGAACAAACAUAUAUUUAGCAAUCACAAUUGAACUUAAAUUCAAAUCUUGACCGAAAUUUUUCUUAAUUAGACUUUAACUAUUUUCCUUUAAUAUAGGAGGGUAAGACAAAAAAAUUCAGCCAUUUACUACGAUGUGCUUUAAAACAUUGUUAUUAUCUAUAGCUUCUAUACCAUACAGUUAAUUAGUAUUAUUAAUUAUAUGACUAAAUUUAGAACACAAAGGUAAAAAGGGAAUUAGAUUAGACAAACCAUGAAGAAGAGAAUGCAAGCUUCCAUUGGAAAGAUAAUCAUAGACAAGAAGUUUUUCUUCCUUAGCAUAAUAAUAAGCUUUGAGUCUAACAACAUUAGGGUGUCUAAGCUUUCCAACAACAUCCAUAUACUGUUCAAACUGAUUCCUAUCACAUGGAUUAGCAUCCUUAAGUCUCUUAACAGCAACAGUACAUCCAUCAUCAAGAACAGCCCUAUAGACAGUUCCCAAACUACCCUUCCCAAGCAUCUCCGCCGAUGCUCGUAGCAAAUCCUCCAACUCAAACUCACUCCUUCUAUCGAAAAACACUAAUUUACUUCUCUCUGUUUCAGUGUUUCCAUCACUAUUACUAUCCACACCCCCAUAACCUUUCUUCUCACUUCCACUGCUACUCUCGCUUUUCCUCUUCCCAAUCUCACUAUCCAUCCCCACCGUUGAAUUAGACCUUUUUCCUCUUCCGCAACAAUGAGCCACCGCGAAUGAAGCCGCCACUACUGCCACCACACAAACCGCCACCACAACCGCCACAAUUCCUCCCGGACUCAGCGAUUUCCGUUUUCUCGAAUGAGUUUCAGAUGCAAUUGUUCCGUUACUACUUGUUUGUGGUAACGAGCUAGGGUUUGAAGGAACAAUUUCAUCAUCCGAAGGAGGAGAUGUUUCGGUGACAGAACAAUUCGGUAAAGGCGCCGAUCCACAAAGACCGUCGUUGCCGGAGAAGCUUUUGUUUCCGAAUUUAUUGAGCAUUGCAUCGGGUAAGUUUCCUUGGAGUUCGUUGUUGGUGAUAUUUAGUUCUCUGAGAUUGACGAGUGAAGAAGAAAGAUCGGGAACUUCGCCGGAGAGUUCGUUGUUCUGUAAACGGAGAGUGAGGAGAUGAUUCAACUUCGUUAUUUCUUUUGGAAUUUCUCCGUGGAUGUUGUUGUCGGAGAUAUCGAGUCUGAUAAGAAGACGUAAAGAGGAUAUCGCCGGCGGUAUCUCGCCGGAGAAGUCAUUGCCAGAGAGGUAAAGUAGUUCAAGGUCAGUGCAGUUUAAAAGAGGAACAAUGGUUCCGUUCAAGCGGUUAUCGUGAAGAUCAAGGAAACGCAAGUAGAUUAGCGUUGAGAGAGAAUCAACGGGACCUCGGAGAUUGAAGGAAGGAACAGAGAGAGCAACAACUCUGCCGUUUGGGGAGCAUUCGACGCCGCGCCACGCAGCGUUGCAGGCGUCUUCUCCGGUCCAAUUACUGACGAGGUAGCCGUGUGAGUCUGUUUGGAGACGGAAUUCGGUGAGGGCUUGCGUAUCAUUCUGCGGUGCAGUUGCACUCUGUGUUGUGAAGAGAAAUAACAAGGUUAAGGGUAAUGCUAGUGAUGUGUUCAUGUUAUGGUGUGAGAAGGGAGGGAAUGAUGGUGUGUUUUAUGUUUUGAAUUUAAAAGGUGGAGACAGAAGGGUGUUUUUGAGAAUUUGAGUGAGGAAUGAGGAAGAAAAAUGUUGCAUGAUUAUGAGAGAGAGUAAUGUGUGAUGAUUGAGAUAAAGCACAUGUUAUUUAUUAUUACUAUAUGGUAUGGUAAUUAGAAUUGGGGGAAUAUAUAUGAUGAUUAAAGGUGGGAGGUGAUUAUGGGAUUUAGAAGGUGAUGGUCGAGUGUAUGAUUGUUGUUGUCUACUCCAUUAGAGGAAAUAGAAUGAGUGACAGUAUUUAAUUUACUUUAUCUUUUGUUUGGCUUGUUAUGCUAGAGAGGAGAAAAUUAAUGUUAUGUUGGAGGAAUUUAGGUAUAACAGUAACACAAUUAUACAUAAGAGCAAUAGAGUCAGAGAUUACUAUACUACGAAUAACAUGAAAAAAAAUAUAUAUUAUAGUUUUCAAAAUAAUGAAACUGAAAAUUUGAAUUGGGUUCAUGCAAUAAUACAUAGUGCAUGUCUUUUAUUAUAUUUAUCCGUGCAUUCCCUUUUCUGAUGAUAUGGUUGUGGGGUAUAAAAAAGCAAUUGAAGCAGAAUGGUCCAAAGUUAAACCCUUGCAUGCUUUUCAAAUAAAACUAUUUGGAUUUUGGAUUUCAACUCAAACCUUGAGUUUGAGUUUGAGUUUGGUCAUGGGUUAUAAACAAUUAAACAUUAACCGUAGACAUCGUAUGACCUAGCGAUUUGUCCUUCUAUCAAUGAGAAAUGUUUUUUAAACACAAUUUUAAACACAAAUACAAAUACAUAUACCGUAUACUAUACAUACUCAAUUCUUUCUUCUCUCUAUUCUUUUUGGAUCAAUCAGCUAACUCUUGUGUUGACCUAAAUUUUGUUUUUCACAUGUAUUUCUUACACAUUACUCUCCAAAUCUACACUUCUUAGAUUUUUAUUUUAUUUUUUUAAAUAGAUUUUUAUUUUAUUUUAGUUUUUUUGUUAUUUUCUUAGUUGUUUACUCUUGUUGUUCUUGGCUCAUACAAUGGUUUUCUUGGCUCAUACACGGUUUUCUGGGUUUUUUUGUAUUUUUUUUUCUGGUUAAUUGUGUAUACAUUAUUGAUUAAUAAAGUACAAUAUGUGGUUAAUGCAUUAUUUUUGUAUAAAAAUUAAGGUUGUGAAUUGUUAAUCCAUGUUAACUAUUUAUGUUUAAACAUUAAGUUUCAUCACUGUUAUUGUUAUUGAUAGGUCUAACACAUUUCAUAUUUUGUUAUUAAUGGUGUGCUAAUUAUGGGUCUUUUUGAGUUUGUUUCUGGUUAAUAGUGUAAGUAUUAUUGGUUAAUGAUGUACAAAUAGUGGUUAAUGAAUUAUUUUUGUCUAAAGAAAGAAGGAGAAAUUAUGGAAGAAAGGAAGAAUGAGAAAUUAUGGAAGAAAGAAAAGAUGAAUAUGUGAGGUUUAUUUUUGUAGAGGAAAACAACAACAAAAAGUGAAAAAAGAUAAAUAAAGAAGGGGAAUAUAAAAAAGGGAGGAAAUUAAAUGAAAAAAAAGACUAUUUGGAUUUUGGAUUUCAACUCAAACCUUGAGUUUGAGUUUGAGUUUGGUCAUGGGUUAUAAACAAUUAAACAUUAACCGUAGACAUCGUAUGACCUAGCGAUUUGUCCUUCUAUCAAUGAGAAAUGUUUUUUAAACACAAUUUUAAACACAAAUACAAAUACAUAUACCGUAUACUAUACAUACUCAAUUCUUUCUUCUCUCUAUUCUUUUUGGAUCAAUCAGCUAACUCUUGUGUUGACCUAAAUUUUGUUUUUCACAUGUAUUUCUUACACAUUACUCUCCAAAUCUACACUUCUUAGAUUUUUAUUUUAUUUUUUUAAAUAGAUUUUUAUUUUAUUUUAGUUUUUUUGUUAUUUUCUUAGUUGUUUACUCUUGUUGUUCUUGGCUCAUACAAUGGUUUUCUUGGCUCAUACACGGUUUUCUGGGUUUUUUUGUAUUUUUUUUUCUGGUUAAUUGUGUAUACAUUAUUGAUUAAUAAAGUACAAUAUGUGGUUAAUGCAUUAUUUUUGUAUAAAAAUUAAGGUUGUGAAUUGUUAAUCCAUGUUAACUAUUUAUGUUUAAACAUUAAGUUUCAUCACUGUUAUUGUUAUUGAUAGGUCUAACACAUUUCAUAUUUUGUUAUUAAUGGUGUGCUAAUUAUGGGUCUUUUUGAGUUUGUUUCUGGUUAAUAGUGUAAGUAUUAUUGGUUAAUGAUGUACAAAUAGUGGUUAAUGAAUUAUUUUUGUCUAAAGAAAGAAGGAGAAAUUAUGGAAGAAAGGAAGAAUGAGAAAUUAUGGAAGAAAGAAAAGAUGAAUAUGUGAGGUUUAUUUUUGUAGAGGAAAACAACAACAAAAAGUGAAAAAAGAUAAAUAAAGAAGGGGAAUAUAAAAAAGGGAGGAAAUUAAAUGAAAAGAAAGAUUAUGUGGAGGGUCACAUGUAUUUGUGUUUAAAAUUGUGUUCAAAUAUCACCGCUCUUUAUCAAUAUAUAUUAUAAUUAUUUAAAAAAAAAGAUUUCACCAAUCAUCGAUAUAGAUAACCAUAUAUAGUCCUUUUAUGUCUCUGUUUUAUAUUUGGAUCAUGUUAAAAUUAAAUUUCAAAGCACAUAAAAUUUUGCUCAAUUUAAUCUCUCUUCAAUCUUCAUUAUACACCUCCACUUACACUCCUUGUAAUAAAGAAAGAUGAUGGCUAGACAUAUAUAAUGGAAAAGAAAUACAGUGAUAGAAAUAAAUAUAAAGUGAGUGUAAAAAAAUCACAAUAAACUUAGACUGGAUGGGCUUUGAUUUAUCAAUCCCAUGGACAAACUUUAUAAGCUUUCGUUUUCACCAAACACGUUAAAGUGAUUCAUUAUUUGGUUUGUCUACUGCGUAUUCUCUUUUUCAUUUGGUGGAAAGAGAAAAGAGGUCUUCAACUUUAAGUCAACAGCAAGCAAAGUCUUUUUCAAAUCAUACCAUAACGAUAAAUAAUCGAAUCCAAUAAUUAACAUGUAAAUGCAAGGAACAUUAAUGGUAUUCAAACUUAAAUAUCAUGACAAAAGUAGCAUCCAAUUGACAUAUAUUAAUCAAAACGCACCAUACAUUGUACGAUACAGUCGUUCCAAAACAUAAAUAUUACUUGAAUUUUCCCUUAAUAAGCUGGCAUGAUUGUGCUUUUAUUUUGUUUUCAAUUUUUUAUAAUUAUAUUUGCAUUUUAGUGUGUAUUUAGUUUUGUGGUGACGAAUUUAUAAUUUUUUUUAUAAUAAUAUGAUUUGUAAAAGUAACGUUACUUAAAAUAAGUUAAAUGUCCAAUGAGACUAAAAAUAAAAUUGAGGUAAAAAAAUUAAUUUUGAAAGCAAAAACUACAAAUUUCAAUUUGAAGUUAAAAUUAAUUCUAGAUAUAAAAUUAUUUUUAUUCAUAAAAUUAAUUCUAGUUUUACAUUCUUUUUUCUCCCUCAUGUGUGAGAAGAGAAAUAAACACACAAAUAUUUUUUACUCAUUUUUAAUUAUGUAGAUAAAAUUUAUUAAAAUUAUUAUUGAUAUCUAUCUUUCUUAAAAAAUAAGAGAGAAAAGGAGAUUGUCAAAACUAUAAUAAACUAAACUGUGGUGAUGAUUUUCACAAAAAUAUAAUAACUCAUUCUAAUUUUCUGAAUCCCACUCAGAAAAUUGGCACAUUUGAUAAUCCCCCACUGGAAUUGGAUAGAUGGUGGCAUGAUGGGUAAUGCCACAUGGGUAGGGGCAAAUAUCAAUGGAUGGUACACUGGUGGUAUGGUACUGCUUCACAUCUCUUCCAUUGUGAUUGUGAUGGGCUCAAAAAAGUGAAGGAAGCUUUUUUUUCCUCUCUCAUUGUGAAGAGUUGUCGUUGCAUUACUAAUUUGUAUAUUGGCACUAAAGUAAAAGGGGUCAUAAAGUAAGAGGAGAGGGUUUGGAGGCGAGAUUGGCGUUCUCAAUUUAAAAAGCACUUGAUAUUUUGCUUUCACUAAUAAAAUUUACAAUUUGGUUGGUUUCUGCUGUUAAGUUUAUGGUAACUUAUUUCAACGUAACUAAAAAAAUACAGGAGUUUUAUUAGCAAAAAUUUGCCUCUACCCCUAAGAUAAUUAAUCUAGAUUUUUUAUUUUGUUCUUAAUUAUAAACAAUAAAAUCAAUUUUACUUGUUAGAAAAUUUGGUUUAAAUUUUUUAAAACACAAUUAUCAUAAAAAAUUUGAUGGUUCAAAUUUUUGUGAACACACAUUCAUUCUGAAAAAUUUUAACUACAAUUUUUAGAAUGAGUAUGUGUUUUGAAAAAUUUGAAACACAAGUCUUUCAAAAGAAAAAAUUGAAAAGAGUAAUUUAUAAUUUUUGAAGGAUUGCACAGUAGCAGUAUAAUUGAGUUAAAGAGUAAAAUUUAUCUUUUAAAUGUCUAAUAUUUGUACUUUUUUUAAUGAACUUUUGGACGUAAAUUUUAUUACAAACAAUAUGAGUAGAAUUUAAACUUAUGUUAAGAGUUAAGAUUUUGCUAUAUUUUCGGGUACAGAGCAUGCAUAUAUGUGAUUAAUUAACUAAGUGUUUUCCUACCAAGCGAUAAAACAAAAGCAUUGUAAAUUUGUAAGUGCCAAUAUAAACAAUUUAAGUUGUCUUACUAUUUUUUUAAAUAAAUUUUGUGUUAAAAAUAGUUUUAUUCGAGACAUGACAAACAUUAAUUAUGAGAAUAUCACUUCUAUCAAAAAUUUGAACUCAAAUUCAUCACGUUAGAGAGUCUUUUAACUUUUUUUUGUUAGAAGGAAUCUUGUUGGUCGUUGUAUAGUUAUAAUUUAUUGGGCAUGUAAUAUGCUUGUAGUAGCACUAGUAUAUGCUUGUACUACAACAUGUCUUAGAACACAAUUCACAUAUAUUUUUUGGCCAACCCUAACGCUCAACUUCGGAAAGUUCGUUAAUCUAUUAACACAACUUAAAAGUUAAAAACAGAAAUCAGUCAAUGGGAGAACACGAACAAACAUAAAUCAAUUGGAUGAGACGAACCAAAUAUUUGGAACGGUUACGGGCGGCGAGAACAAUCCCCUUUCUCAAUGGUUCUUCGUCGUUCCAUUACUUAAGAACACUAGACUGAAGAGUAAAGAUAUAUGUACUAUUUCAUUUACAAAGUAUCACCUAAAACAAUCAACUAGGCAUCGAAGUGACUACAGAUCCCCCACUUAAGAACAUUGCUUAAAGGAGCUAGUCACGCGAAUCAUUUACUAAGACACGGUGUUAGCCUUUUGACAAAAAAAAAAGGCAUAGGGUAAGCUUGUCCUUGUUCUUUUCUUUUAAAAGAAAAUAUUAUAAUAUAAAAUCACAAUUUAUCAAAUAUAUUAUUAGAUUUAUUAGAUUGAGUCACAGACUAAGUCGCUCUAGCAGACUAUCAACGGUACUAUGACCACUCAUAACAACCGCUCUCAAAAUACCCCAAUAUGACUACAACAUAACAACCCAGAAAGAAAAGGGAGAAGUGACUCAAAGAGCACAUAAUAUAAAAGGAAGAAAAAAGAAAGUUGAGAAAUGCAUUCAAUUUUGGUUUACUUUUCACUUGAAACUCAUUAUAUAGUGAUGAAAGCAAACCCACAUAUAUUUUGUAUCCAAUGUGAGACUUUAGUAUGUAUAGAGUUGAAACUAUUCAAAAUAUGGGAGUAUUUCAAUGUGUGAUUUUAAAAAAAAUUAUUUCCAAUGUGAUACUUGAAUUUAUUAAGUGAGUUUGAUGCAACCAUUAGAGAGUGAGAAAAGAAAGUAUAUUUUUUUUUACUAAGACGUGGUGUUAGCCUUUUAAAAAAAUAAAAAUAAAAAAAAAUAAACAGAGUUAGCCUUGUCCUUGUUCUUUUCUUUUAAAAGAAAAUAUUAUAAUAAAGGAUGGAACACAAUUCGAUUCACCAAUUUUAAAUAAUUAAGAAGUUUGUUUUCUAAUUGAUAGGUUGAUUUGCAUUGUUUUCAGUAUUCCGUUGUCAACAAGUUGAACUACUGAGCGAGCCUGUUCUGCUAUGAAAUUCAUUAAAACAAAACUUUAAAAAAAUCAUGUUUUAGUAAAAUGCAACAAAUAACGAAGAAGUUAGCAGCUAGGGGAUUAAUUUACAGCGGAUAAGCUACAUAUCUUUGACCGAAUUGUCUCUUGACUACUUAUCUAUCUUAUGAAUCUAGAGAAUUGAAUGCAUCGGAUCUUUUUGAAAAAUGUAAGCAAUAUCUUUUUGAUAGUUAUCACACAUAUAUAUCAGCUUACAAAUUCAAUUUGAAGUGUUUGGUACAAUUUGCCAUUGAACAAAAUGAGAAAAAUAAAAUGACAUAAAUAAAUAAUUUUAAUUUAUAUUUUAUUUUUAAAAAAUAAGAGAUGAAUACAAUAUGUAAUUAUAAACUUAAGUGCUACUUGUAGAAAUAUCUAAAAAAAGUAAAAAACAUGUGAAAAAACGUUGUGAUAAAUUCAUGAGAAAAUAGUAUUACUAAAAAGGUAUACUUUAAUCAUAUAAGGUUAUGUGUUAUAAACUAUCGGCCAUAAGUUAGCUGUUUAACCUUAUCAAAUAAAAUACAUUUGAUAUUUUUGAGGCUGUUUGAAUUAUUUACAAAGACUUUUAAAAUUUUCUUCUAAGAUAAGUGAAGAGAAGAAGAGAUAGUGAUUUGGUGUCUCGUCUCCAUUACCUUAAUUACUCCUCAACUUAAGUAGUGGAAUAUUGAGAUUUUUUGUAAUAUUUUCAAAGGAAAGAAAGAGUUAUUGUAAGACUUAAUUGUAUUCAAAAAAGUUUUCAAUAUGGGAUUAGUGAUUUUCUUGAUGUGCUUGAGAAGGAUUUUCUCGAUUAGCUAUUACUUUGUACCAUCUGGAAUGCUUACGGUUCCAAAAAUCAAUAGGUCAAUGAAUUGCUAAUGAUGAUCGUAACACUAAGUAUUAUCACUCCAAAAUCAUUUCUUAGAGUAAUGAUUCAAAAAAUUUACAUUAACUUAUUAAAAAAAUAGCAUCAUAUAUGUGACCUAAUGCUUUCUUGAGCUACUAAGUAGAGUAGAAUGAGUGCACUCAUUCUUUUUGCUGAAUGUAAACAAGCCCUCUUUCAUAUGGAUCCACACCAGGCCCAAUACGAGUAUGAUUACCCUACUUUGUUAUUUAAGCAAUGUUGGGACACUGAUGCGAAUUCUCUUUAUACUAGAAUGCCAAUUAAGCGUAGUAUAAUCUUUCUCUUAUUUCUUGCAUUUGUAAUAAUAUCCUUGUGUUGAUACCAAAAGCUGACAAGCCUGACUUUGUUUCUCAAUUCUUUUUUAUUGCUUUGUGUUGUGUAACUUACAAAAUUAUUAUGGAAGUUGUUAAUAAAAUCAAGUAAUUAUUGAAUGAUAUUAUUUCUCGUUAUCAAUCGAUUUUUAUUCUAAACCGUAACACCCACUAAUAUUAUUGUGGCAGGAAAUUGUGCAUCAUUCAUUCAUUUUUCUCCAUUGAUGUCGUCUUGAUAUGAAGAUAUGUGUUUGAUAAUUCACAUAUGUCCUGAAUUGUUUAGUCCAUAAUUAAAAAUGACUUGAUCGAUAAUUAACAAAUCUAUCUAAAUGAUAAUAUAUAUAUAUAUAUAUAUUCUUCACAUCAAUGUCGACAUUAACCUCUUUAUUUGGACUUUCGUGACUAAUAUGACAUAACUAUUUUAUAUAUUUUAUUUAUAUAAUUAUGCAUACAAUAUUUUAUAUAUUUUUAUUUAUAUCAAAUUCGAUCUAAAUAAAACUUCAAAAAUAAAAAUGUCAAUCCUAAUGGCAAAAAUAACAAUUAAUAAAAAAAACUAUGUUAUACAUUUUUAUUUAUAUUAUUCGGACAACUUUUUGAAAUAAUAAUUUGCAAAAAAUGUGAAGAGAUUAUCAUUGCCAUGCAAGGGUUACUACGCUAGUUGCACUAAAAUAGCAAAAGCACGUCAACAUACAAAUAAAAGCUAAAAUACUAAGCUAGCUUAAAAUUUUCAUAAGAAAAGCUAAAGAUAAAUAAUAACUAAAUUUUGACAACAUAACCUAGAUUUUCGUUUUGACAGAAUACAAAAUAAUCCCGAUCAUUAUCACAAACAAACAAAUUGAGGAUCUUUUGGGAUGGAGAGGAGAGAUACCCCUCACAGCUGCCCCUAUUAUAGUCAUUUGUUGCUUAUGAUGUACUAAUUCCUCGCUUAAUAUAUCAAAAUAAAUAAAUAUACAUCAAUUUUUUCAACUCAUUUUCAUUUAUAUUUUAAUAUAAAAGUGGCUGAACUUAAAUAAACUCAAUCCCGAACUUUAUGUCUGGUAGUAAAAAAAAAACUCAGAUUGUACAUUCAAUCUUUGUUAGUAUUAUUGAAGAAGCUAGCAUGUAAAAUUCUUUUUUAAUGUUGAUUGAAUCUUAAAAUAAUUUUUAUUUUAGAGUGAGGCAUCAACCCUAUCUUAAAUUGUGUUUAUAAAAAAAUAAAUUAAAAUUCAUUGAUAGUUAUAGUUAAGUAAAUAUCUAACUAGAAGAGUAAUUUUCCUCAGUUUUUAAUUAUAAACAUUAUUUGAGAAAAAAAUCUUAAUGAUAAAUAUAAAACAAUACUCUUUCAAAUUACUAAGGGUGUUUAAUAUUUAUAAAUAUAUCCAUAUUAAUAUUAAUUUAUUUUAAAAUAUUAUAAAUCUAAUUAAAGACGUUCAAGUACAUAUAAUUUUACAAACAUUUAUUUAUAAAGUAUAAAAUGAAUAUAUUAAACCAUACAUAUUUAAUUUGUUAAUACACGUAAAAAAAAAGUAGCGAGUAGUUAAGAAAGGAAUGGAGGUAAUAAUUAUCAUGCCCUGUGUGUUUUAUAAUUAUUUUUUAAUGAGAUCAUGGCUUACUUUUACGGUAACUAAAAAUGAAUUAAUUAACCAUCAUAUUAUAUUAUAUUAUAUUAUAUUAUAUUAUAUUAUAUUAUAUUAUAUUAUAUUAUAUUAUAUUAUAUUAUAUUAUAUUAUAUUAUAUUAUAUUAUAUUUUAUAUAUAUAUAUAUAUAUAUAUAUAUAUAUAUAUAUAUAUUAGGAUUUAUCCAAAAUAUAAUGAAACAUAAAAAAAAUUAAAUAUAAAUUUUCUUAGAAGUUAUAACGUAAAACUACUAAAUUUUUCACGAAAAGUUAUUUUUUAGACAUUUUAUAAUAAAAUAUUAAUUAAAAUAAUUAAUUUUGUAUCAUAUUUUUUUAAUAUAUAAUCAAAUUGAUUAAUUAAAAUUUGUGAAGAAAGUAUUAGUUUUAAAUUAACAAAAUAUUGUUAUUAGAUUUAAAAAUUUUAAAAUAUGAAAUUACCUUUUUAUUAAGUAUGAUAGUUUUUUGGAAACCUUUCUAUCAAAUACAAAAUUAUUUAUUUUUGGAGAUCUAAAUUGGUUGCUUCACUGUUCUUACCUAUGGACUGAUUCUAAUAUAUAUAUAUAUAUAUAUAUAUAUAUAUAUAUAUAAGAGGAUCGUUAACUUCAAGAGUAUUAGUAAAAAUUAAGGUGUUUUAUAUAUAUAGAAUAAGAAAAAGGUAUACUUUUGUAUUAGUAAAAAUUUAAAGCAAGAGAAUGACACCCCAAUUCAAAAUAGAAAAAAUUUAAGGUCUCUCUUUUUUUUUUGUGGAUGAAAUAAAUAAAAGGUUAUGAAAUAUACUUCGUUGAAGGUAAAGAAAGAUCCUGAAACUAUACAAACACGUACAAAAUAUGCAUUUAGUCUUUUUUAUUUGAAAAUAAAAAAUUAUAAAUUGAACACCCAAUAUUCUCCACUUGUAAGUACAUAGAUGAAUCCCUCAAUCCUGUGGGACUUAAGUGAGUGACAAACUGAUUUUAAGAAUUUUAACGCAAUUGUAUAUAUAAAUUUGAGUUGAAAUUUAAAACAUUGAUUAAAUUAGAAAGAGACUUUUAUCAUUUUCUCUCUCUCUCUCUCUCUCUCUCGAUAAAAAAGUAUAUUAUUUAAGUGACUCCUGCACAAAAUCAUGUGUACUAAACUAUGAAAAUGGUAUAAUCUUGGCAUCUUUAAAAGUAUAAUUUUGGCUGGCAACUGGGGAGAUAAGUUUGACUCUUGUGGGAAGUGUACAUUAAACAUUUGUUUAUAAGUACUAUAGCCUAGUGAUAAAAGAGGAAACAAAAUUUGCAGCUGCAAAUUAUACAAUGAGUUAAUUAACAAAUUACGAAGAAACCAUGGAAUUCCCUUCCCAACUUAUUAUUCUACUACUCUUGUCUUUCCCCGUAUUCCUCUUCCUCCUCAACCGCCGUCGGAAAAUAUCGGCCACCAAAAACCGCCGCCUACCACCUGGACCACCGGGAUGGCCCAUAUUUGGAAACAUGUUCCAACUUGGAGAAAUGCCUCACCGCACACUCACAAACUUAAGAGAAAAAUAUGGUCCAAUUUUAUGGCUCAAAAUUGGCGCCGUAAACACAAUGGCUAUACUCUCAGCCAAAGAAGCCACAAUAUUUUUCAAAAACCACGACCACGCUUUCUCAGAUAGAACCGUAAUUGAAACCAUGCGUGUCCAUAAUUACGACAAGUCAUCAUUAGCUUUGGCUCCAUACGGCUCCUAUUGGCGCCUAAUGCGCCGGCUCGUAACUGUCGAUAUGUUGGUCCUAAAACGCAUAAACGACACCGUUUCAAUUCGCCGAAAAUGCGUAAAUGACAUGCUCGCGUGGGUUGCAAAAGAAGCGCGCGCGCGUGAGUUGGAAGAUGGUCGUGGACUCCACGUGGCGCGUUUUAUUUUCUUCAUGAGUUUUAACAUGUUUGGGAAUUUAAUGUUGUCGCGGGAUUUGUUUGACAUGGAAUCUGAAAAUGGGUCCGAGUUUUUCGCGGCGGUUAUGGGGAUGAUGGAGUGGACUGGACAUGCUAACGUGGCGGAUUUGUUUCCUUGGUUGAGGUGGUUGGACCCACAAGGACUUAGGAGGAAAAUGGAUAGGGAUAUGGGAAAAGCUCUUGAAAUUGCUUCCACGUUUGUGAAAGAGCGUUUGGAGGUGGAGCGUGAUGAGGUAUCGAGAGAUUUCUUGGAUGUUUUGCUUGAGUUUCAAAGAAAUGAGAACCAACAUGCACUCAAUAUCUCAGAUAAAGAUCUCAACAUUUUCAUCUUGGUAAUAUAUACUUCCACCUUUCCUAUAUUACGAGCUUGUUACAGUUUUAUUUCUAAAUAAAUAAAUAAAUAUAUAUGUUUUCAGUUGAUAUAUUUAGAGAGACUAAAAAUAUAUUUAAUCUAAUCAGCCAUACUAAUAAUAAUGAAUUAAUUAAUAUAAUCAUUUGAUCGAUUUUAAUAUGUGAUGUUAAUAUUCAGGAAAUGUUCUUGGCUGGGUCAGAAACAACGACCAGCACAAUUGAAUGGGCAAUGACGGAGCUAUUAUGCAACUCUAAUUGUAUGUUAAAGGUUAAAACUGAGCUUAGUUCAUUAAUUGGGACUAAAGAUGUUGAAGAGAGUGACAUAGACAAGCUUCCUUACCUACAGGCUAUAGUUAAAGAAACACUAAGGUUACAUCCUCCAAUUCCACUUCUUGUCCCACGAAAAGCGGUACAAGACACAGACUUCAUAGGAUACUUCAUACCAAAAGACACACAAGUGUUUGUGAAUACUUGGGCAAUUGGAAGAGAUCCAGAUGUUUGGGAUGAACCUUUAGUUUUUAAACCCGAGAGGUUUUAUGGUUGCAAUAUUAAUAAUAAGAUUGAUUAUAAAGGGCAAAAUUAUGAGUUGAUCCCAUUUGGAGCUGGAAGAAGAAUGUGCGCGGGUGUGCCUUUGGCUCAUAGAGUGCUUCACCUUGUGUUGGGAUCAUUGCUACAUCGAUUUGACUGGGAGCUUGAUAGCAAUGUUACGCCUUCAACUAUUGAUAUGAAAGAUAGGCUUGGUAUAACCAUGCGAAAAUUUCAACCUUUGCUUGCUGUGCCCAAAUUAGUUGCUUCUUAAUCAUUGUUAUUUAAUGAUUUAUUCUAUAAAUAAAUCAGUGUUUUUUAGUUCAACUUAUAUAAAUGUCAACUUCUUAAAUUCAACUUAAUGUCUUGACUUUGAACGUGAUAUGUUUCAAUUGUGUGUAUAUAUAGUUAUAUUAUUUCAUCUAUAUAUAAAUAAAAAAUAUAUAUCAGAAUAUUAAUGGUAGAUUGGUGUGCAUAUAUAAAAAUAAUAUGGAGAAUAAAACUAUGAAUUCUUCUUCUUUUUGUUUAUUGAUAAAAUAAUAUAAUUAUAGUAGAAGUUAACACACACAAAAUGAAUGAAGCGAAUUCUAUAUGAUGCAACAAUGGUGUAUAGUAGUAGGCUGCAAAAACAUUAGAUUAUGAGGGGAAAAACAUUUAUAUUUAAUAUUAUAAUAUUUUAAUAUUUUAUUGUAUAAAUAACAUAAUUAAGUGGUAUAAUUAUAGGUUCAACAAGAUAUAUAUACACUUGAAUUUUUCAUACACUCAUUUAAUAUUUCAUUUUAUUUUAUUUUCUCUUUUCUGAUCACAUUAUCAACACAUAAGAUAGAUUACACCACUCUUUUGUUAUCUUCUUAUCUAUCAAAAUGUAUAUAUCUUUAUAUGGGUGUCCAUCAAAUAUUUUUCUUUUAAAUUUCAGUUAAUGUAAUGCUUUUUAUGAUGUUUAUUCUUGACAGUUGAAUUAAUUUUCUUAGUAUCUUUUUAAUGUUUCUACUGAUUUAAUUUUAUAUAGGUUUUGAAAGCGAAAUUCAACUAAUUUAAUUACAAAAUUUUCAAAAUUUCGUCUAUACUACAAUGCCUUCAUGACACAAUAAAAUAAGUCUUUGGUUUGUUAUUCUCUUUACACGGGCUUGUCAAAAUGCACAGUGACAAAGCUAUUAUAGAAAUGGAUUGCAAAGUUGUUGUUGACUUAUUAUAUAUGCCACUAAUAGUAAUAUUUUGGAACUAGGUCAAAUUAUUUUUGAAUGUAAAAAAGGAACUCUUCUAAUUAUUAACCUUUAUGGAAUGGAGUUUGUUUGGAGACAAAUAAAUUAAGUUAAUUGUUAAUCAUCUAGUGAGAGGCAAUUGGGUUCGGAGCUAGCCUCUAAGUUAAUUUUUUAUCUUGUAUUGCUUUUUUAAUUAUUGAUGAACGCCAUUAAUGUCUUUACUAAAAAGGUAUCCAUGCUUAAUUUCUAUUUCUAUUUUAUUUUUGUAAAAUAUUUUUUACCAAUUAAAUUAAUACUUUUAAUUUAAUAAUUUUAUUUCACAAAAUACUUUUUUAUUAAAAAAAAAAUUAUUUCACUAAAAUCACCGAGACUAGUUACGACUGAGAUUGCCCUUAGUAGACUAUCGCCUGUUAACAUAAAUAAAUUAACUUAUAAUUUAUUGAGUUAGUUUAUAAGUUUUUUUUAUCAAAUUAAAAUUAAUAUGAGUGGUUGAAUUCACUUAUCUAUUUAAAAUCGUGGCAGUUCAUCUGUUUUUUCUAGUGAAAAACUUAUCAUCACACACUUCUGUAAUGGCACAUAGCUCAGUGAUGUCCUCCCUUGAAUAUACCAUAUCCAUGAAUACCUUAUCCAAAUCAAGAUCUCGAAGCCAAAGGAGAGCAUAUAAAAUCGAUUACCUAUAUAGCUGCAAUAGGAAGACAAUGUCUGAUCCACAUUGUGCGAGUUGCAUAAAACCUACUAUUGAUUAGAGUUCCUUACGUGGAAAAAUAGAUAAAUCACCAUUUAAAUCCUUAAAAUUGUAGGACGCUUACGUUUUGGUGACUUAAUCAAAAAUUACAGUUGCUUUUUAACUAUCAAAACAUCAUUUAAAAUUUAAUUUUUGACGUUGUAAUGAUCAUUGAUUAUUUUGAUAGGAAAUUUAAAUACUAUUUUUAAUGAUUCAAAAAUAAAUCUGAGUAUUCAAUUGAGUCAUGAAUCAAAGUGAUAUCGUUUUAUAUUUUUAGUGUUUAAAAUGAUUAUUUAUCCUUUGAAAAAUAUUUACUAUUAUUAGAGUAAAGAAAUAUUUUGGAUCUUUAAAAAAAAAAAAACAGAAUAAAUUAGUUACAGACAAAAAAAAAUUGUAGACAAAAUUAUAUCUAGACAUAUAGUCUUUUUAUCAUUUUUUUUUAUUUGUUUUUGAACCGUGACUGAAUUAUGACAUCUCAUAUAAUGGUUAGGAUAUAUUGUAUACAAAAAUAAUGAACUCAAUGAUUUUUUCUAUUUAUUUAAAAACAUGAACUCUUAUGUAUUUUUUAAGUCAUGUAGAACUACCAUCAUUAAAGAUUUAACGAUACAUGUCAUAUGUCUUCAUACAUAUCAAUAACAAUUAAUGUUGUUUUUUUUUGUAGGUAUAAAAAAUCGCUUUAUUCUUAUUUUAAAAUAUUAAAUUGGAUGAUAUUCCAAAAUGUUGUAACUAUCUGAAUGAUAACAUAAACCAAACAACUUGGGAAUCUUUUUGGUUUGGAGGGUAGAGAUACCACUCCUGGCCCCUUUUAUUUUCAGUUGUUCACUAUGAGAUUUGGCUUCCACUUAUUUUAAAAUUCUACUAUAAGUAAUCAUAUGGUUAGGUAAACAUCUGAAAAGAGUCGUCACUAUUAAAAUAUGUGUUUGUUUAUCUUUUUUGAGUCAAUUGAUCGAGAUUAUAGUUAAUUAACUUAUAAACUGAUUCAACCAUACAGUUUGCAUCCAAAAUAUUUUGUCUAGACAAUUGAUUAGUUUUAUUUAUAGCAGAACGCAACAAAAUUACAACGGAGUUCAGGUUGGAAACGGAAUCUCCUCAGAACUCCCUUCCUCCAUCUACACAUCUCUAUCGAAUAAUGAUGCAAGACAAAUUUUUGGCUUAAAUAUGUAUAUUUUUUUUGCAAAAUAAACUGUGAUGUUUUGUGAAUUGAAAACAUUAAAAAAAAUUAUAUAGAAGUGUUAUGACACACUAGUAGUUUUAUAAGGAUGAACUAUAAAUGUGUGAUAAGAGUAUUUAAUUUUUUAAAAGGGAUAUAAUGCACUCAAACCAACCACAAUAAACGUGUCGUUGGUUGUUUGGGUGGAAUUUGAGUUAUGAGGUGUAUUAUUUUUUAAAAUCUAACAAAUUUAAUAUUUAUUUUUUAAUGCGUGCUUUUUCUCUCUCUAGAUUGUUUUUGACACGUGUUGUCCGAUGAGAUCAGAUGUUGAAUUCAUCUCUAAAUAUAAAAUUUCACUCAAUUCACAAAUCACACCAACACUCCAAAAUAAAUUUGAGUAAUUUUCAUUCUUCUCCAUUUUCUGCUUUUAUAAUUCUAUAAUAGUUUUCUAUAAUGCGAUAGAGUAUCAAUACAAUGUUACUGAGCUGUUUUAUCCUGGUAAUAUCGUGAUUGAUAGUAUGUCUUGUAAAUUUUGAGCAUUGUUGCAAAAUGCCUUAAAUAGAGCGGCCUAUCAAGUCAUUAAUAUAUUCGGUGGUUGAAAAUUAUUUUUCAAAUAGCUUUUCGAAACUCAAAAACAAUAUAAUCAUCUAAGUUAGAUUAUAUUUACAUCAUUAGUCUUUUGUGUCAUUUUAAAUAACGACUAUUGCAAUUGAAAACAUAUUAUCAUUAGAAAUUUUGUCAAACAUUGCAACAAGAAUUAACUCAUACUAAUCUAUUAAAAAAUAAUCAUCAAAUUUUAUUAACGGUAUAUAUUUCUUGAUUUUUUACAAAUAUUUAGACACAUAUAUGACCUCUAAAAACUUUGUAAUAAAGGUCUAUUCACGUAAUAAAUAUCAUUAACUUCAUUUACUUGUAAAAUAGUUAGGAUAUUCAACUUAUUAUGGUGUUUCAGUGAUAUCUUAAUAGUAAUUCAAGAAAAUUGUUAAAUUUAGUAAACUACAUACGUAAUUUAAUAUAACUUAAAAGUUAAUAAUGAAAAUAAAAUAUAAUUUAAAUGACUAAAUUGGAAAAUAAAAUGUUAAAGGAUGUACUAUAAAAUUGUAUUAAACUUAAAGAACUCAAGUGUUAUAAAAAAAAUAAGAAAAGCAAAUUAUUACUUUCCUGAAACAUAAAUGACCUCAUUAUGUAUUUUGCUUAUAUUUUUUGUUUUUUUUAUUUCUUACCUAAUAUUUACUAUGGUCUUUUUUUAAUUAAUUUUAUCUUUUAUCUUUUGUUAAUGAUGAAUUUUAAUCAUUUUUAUAAUCAUAACAAAAGCGAUAACAAGAUAUGAUCAUUGAGAUCCCUUUUAACAAUUGUUCUUAUGUGUUUGCAAUAAUAUCAUUUCAAAAAAUAUUUUUUUAACUCAUUAAUAGAUCCGCAUUUGAAAAAAUUCUCAUUGCAUGAUUUGAUACAUAUGUAACCUAUAGUUGUUUGAAAUAAUUAUGAUUAAAAGAACUAAUAUUAAUUAUUUAUAAAAGAUAAUAAUUAAAUUAAAAAGUAUUACUUCAAAAUCAAUAGUAUAUUUGUUAUAUGCAAUUUAUAAAAACGUUAGUAAAACAAUGGCUUCGCCCGGACUCGAACCGGAGACCUUCAGUGUGUUAGACUGACGUGAUAACCAACUACACCACGAAACCAUGAUGUUAAUGUAAUUGAAAUACCUCUAUAUCUUUACUAGAUAAAGUAUAAAGAUAUAUAUGAUGCAGCUCACUGCAUGCAACCACUAUUCUCACAAAAAUAAUAAAACAAACACAUUACAAAAAUAUAAUUUUAAUAUUAGUGGAAAUAAUAGAAACAUUUGCAGCAUCUAUAUCUUCAUCUCAUAUAAUAGAAUAUACACUAUUAGCCACUUCAAGGAGACUAGGACUCAAACCAUGUUCUCUUAACUAGGGUCCGGGUGUUUUACUACUUCGAGUCUUCAACCAAUCUUAUAUUGGUCUGAGAGGAUUAAAUUACAUGAUAGUAUUAUUCAAACUUUACAAUUGGAUAGAAGUACUAUUAACUACUUUUAAUCAAUUAAAUUAUAAGGAUACAACUUUAUUUAUAUAAUUAAUUUAUCUAACUCAAUCAUUUAUUUAUUUGUAUAAUUAGCUACUUUUGUAUAUGAUGCUGACAUUAUAAUUUUAUCUAAGGAAAUUAUACAUCAUCUAUCACUUAAAUUAUUUUUAAAUCUUUUACAUACUUACCCUUACUUACAAAGUGUAUGACAAUUAGUGUAUUUAAUAUAAACAGUUAUUUCACUCUUUUUUUUUUUAUCGACAAAUGUUAGUAAAUCAGUAGUUAAGUUGAUUUUUUCGAGUUUUAAUCCGAAAUAUCCUUAUAAACUUCGAAAUCUUAAUUCACCAAUUGAACCUACGUGGGACUAAUAAUACAGUGUUAAGUAUCAUUAAUUAUGUUUAGCUGCUAAUUCUACUAAUAUUGGACUCAUAAUGGGUUCAAAGGUCCUGUGAUGGGUCAAAAAAAGGCCUUGAUCUCCCAAUCAUGAUGGAUUAGCAUUAUAUCAGCUGAUAUAUUUUUACUUUACAAAACUUUUGUCAAAAGUUUUUUCGUUUGAUGAUAAUAUAUGUCAACAAUUUUUUGGGGUAAUUAGCUAAAGCAGCAAAGAAUACAAGGAUGAAACUUAUUAGUAAUAGGCAAUAACUGAUAAAGAAGAAUCUGAUGUCCACGACCAAGAGCUUGCCACACUUUCUUAGCAGUUGGAUGACAUCUAAGGCAGUGGUGCAUAGUUUCUUCAUGAAGUAAUUAUUUUCAUGUCAUCUUCUUAUAAUGAUUUCUAAAUUAAUUUCAAUAAUACAAAAAAGAAAGGAGGGUACUUACUAAAAUACUUAUAUGUUAAAUAUAAUACAUUAUUUUCAUUGAUCUGCUAUAUGUUGAUGGGUACCCAUGCAUUUCUCACAGAUGAAUAACACUAUUUUAAAAGGUAAUUCCAAUCCCAAUAUAAUUGGAGCAGAUGUGUGUUCACAAACUUACUAAUUAUUGAGUGCAAUAUAAAAUUGGGAGAGUCAUAAAAUAAAAAUAAAAUAAUAUAAAAACUAUGGUAGUAACUAAGAAUCUGAGAUACAUUAACAGAAAGUAAAUGGAUAAUAUAAGGUUGAUUUCGUACUUAAAGUGAGAAAGUUAAGUGGAGUAAUAAAAAGAUUGAGAGUUCUAUUCCUACCUACAAUAUAACACUAACAACCUGAAUUCAUGAAGGUCGAUAAUGCAGACACUCCAAUGCAAAUGAAAUAAAACAUAAUGCAUAUCUUGAACAAAUGGUCAAAUUAGAUUACCUUAAAAUAAAUUGUUUCACCCAAAUGUAAUCUAAGAGUAGAAUCAAGGUAAUAAUAUCAAAAGUACUAGUAAUUGUCAAAGGCUACCAUUUGAAAAUGAUAACUAUACAAGGAUCGUGAUAUUCAACUUCAACCUCAAGACAACUUCAAGUUCAUAAUCUAUAAGUCUAUAUAAAAUCAUUGUACAUUCCUUUCUUUCUUAUACAAAGACCAUUAAAUGAUCUAGUUAUAGCAAACUCCAUUCUAUCUCUCAUGCCUAAUUUUGCUUCAAUCCUGCAUACAUAGUUGAGACCUACAAGAAGAUCAACCAUUGCAGCUUCCGUUUUUACUUGAUUCGCGUAAAAAAGAGUUUGGACUCGUAAAAUAUUUGCAUUUACAGUUGUACACUCCUUCUCAUAAUUUCUCUCUGAAUGCCAACUUAUGGUGUUAUGUGCAAGAGGAGCCAAACAUUCUAAUGUAUGUGCGAGUACCGGACUCCAUUUUGCUGCAACGUCAGCAUCAUGGACAGAGGAAGAUUUACUUUUUGUGUCACAUUUGAGCUUAGCCCUCAGAACAGUUCUUAUUGUAGUUGGAAGCAUAUUGUAGAGUUCAUCUCUUGCUUUUAGGUCAAUCAAGUGAGGUGAUGAUGCCAUCUUCUCGAUCAAUACAAUUGUAUUCGCAUAAUGUAGGGCUAAAGCUGCAUCACCAAGGGUAAAAGAAGCCGGCUUUGACCUGUUGUUGACGCAUAAUUUAGAAUAUAUUCUAAUUCUGUUGGAGAUAGAUGAAUUAUCACCUGUUUUCAUUUUAUCAACAUGUUUCAUAUGACAAUCAUUCAACCUCAUAGAACCACCAUAACCAUUUGUCUGCACAUAACUCUGUAUGACAGGAGAAUUGUUUGAAACUGACAUGCAAUGUUUGAAUGGCCCGAUAUUUCCUAACUGCUUGCUGUCCGAUCGUUUGUGCUUUCCACAUUUUUCAGGUGGAUGGAGAGCCUUCUUAUGUUCCUUCUUUCUUUUGCUCUUGUCAAAUAAAAAGUUUGGCCUCUUAUGAACAGAUCCUGAGUUGAAUCCAUAGAGAUCAUUCUCUGAAGGAUAUAUCGAAGAAUGCAUAAAAACAGAAAAAGAUUGACUGCGCAGAAGAUUGUUAGCAUUCAUAUUCUGAGAAUCAAUUUCUUGCUGUAAAGAUGGGAGGUGAUUAUUUCCAAACACAAUUAUGAUCCUCUCAAGUACCGUAAAUAGCGAUUUUACCAGCAACUGGACAACAUAAUCAUAACUUCUAUUCCACGGAGACAUGUCUCUCAGAUUCCUCACUUCCUGGCGCUGACACACCACCUUCUUCUUAAACUCGAGCAAUUUUACCCGAUGCAGUUCAGGAUUUGCCUGCAUUCUCCUGAAAGUCUGUUCAACCUCAGCUAGUACCUCAAGCUCUUGACAAAAUUGUGUCAUGGAAGCAACAAAUUUCUCCAUUUUCUUCACUUUUCUCUCCAUCUUUUUCCAUUUAUAUUCCCACCCUGACCAUUGAAUAUAAUUUUGAACCGGAUUGCAAACAAAUUGUUCAAACCGAUGAUAAGCCGGAUCCCCACACCUCUUACCGAACCUAACAACAGACCGUGCUAGAGAUCGGAAGUUAUCGAGUAUAUCAUUCAAUGCAAGCUCCAUCAAGUAAUCAUCAUCUUCAGAAACCAGCAUUUUGACACCAACUGAGUUCACUAUCCCUUCCCUUAAACUUAAUACCUCCCAAUCACUCAAAGCCUGCCACAAAUUAGUUAUCUUCGACAUCAAAUUCACAACUUCUAGUGCCAAAAUUCCAACUACUGUCUUGUUAUCUAAUACAUUCUUGCGAGAGACAGGCCACAAAGAAUUGAACCAUGAACCAUUAUUCACCAUUUCACCUCUCAUUGAUUUCAAUCAAUCUUAUCCAAUGAAUAUUCACCUAACCAAUAAUCUAAUACACAUUCAAUAUCCUGAAAUCAAUCAAACCCACUAAUAAAAAUUAGAAAUUUAAAACCAACAAGAGAUUAUUAUAACACAUAUAUAUAUAGAGCAUCCAUUAAGAUAAUAACAAUUUGCAAUAUCAUCAUGAAAAUAGAUUAAUUUGAUAUAUUUAAGAAAACCCUAACCCCCAAUUAAAUUAUGGUCAUGUAUGGAAAAUGUUUGAUUUUAAACCCAAAUUUUAAAGUACUAAAACUAAAGUAAGAUACCAACAAAAAAUGGUAGUAGAGAAAAAGAAUAAGAAAAAAGAGAGAACACCUAAACAUACCCCCUGGAGUGGAAUUGAGGUGAAGGAGAAGAAUAAAGCAUCACCAGAUUCAAACGACAGAGACAGAAAUGGUAACAGAUAAGUGAUUGAUAUGGAAAUAUGUGAAAGUGGUGAGAGGGAANNNNNNNNNNNNNNNNNNNNNNNNNNNNNNNNNNNNNNNNNNNNNNNNNNNNNNNNNNNNNNNNNNNNNNNNNNNNNNNNNNNNNNNNNNNNNNNNNNNNNNNNNNNNNNNNNNNNNNNNNNAGGGAAUUUGGUAGAAACGAGGUAAGUUGGGAAUUUUGAGGAACUUGAAUUUAGUAAUUGGUUCGUGUUUGAUGCUGAAUGCGGAUUUCAUAUACCACUAUACUUUGCCAACAUUUAACUUUAACUUUGUUUUUACUUUUUAGUAGUACUCCUUUUUUAAAGGCCGUUUUGAAAAUUGUUAUGUGGGACCAACAGGAAAUGGUACACACUUCAGAAUUAUGAAUUAAUCUAGAUUUUAGUAAUGGAUCGUUUCGAAUGUAAUUUAUAUGUGAGAAAGUAAUAUGUGAUUUUUUAUUAUUUAAACACGUUACUCUUUUUUAUGUAUAAAUUAUCCAUCUCCUUUGCUAAAUUGUCCUAGUGGUGGUUGAUAAUGUUAUGGAUUUAAUUUAAUUUUCUUUAACUUCUCCGUCGUCUCGUUGUGCUAUGCUAGGGGCAGUUGGUGAGUUUGUUGAAAUUAGGGGUAUAUCUAUGUAUUGUACGAUAGCGUGAUGAAGAAUGAGGACACAAAAUCUUGUCUAUAUCGGUAUUGGGAAUUGGCGGAAUGUGUUGGCUAGUAAAAUGGUGCUGUACAUGUUGAUUUUGAUACAAAAUGGCUUUGGUUUGUAUUUUUGUGCUUUGCAAUUUAGGGUAUCUUUAGAUAGUUUUAAAGGAGCUAAAGGAAUGGAAUAUAGGUGGAAGAUAAUAGAUUGAAGUAGAAUAAAUGGUAAAGUUAGUAUUUUAUUGUUUAGAUAUUUUAUGAUUUUUUUUCUUUACAUUUUAUGAUUAACGAAAACAAAAUUUAUAUUUUUCAAUCAAAUAUAAUUUUAUUUUAUUUUAUUGUUUUAUAAGUGAAUCCAAUAUAACCGGUGAGUAAUAGUUUUUAUAUUAUUUUUUAAUUUAGAUUUAAAUUUAUUUUUUAUUAUAUUAUUUUGUCAAAAAUAAAUAUUUAGUAUCUUAUUUUUAAAAUCAGUUUUCUGGAUUCUGUUAAAUAAAUUUUGCGAAUAAUUUUGUUUUCAUCAUUUAAAUAGUUUUUGUAUCUUGAAUAAAAUAAUUUUUAUAUCAUUAUUAUUGUAAUUAAUUAAUUUAUAUAUUAAACUAUUAAAUAUAAAAUAAAUAAAAUUUUAAAUAUUUUAAUAUAUAAAUAAAAUUAAUUACACUAAACAAUAAUGAUAUGAAAAAACAAAUCAUAAAAAAAUCAUUAUUCAACUCAUAAAUAUAUAUAAGUGUCGUACUAUUAACGAGAGUGUUACAUCUUUAGAAAAUACAUAAGAUAAAAAAAAAUCUCAAAAAUUAAUUUAUAAUAUCAAAAAAUCAAUUUUAAAAAUAAUUAGCACAAAAUGUUCAUUUAAAAAAAUACAUUUAAACCUCUAAUAUGAAACUACAUCAAUAAAAUCAUGUUUUAAGUUGUAGUGGCUAGACUAAGAGUGAAAGUUAUUUUUAUAAGAAUUAAUUGGAUAUCUUACUUCUAUCUGAGAAGUAUGUGACCUUUAACAUUUUCCACAAAUAUAUCAAUAUGAUUUUUGAUCAAAUGAAGAUGAUUUAAUAAUGGAGGCCAGCAUGCUCAACUGUGACACUAAUACAUAGAAUUCUCAUGUGUUAGAGCCAAUAAUACAUUUACGAGGUAAUGGAUUCUAGUCCCCUUGAUUUAGGUCGAGGUCCAUUUUGAAACACAAAACAUGUCUUAAAACUUUAAUAAAUUACAUAAGUUAUCGUCUUUCCACUUGUAUCCAGAAGAAUAAUAAUAUUCAAAAUCCUUUAUUCCUCACAAUGCUAAGUUAUUCGAGAAUGAAAGACCCAAAUUGUAUGCAUAACAAUGAAUGCAUAUAUCUAAUCUGAUCAAUCAUAGUUACACGUGACAGCGCCAAGGUGCGUCACGUGGCAGAGAGUUCUAGCAAAUCCGAGAACACCGACCUGUCUUCCACCACUUCGAGUACAUUCUGGUCUCUAAAUAUUCGAAACAUUAAAUCUCCUACCUAUAAAGCCACCUUAAACAUUAUUAUUCACUAUAACACAAUACACAAAAAUGAAGCCAAUUGACGAGAAGCAAGAGAAGGUAACAAUAAGAGCGGUGAGUCACGACGAAGAAGGAAAAAAAAGAGUAGAAAAAACAGAGCUCAACACACACAACAUAGACACAAUCAAAUACGUUGAAAAGAAGCUCAUCAAUAAAGGUGUCCAGCGUCAGGAUCGCCACCCUGUCGACAACAUAGGAAUCAGCCGUCCGCCGCCGAAGUCCGGUCACGGCGGAAAGUUCACUUGGGAAGGUCCUGAUGACGUGGCUUAUAACGAAUUGAAUGCGGCGCCGGCGGCGAUUGAUGAGAAGGAUCCUAAUUAUGUGGAUGAGGAAGAGGAAGAUGAGACAAAGGAAUUUGUUGUUGGUGAGGUUGAUGUUGCUAAGGCUG